GUAAGUGAAUGCAUAAUGUAGAGUCUAAUCAUGCUCUAUGAGGAUAAAGCCCCUUGUACGGUGGAUAUUGCCAUGGAAUUGUGCCAGGAGUGAGAUGGCAUAAUGAUUGGCAAUGUUAAAAUUAUUUUUUGUCUAACUGCCAAUCACAGUUUGCCUAGUGUGAAUUUAAAAUUCCAUGGCAACGUAGCAUGAUCGGCUCUUUGUUAAUUUCGUCAAUUGCAAAUAAACGUAAUAGUAACGCUUAUACAAGGAUUUUCAAUUUUAUUGGUGGUAAUUUUGUUUCACAACGUGCUUCUCCAAUUGAGCGUGAAACACUGAAAAUUUCUGUUUGGAUACAACUUAUAAUAUGCAUAAUAAACCUAGUUAAAGUCAAGCAUUAAUUUGAAUCACGCAUUCAUAAUUCCUAUUCAUUAGUAUAAAAAAUUUAGUGGGUCCCAGUACUAUUCCUCUUUAUAAAUUGAUUUAUAAAUUUGUCAAAUGGAGGCUAUAUGUUUUCUAAUUUUGUUUUAGUAAAAGUUGCAAUCGCAAUUGAGAUUUGGGCUUAAUUCUCUAGACACGUUUACCUAAUUCUAGUUAUUUUCUUACUGUAGAUGUUGCUUUCUUGCUAUUGGAAAAGUAUCCACAGCUGGGUGUUAUCCCCGAUGUUCAUGACAAUUACGCUCUCAAAAUAUUGGCUCAAAGGCCUUCUGCAUUUCUUAGUGGGACUGAACUUUCAUUUUGGGAAAAAUGGAUCUACUACUGUAAGUAUGUAAUUGGUCACAUAUUAAUUUCAUUCACAAACAAUGUACCACAAGGGUACAUUUAGGUAAACUUUAGUUUCUUAUUCGUACUGUCUAAUACAAUAUACAAUUGUGCCAUGCACUCACUUAUUGAACAUGAUCGUUUUGAAAAGUAUUCCUUGUCUGAACUUUUUACACAAGGUGUAAGAGUACACGAAGAGCAUGUAGAAAUGCAAACAUCAAGUACUAGUCAUGAUCACAACAUUCAAAUUCCUGAAUCAAACAGGGAAGAUUUGGGAGGAAGGAUGGCACAUGGUAGCCUAACUAUAACUACUCAAGGUACAUCAGAUUACGUCACAUGCCUAAGCCUUUUAAAAUUUAUUUUGAACACGUGGACCCAUGUGUUAACUGUAGAUUUGGGCUAACUGCACCAUGUCCUAGUCCGGCUAUGCUUUCAUGUGUCAAGUGGCCCUAAGCUUUGAUAACCCACUACAUUUUGACACCUCUAAAUAAAUUCUUGUUGUACAGCUCUAGAGUUGGUGCGCAAAUUGGGUUGGGGGAUAUUGCGAUCCAUUGGUAUGUAUUAUCUUCCUAUAUAUAUAGUUUCUGCUACACAUAUGUACUGAAAAUCAAUUACACAUGAAACAUUAUUUAACAUUAGUUUUAUUAAUUUUCAGUUCCAAAGAUCCGUUACAUAUACCGAAGGAAGUCAGUCCAUGUCGAAGUCAGGAAAUUCCAGAGGGUCGCGUUUAAAAAAAUGGCACAAAUGAGCAAACCAGAGCUCGAAAAAAUGGACUUGGAUAAAAUAAUAAAUGAUGCCAUAGAGAACGGAAUUUUUGAAUUUAUAGAUGAAAUGAUUAAAUGUGCACCAGAAAUUAUAUGGAGAAAAGAUAAAAAGGAGAGAACAAUUUUUUCAAACGCAAUUAUAUCGCGUCAAGAGAAGAUUUUUGGCCUUAUAUUUACCUUAGGAAAAGAGAAGUGUCUAAUGGGAAUGAGGUAUGAUAUUUUUGUCAACAAUUAUUUACAUCUUGCUGCAAAAUUAUCUCCUCCUUCUCGACUUGAUAUUGUAACUGGAGCAGCACUACAAAUGCAAAGGGAACUGCAAUGGUUUAAGGUAAUGUAUUUUGCUCAGUAACAUGAGUGUGUGUGUGUGUGCGUGCGUGUGUGAAUGCAUGUGUAUGUAUACCGUUAUGAUUGUUAUUCGAGCCAUUGCAUCUGCAAACUUAAGCUGAUGAAAGAUAUCAUAAAUUUAUUUAUUUGAAUUUUAUAUUAAACGUGUUCCCUCUCUAUAACACUUGCACAGUUCUCAUAAAUUGGUGACAAUUAUCAAAGACAGAAUUCACAUAAAUAAAUUUGUCUUUUUUCUGAACGUUUAAACUUUAGAUGAGAUGAUUCAAUAUGAUAUUAUUCUGAAUAUAAUUAAAGACAUAAUUCAAGUCUUGUCACCAUCUAUUUAUGAAAAAUUGUGCACUUGAUUUCGUCCCUAAAAUUCACAAUAUUUUGUUUACUCUAUUGCUGCACAUUCAUCUAACUUAUCUAAAAUUGAAUCGUCAUUCUAUGUCAUUUCUUCCAAUAUGCAGGAAGUUGGGAGCUUGGUACAACCCAAACUCAAAGAGGAACUAAACAGCCAUUACAAAACACCGAAGAUUUUAUUCACUGAUGAACAUGAGAAGUUAGCCAAAAAAGCAGAGGACUGGAUGAAAAAUACAGCAGGGUCAAGCAUGAUAGUGGCAACUCUAAUUGCUGCUGUAAUGUUCACAACAGCUUUCACAGUACCAGGUGGUAAUAAAAAUGAGACAGGAAUGCCAACAAUGCUGGAAACUCAAAGGAUUCCAUUCUUGAUUUUCAUGAUUUCGAAUGCCCUGUCGAUGUUCAGUUCGAGUACAUCACUGUUGAUUUUCUUGGGAAUUCUUACAGCGCGUUAUACAGAAGAUGAUUUUCUCAAGUCCUUACCGACAAAAUUAAUAUUAGGACUGACGAGUUUGUUCCUUUCGAUUGUUACCAUGAUGGCAUCCUUUGGCUCUGCAUUGUAUUUGAUUCUUCAUGAGAAUUUGUCUUGGGUCACCAUUCCUAUCAUCGUCCUUACAACGAUUCCAAUAGUUCUUUUCUCCAUCUUGCAGUUUCCUCUCUUGAUUGAGAUGACCCAACGCACUUAUGGAGCCGGGAUAUUUGAUGAAUAUAAGAAUAAAUCACGUUUUGCUAAGUUCAGAGCAUAUUUGAUAAGGAGGAAUCCAUUGAGGAAGAAAAGACAUUAAAAAUUUUAUAGGUCUUAUUAUAGAGUACUAUUGAAUAAGGUGUCCCAAAUGUGCUGUUAGCUCAUUUUGGUUUCUGUCAUUUUAAGUAAUGAUGUAUCCAUGUUGUUUUUUCUUAUGAAUAAUUCAUGUAUUGGAUCUAAUUGAGUGUCUCGUAGAAUUCCGUUGUUUGAAGUCAUCUUGAAUUCUUAGUAUGUACAAAUAGAACCACAUGUAGCAAUAUUUUGUAAUGCAAAUACGAAGUGAAUUUCAGAUUAUAUAUCUCCAAUUUAUCUUGCCUUCAAACUGGUAUUAAAGCCUUGAAAAAGAAAAAAAUAAUGUCCAACAUUCUUGUUUCUCUUGUGCCUCAUUUUAAUGGAAAAAAUUUGAUUAAUAUUUCAUUCAUCAACCAUCCAUAAAUUUAUUCAUCCAUAAAUAAAUCCAAUCAUUCAAAUAAACGUAUAAAACAACCCUAGGAAUCUCUCGACUAUAAAAUCAUGCAAUAAAUCAAGAAUUAAAAUUACAACACACGAUUCUAGACGAACCCUCUAAUACCAGUUUUUGGAAACUGGUCCAUUAGGAUUAGGAAAAACAAAAAUCAAAAUAAGUUUAAUGGCCGUGGUCUUUACUAGAUUACUAUGUGUUGCAUUUCUAAUUAAUAGCCACACAAGUGUUUAGAUGUUACACCUAUUCCGAGCAAUUAAUUUCAUUAUCUUCUGUCUCGAGGUUUAUUGAUUUGCAAGCUUUUGAACUAGAUCCCAUCCAAUAAUUACUCCUUCCUUGAUCUAAAAACUUCUAACACUUGGAUCUUAUCUCUGAUCUUCUCCUCAACCUGGUUGCACCUGAUUUAUGGCAGCAAUUAUCGAAAUCCUAAUCCUCAAGAACUCACAAGAAAAUAUUAUGAUAUCAAGAACUCUUUGAAGUAAUGGAAGUUGUAUUGAAUAUGUAUGUUCUUUUACAGUCCAUUAGAUUUAUACAUAUAGAACUAAAUAGCCUUAUUCAUUGUUCCAACACAAUUGGGAUUCAAAUUAUAAAGGAACCAAGUUAUAUACACAAUAAAAUUCCUAAACAAUCCCGAAUUUUAACUCAUCAGGUCGUCUUUGCUUUUGAUCAAUGGCUGACUUUGGUAAAGUUUGACCUAAUCAACUAUGCAACCUGUCAAUUCAAUUAUUACCAUAAUUAAAUCAAAAUUUUUAUUUGAAGCUAUCAAAGGCACCUAAUUGGACCUCUAUAAUUCAAGCUUCAGAUAGUUUGGGCCCAAUAACUUGGGAGAAAGAUCGGAAAAUAGAGAAAAAUUGCGAAAUUCCAAGUUCUUGGAUUACUGUGCCGUAAAUCCUAGUCCCUUUAGUCAAGUUAUAAUUGUAAUACUUUGGUCAACCUUUAUCUGUUGGUCAAAUAUAUCAAGCACCAAAAAUGAAAAAAAAAAUAAAAUAAAUUUAGAUGAAUAAGUUCAGACGGUGGAUGGAUGGUGGGGGACCACCUUUAAGCAUUUGUAUGAAUCCAAAUUUUUGUCAAUACAAAUCCAUUACCUACAAUUUAUAGAGAGAGAAAUCGGAGCUAAGAGUCCGUUUGAUUGCAAAGAUGAAAUUUGGAUGAAAAGAAAAUGAAUUUCAAGAAAUUGAAUUGCCUAGAAAUUAUUUUACUGGGAAUUGUCAAUUAUGGUGUUUGAUUGAUAUAAAUUUCCACUUGAAAAUUGUUAAAAUAAAGGUGUAUUUUGAAGCUCGUUUAGCUUUGUUUUUCAUGGAAAUCAUCAAUUUAAAGAAUAUAAUCUUUUACAAUUGUUCCUAAAAUUUGUUCCCAUUGUCCAAAAAAAAAAAAAAAAUGCAGCCAAGAAAAGAAAUUCCCACCAUUUCAUAAAAAACCAAGAAAAUAGGCGCGUGAAGGGCAAGCCAAGAAAACCAUUUGCUUAGAAAAUUUUGGCUAUCAAACAAACAAAAAGUGGGAAACGGAAUUUGUUUUCCAUUUUCCAUGGAAAAUUUGUGGCUAUCAAACAUAGCCUAAGAGAAAAAAAGAGAAAAAGGAAAAAAAAAAAUCAGAAAAUUGAAAAGAAGAAGAAUUGCUUUAACCAUGGACUCAUUUUAAUCUGGUUCUUGAAGUUGAUUCCUCUUUUGGCUACAAAAAUGAGGUAAGAAAUGAAAUUACAAAUUUCAGGAAUCUACAAUAUUUAUGAGUUUAGAUGUCUUAAGGGGAUGUAUUCAAUUGAAACUUUUAAUAACUUUUUGAAAUUUAAAAAAGUUUAGGGUAUUCAAUUGAGACUUUCUCUAAAAGUCACGAUCUAUUUAAUUGAGACUUUUAUAAACUUUUAAAAAGUCUCCCAAAGUAACGGUGUAUUUAAUUAAAUUUUUUUAGAUAAAUCUUGAGGUAUUCAAAUUUUAAUGACUUCUAGGGUUGUAGAGUACUAAUUUUUAAGCAGAAAGUACUCAUAUAAAAUCUAAAAAAGUCUCUCAUUAAUCGCGAGAUUUUGGGAGACUUUCACAAUUUUUUUCAAUCCUUCUUUCUUUUAACCUUCUAUGGACAUAUAUGAUUAAAAUUUAUUUUUUUCUAUUGAUUAUAUUCCAUUUAUCUUUCUUUCUUUCUCUAAUUUAUUAUUUAUCUAUAUUUUGUAUGAAAAAGUUAAAUUGAAUUCUUGUAAUUUUUUUAAAUUCAUUUUUUGUGAAAAAUAUCUAUUUUUAUUAAAUUAUAAAAUUUUAUAUGAAAAAUUUAUAAUUAAAUCUAAAUAUGAUUUUUAUUUAUUUUUAAAAGUAUACUAUACAAUAAAAAGUAUACUAUACAAUAUAAAUAAAAAUCAUAUUUAGAUUUAAUUAUAAAUUUUUCAUAUAAAAUUUCAUAAUUUAAUAAAAAAUAGAUAUUUUUCACAAAAAAUGAAUUAAAAAAAUUAUAUAUAAUUUUGAUUAUUAUUUAUUUAAGUAAGCUCUUAGAUUUUUUAUGUUUUAUUAUAUGAGAAAAAGAAGGGGAAGGAAAAGGGGAAUUGUGAGAACUAACACCUCGUAUGUGAGAAUUUUUUACACGAAAUCCAUGUAAAUUAUAUUUCAAAUGAAAGUCUUCAAAAGUCUUUUGAAUUCCACAAAAAUCUAUAAAAAAUUUAAAUAAAAAUCCAUAGAAUUCUACGAAAUACUUUCAAUAAUUCCAUAUAAAUCUAUAAAAGAUCCACGAAAUCCACAAAAGUCAUCACUUAAAAAAAAGGUUAUCAAAGUUUUCAAAAGUUCCAAUUGAAUACACCCCCCUUAAUUUCUGUUGAAAAUUUAAAUGGGAGAAAGAGAUUAAGGUAAUGAAGGACUUCAAAUUAAGUGAUGAGAAAUGAGUGAAAAGGCUUUGUGUGUGUGUGUGAGAGAGAGAAUUGCAAAGAUUAAGUUUGAAAUUGGGAAAUUAAGUGCUAACAUAUAAGGGAAGAUGUUUAUGAAUACUUUAAAAAGAAAAAAAUCAUGGUGGGGGAAUAGGUUGUGUAACAGUCAGAAAAUUUAUUUAUCCAUGGUUGAAAAAGGACUUAUUUGGGAUAUACUCGUGUUUCAGGAAAUGACGAGAAGAUCUUGGUAUAGUUUAUCAAUCAAGUUAAUCUACCUUACAUAGUUCUGUGAGUGACAAAAAAUUUUAAUUUUCUAAUAUUAAUAAGGUACUUAUUUUAUUAUAUUAGGUGAGAUUAUGUGAAUUAUUUGUUUGAUUACAUGAUUAAUAUGGAAUGGUUCUUUCACUCUGAUAUAUGUGGAAUUUAAAGUUUUGGAUAUGGAUUCUUUGUGAAUUGGAAUGCGAGACAGAUGUGACAUUGAGAUCGACCGAAAAAGUACCCAUAAUUAUAUAUUUCUUCUAGUUCACUGAGGGGCAUUGGCCGUGUUCUAUACUAUAUUGAGGGGUUUUUGAUCGUGGAUGAAGGGGUUUUGACCGUGUACAUAUAGUUCACUGAGAGGCCUUUGCUGUGUUCUAAAAUUGAUUAUCAGAGGUUUUGAGACCCACUUUCGUUCACGGAGGGGGCCAAAGGCUCAUGGCAAAAGUUCUUAGCCCAAGAGACGGAUUACAGAUUUCAGUCAGAGAGUACAUUUUUUGUGAAUUUUUCAGUACAUUUGAUGUGAUGAGAUUAUAGUAUGAUUACCAACUUGUGUUCAUAUCAUGACUUGAGAUGAUAUUUUACAACGUUAUGUGAAUAUCUCAAUUUUUGGUUGUAAUUAUAUAUUGUUAUCUUGGGGAUUAUUAAAUGAUAUGAACUCAAUUUCGAUACAAUGUAUAAAUGAAAAAGUAUCAUUAUUUUCGAAAUUCUUUACUCACUGAGGUAUGAACUCAUAUAUUUUCUCACGAUUAUUCUAACCAAGUAGCAACUGAGUUUUGCCAGCUUGAAUAGCCUAUUGAUUUUAGAGCCACAACCACAUGACAGUUUAGGUUAUUAUGCCAUUUGAAUUGAGCAUGUAAAUAUCACUUUGGGCUAACAUUAUUUUGACAUAAAAUAGUUUUUUUUUUUCAUUAUUUAUAAUGAUUGGUAAAAGGUCAAAGAUAGCCUCGGUGGUAGGUUUGGCGUCUAGCUGGAAUCAACAAUUAGCGUACAUCAUGUUUCGGAUCCGCUGGAGUGAUUCAGGACGGGUCGUAUCAGUUGGUCUCAGAGCAUGGUUCAAUAAUAUAUAUUUUUUAUUUUUUUAAUAGCUUGAGUAGUUUAUGAAUUUUUUCUUUCACCAUAAUAUUUUCAUUGGGAUUGUUAAUCAUGUGGUGUGGUGGCAAAGUUCACGGGUUCUAAUAUUUUGUUGCAAAAUUCAUAUUGCUAUCGAAAUAUAAAGAAGAAGGCAUGGAAGUUGAGAUUAUGUAAGCAUUUGUAUCAUAGAUUGAGCCAUUGAGGAAUAACCCCGACAUGAAAAUGUUGAGAAGGACCCUACUGUUGAAAGGAUUACUAUUGGAGUUGAUUCUAUAUAUAUGUAACAUAAAAUAGAUGAAAAAUACAUUGUUGAAGAGACAAUAAAUUUGGCUGAAGGAUUUUGAUUAUUUUGGCAUAUUUCCAGUAUACAUUUGAACUAAUGGUGCGAAGCCACCUAAAUAAGUUGUCUAUUGGAUUGCGGAUUCUUUUACGAGUGUGCUGAGGAUUGAAAAAUCUUGUCAUACUUGUGUACUUGGAGAAGAAUCUGUGAUGGAAUUAUGAUUAUCUUGAGGAAUUAAAUAUGGGUUACUAAAAUGAGAAAGAUAAGUAGAGACAAAUGGAGGUUAGAGAAGGAAAAAUUAUUUGGCAGGUUACUUGGAGGUGUAGAAAAUCUGAAGUAAAGAGAUAGAAAAUGAUUAGUUAAAGAGAGGAUGAAAUUGAGGGCAAUGAAAUCAUAAAUGGCAGUAUAGCAACUAAGGGAAUGGUGGGAAAAAGUAGAAGAAUCGGUUAACCUAGGACUGAGGAAAGGGGAAGAGGAGUUUUGAGCUUGGUUCUCUUCCGCUCUUAAAUUCUGGCAUAAGUUAAGGAAAUUUUACGAUUUCAAGAAUCUGUUAAUGUUUUACGUGUACAUAUAUGUGUGAAACCGAAAAAAAAAAUGAUAGGGGGAAGAGACGAUAAAUUGAUAUAAUGGAGAAACAAGGUAGAAUUAUAUUGAGGAAGAAUUUAAUUGUGGUACUAAGUGGGGUUGCUUCAUUUUCAAUGUUAAUCCAAUAUUCAAUUUUUAAAGUAUUAUAUAGGCAGGCUUUUAUGUAUAGUGAAUAGAGAAGGAAAAAAAAAAUGUUGAAUUGGGUUGUGAUUCCACUGAGUAUAAUGAAUUAAGGGAGUUCUGAUUAAUGGAUAUGGACACUUGUAAUUGACGGGUAUGUGCAAUAAUAAUAAUAAUAAUAAUAAUAAUAAUAAUAAUAAUAAUUGGGACUCAUCCUUAAGUUUCUUGUUUCAUCUUCUAAUUACAGUAAUUAUUUUCGAUUAGAAAGUGAUUGCAAUUGAAUAUAAAUUAUCCUUAAUAAAAGAUAACGUGAAAGGAGAAAUGGGAUGGAAAAUGGAAACACAUACGGGUUCUCUGCAUCAGUGGACUGGAAUGGGAAAUUGAUAAGAAUGAGCAAUAGAUGAAGUUAUUGUUAGAAUAUAGUGGUGUUAAUGAAACUGGAUUAUCACAUACCGUAUAUGUAGUUUAGAUACCGAUUUUGAGCAUACCGUAUAUGCAAUAUACUGUAUAUGCAGCUUAUCAUAUUUGCAGACACCUUACUGUAUUUGCAGCUUACCGUAUAUGUAGCCUCCUAUAUUUACAACUUACCGUAUAUGCUUUUAUCCGUAUUUGCACAUAUUUUCUUUACACUUUUCAUAUAUAUCGUAAUUUCACUUACACAUAGAAAUACAAUAUGUGUAAUAUACAUAUACCGAAUUGCAUAUACCAACUGUUAGGAAGAAAAUUCAAAUAUAUAUUUUUUUUCUUUUACAAUUUUUAUUUCUAACAUAAAUAUAACAAACAAGUAAAUUGCAAAAUAUAUGAAUCAAGUAAAUUACAAACGUGUAAAUCACUUAAAUAAAUAAAUAACAUGUAAGAAUAAAUUGCAAAUAUGUAAAUUGCAGAAAAUAAAUAAAUUUUCAACCGGAGGCCAGUGUGAGCAUAGUUUUCUUAAAACAAAUUCGUUCCCUCACAGUAAAUGCUUGAGAUUUAAUCCGAGCGUCUAUUUCCCAGGAUACAAUGGUGACAGUAGAAUCUAAACACUGCAGAAACUACUGCUGCAAACUAAGUUUGUAUUGAACAAUAUCACCACCAAGACGAUGUUAAAAAAAUGCAAUAGAUUAUGUAUGCAAACAACACUAAUUUGACAUAAUAUUUUCAUGUGAAUACAGUAUUCUCGUGGUUAGAAUUGCUGGAAAAUUGAGACUUAAUAUAAGAUUAAAUUUGCCUAUUAACUCCAUAGCAAUAAACACUAGAGUUGCUUUAAUUUCUGGGAGUUUUGGUAGUUUUCGAAAACUCAAAGGUCAGUUGAAGAAAGCAAAAACUUGCAAAACAUGGACAUUCCAAACGGGGCAAUUUUUGUUCCGUUCGGUCCGACAUUGUUGAGAGUUAGCUCUUUUCCCAAGGUUAUCUUUAGAACCACCUUUCCUUGUCCCUUGACUUCAGAAGUUGCUGAAUUUCUCAUGAACAACUUCUCCCCAUUCUCAAUUGCUUCAAACGCAGCAAAUAGCUCCUUAUCAGAGCACACAUGUCUCGUAGCACCAGUGUCAAUCCACCACUCCUUAGGGUUUGAACCCACCAUGUUCACUUAAAAAAUGACAGCUAAGAGAUUCAGCUCCGACACAUCUUGUGCCAUGUAGUCAACCACAUUUGCUUCUUUCUUCUUCUUUAGCAAUUUGCACUCCGAAGACUUGUGGCCCACUUUAUCACAAUUGAAGCAUUUUCCUUAAAAUUUCUUCUUAAAAAUUCCACCUUUCGAUCCUUACUUGGUGCUUUUGCAACCGGAUGGCCCAGACUUAUUUUUUGUAAUUCUUUCUCUUUGACCAUACCCCCACAACAUUAACUUUAGCAGUACCAGGAUCGAACCACUUCUUUUAGAACUCUUGUUGUCUUCUUCAAUUAGAAGUCUAACUAUUAGUUCUUCGACGUUCAAUUUCUUUCGUUUGUACUUCAAAUAAUUCUUGAAAUCUUUUUAUGCGGGAGACAAUUUUUCAAUAAUUGCAGCCACUUGAAAAGUUUCACUCAAAAUCAUCCAUUCGGCAUGAAUUUCGUGAAAAAUCACUUGGAGUUCUUGCACUUGACUGAUAACUAUUUUGGAGUCUACCAUUUUAUAAUCUAGGAAUCUGUCGAUAAUGAACUUUUUAGCCCCUGCAUCCUUAGUUUUAUAUCUUCGGUACAAAGACUCCCAUAGUUCUUUAGCAGUUUUCAUUGUACUAUACACAUUAUAUAACGUGUCUGCUAAGCUGUUCAUAAUAUAGUUUCGGUACGAAAAAUCCGAGUGGUUCCAAGCAUCAAGUGCACUGAUUGCUUGAACAUCUCCCUCACUCUCAUUGAGUUUUGGAGCAGUCUCAAUCAAAAAUCUUGCAAGAUUCAACGUGGCCAGAUAAAAUAACAUUUUCUGUUGCCAUCUUUUAAAAUCCGAGCAUUGAAUUUCUUCAAUUUUUCUCCAUGAUUAACUGGAAUACUAACAGUGUGGCCAAUUGUUGGAACCAUAGCUUGACUCACAACAUGACUUGGCAAUCUAGCCACAGUCGAGCCACAACAGAACUUGGCCCUUGAGCCACAGCUGAGCCCAUAGCUUGAUUUCCAGUAUGCACAAUAUGGGUCACAUCCAUGUUGGUUGAUUCAGUUGUCAUUUUUAAAAUCAAACCAAAAAAAUUAGUUUCUAAAAAUUAACAGUAUAAGAAAUCAAUUUUUUCUUUUAGGAAUCUGUUUUAAAUUUGUUAUAAUAUAGUGGUGUUAAUGAAACUGGAUUAUCACAUAUCGUAUAUGUAGUUUAGAUACCGAUUUUGAGCAUAUCGUAUAUGUAAUAUAUCAUAUAUGCAGCUUAUCGUAUUUGCAGGUAGUUUACCGUAUAUGUAGCUUACUGUAUUUACCACUUACCGUAUUUGCAGACAGCUUACCAUACUUGCAGCCUACUGUAUAUGCAGCCUACCGUAUUUGUAGCUUACCGUAUAUGCUGCCUACAGUCCUACCAUAUAUGCUUUAAACUGUAUUUGCACAUAUUUUCUUUACCCUUUUCAUAUAUACCGUAUUUCCAGUAACACAUAGAAAUACCGUAUAUGUAAUAUACAUAUACCGAAUAGCAUUUACCAACGUUAGCAAGAAAAUUCAGAUAUUAUUUUUUUACGACUUUUAUUUCUAACACAAGUAUAACAAACAAGUAAAUUGCGAAAUAUAUGAAUCAAGUAAAUUGCAAACGUGUAAAUCGCUUAAAUAAAUAAAUAACCUGUAAGAAUAAAUUGCAAAUAUAUAAAUUGUAGAAGAUAAAUAAAUUUUCAACUCGAGGCCCCUGUGAGCUCAGUUUCCUUAAAACAGGUUCGCUCCCUCACCGUAAGUGCUUGAGAUUUAAUUCGAGCGUCUGUUUUUCCCAGGAUACAAGGUGAUAGUAGAAUCUGAGCACUGCAAAAGCUACUUUGACAAACUGAGUUUGUAUUGAACAAUAUCACCACCAAGACGGUGUUGAAAAAAUGCAAUAGAUUAUGUACGCAGACAACACUAAUUUGACAUAAUAUUUUCGUGUGAAUCUAGUAUUCUCGUGGUUAGAAUUGCUAGAAAAUUGAGACUUAAUAUAAGAUUAAAUCUACCAAUUAACUCUAUAGCAACAAACACUAGAGUUGCUUCAAUUUUUGGGAAUUUUGGUAGUUUUCGAAAACUCGAAGGUCAGUUGAAGAAAGCAAAAAAUUGCAAAAUGUAUACACUUCAAACAGGCCAAUUUUUGCUCCGUUCAAUCCGACAUUCAUGUACGCAGUUGUGCCUGCACACAAGUUCAAGGUCUAAAGGCAAUUUCGGUCCGUGAUUUGCACCCCUUGCGCGCAUACAUGGAGAGAGCCUCUAUGCUACACAUGAUUACCCCAUUCCAAAGUGUUAUCCUAUAUAAAGUGGUUCAUACUUUCUUCAUUUUCCUAUGUGGGACUAGUUUUAUUUUCCACAUAAACCAUCUUCCAAUGGUCAUCUUUGAUCUCCAAUUUCUCAUUCAUCCAUUCAUCAGUUUUGGCAAAUGAAUAUAUAGUUUCGAUGCUCUCAUGGAUGAGAACAAGGAUCAACUUUGUUCUUCCAAAUUUGACCAAUGGAUCCCACACAAAUUUUAUGCCAAAAUCAUCCAUUAGCCCAUUUUUUCCAAAAGUUAUGAAAUCUGCUAUUCAUUUAUUAGUUAGUGUAUACUAAAAGCCAGGAUAAUCAAUAACUGUGGACCUUGAUUAGACGUGAUGGUAUUUUUAGUUUUUGUUGUUGCAGAACAGAUUGUAGAAACUUAUAAGUAGGAUAUAGAAUCAUCUUAUGAUAACAGGGAAUGAAGUCUAGUGGCGAGAAACAAAACAAGAUUAAAAUAUUGACAAGGAAGCAAAGAUAGUUUCUUGAUGUUGGUUGUUGUUUUGUUUUGUUUGAGCAAAGCCAAAUAAACUGAAACAAAGAAGUUGUUGUGCUCAAGCUUCGUAUUUCGUUUUCUGUUAUAGUAAGGUAAAAAAUUUAGGAUUUAAGCAAGACAUAUAUAUUUUCUACUUAUAUGAAGCUGUAGUGCUUGCAAGUAUUAAAUAUACAAGGAAAAAUGAUGUGAAAGAAAAAAAAUAAGGAAGUGAAGACGGUAGUGGUAAGUUGUAUGGUGCUGAGAAAUUAGAUUAGUAUAUGCAUAUGUAUAUGUGAGAUAGUGAAAGUAAUGGAAUAGAAGAAAGAGGAGCAGGACCAUAUGCCUUGGCUAUGUUCCUUUGUUUAUCUGAGGCUACUAAGGGAUUUCGAUUAUUAAUAGUUGGAUGGAAAUAAUCUAAAGGGCACUGACAAAGGAUAUGUGAAGAAGAGAAGGGAAAUUACAAGUUCAAGAGUUUGGUUGUUUACAUGUAUAUAUAUUUAUAAAACAAAAAAAAAAAGAGAGAGAGAGAGAUGUUAAAUAGAUGAAAUGGAGAAAAAGCCCUUAAAUUAAUUAAAGAAAAGAGGGAGAAGGGAUAGGAAAUGGGUUCAUGUGAUAGCUGUGACUAUUUUUAUGCUUUUGGUUAUGGAAAUUGGGCCACUAAUAUCGGUAUAUAUAUGGGCAGACAUAUGGUAAAUUCAAUUUCUGGAGAAAGCAUUAACACUUCAAGCUAAAAUUGAAAUUAUUUCGAUAUAGCAUAAGAUGAGAAGACAAGGUUCAAUAUUGGGGUGUAGUGAGCGAACUAAUCAAGGAAAGGAAGAUAAUUAGAAAUAAGACUAGCAUGGUAGUUACAGAGUGCAUUAGUAUGUAAAUUUAGUAAGUAGAUUAGCCUUAAUGAAAUCAUGGAAUGGAUUAGUUUAGUUACUCCUAGUUAGCCUUGCUAGCUUGCUUGUUUAGCAUUCCUGAUGAACCUUGGCCAAUUGAAUUUGGAGGACGAAAUUCUUUGAAGGGCGUGAAUUUGUAAUAUCCUAGUCCCUUUAGUUAAGUCAAAAAUCUAGUUGUAAUUGUAAUACUUUGGUCAACCUUUAUUUGUUGGUCAAAUAUGUGAAGCACCAAAAAUGAAAAAAAAUAAUAAUAAAUAAAUUUGGAUUAUUAAGUUCAGCCGGUAGAUGGGUGGUGGGGACCUCCUUUAAACAUUUGUAUGAAUCCAAAUUUUUUUCAAUACAAAUCCAUUACCUACAAUUUAUAGAGAGAGAAAAGGGAACUAAUGGCUUGUUUGAUAACCUUUUAAUUCCAUGGAAUUGGAAUUCCACCAAUUGUCGCCACAUCAACAUUUUCCUUCUAAUGAUGGAAUUUCAGUUCUCACCAACAUAGUGAGAAUUUGAAUUCCAGCUUUUUUUUUUUUUCCUUUUUGUGUUUUUGGCAAUGGAAACAAAUUUUAAGAAUUAUUGUAAAAAAAAAAAAAAUUCCCUUUAAUUGACAAUUUUCAUCUAAAACAAAGCCAAAUAAAAACCAAAAGAUAGAUGAUUUUCUUGAUUUUUUUUUUUUGGAUUUUGGCAAUGGAAACAAAUUUCAUUCCCAAUACCAGUAAAUUCUAUCCCUUUAAUUAAUAACUUUCAUGUAAAAUAAAGCCAAACGAAUACCAAAAAACACAUUUAUUUCAACAUUUUUCACGUAAAAAAAUUAUACCAAUCAAACACAAUAAUUUACAAUUCUCAGGAAAACGAUUUCUAGGCAAUUUAAUUCCAUUUUUGCAAUCAAACGGACCCUAAGAGAAAAGAAGAGGAAAGAAAAAAAAAUCAGAAAAUUGAAAAUGGACUCAUUUUAUUCUUGUGCUUGAAGUUGAUUCAUGUUUUGGCUACAAUAAGAAAUGAAAUUGCAAAAUUUUGCUCCGUUCGGUCCGACAUUCGUGUGCAUAGGUCGUAUCCGCACACAAGUUCAAGGUCCGAAGGCAAUUUCGGUCCGUGAUUUGCACCGUCCUGCGCACGCACGUGGAGAGAGCCUCUAUACUACACAUAAUUACACCAUUCCAAAGUAUAAUCCUAUAUAAAGUGGUUCAUACUUUCUUCAUUUUCUAUAUGGGACUAGUUCUAUUUCUCACAUAAACCAUCUUCCAAUGGUCAUCUUUGAGCUCCAAUUUCUCAUUCAUCCAUUCAUCAAUUUUGGCAAAUGAAUAUAUGGUUUCGAUGUUCCCAUGGAGUAGAACAAGGAUCAACUUCGAUCCUCCAAAUUUGACCAACGAGUCCCACACAAAUUUUAUGCUAAAAUCAUCCACUAGCCAAUUUUUUCCAACAAUCCUCCACAUGAAUAAAAAUUGGGAGAGAUAUGAAACCAUGAGACACGAGACUAGGUGAUAAAGUUCAACGGUUGAAGCCUGCAUAGGAUAGGUAGGUAUUACUCUUUGAACCUUCUCCUGUGAAAGCAUAUUUAUUUUACGAGCUGGCCAGUAGACGUGUUGUCAUUGAACUGUUCUGCCAUUUAUGUAUACGAUGAUAUACUCCACACAGGAUUCUUCCUGACACAAUUCAGUUCUCAUUAUUAUGUUUGUUUUGACCAUGAACAUAUGCCUAGUUCUAUGAGAGUUCUUAAGAAUUGAGCCCCACCUAAUUCUCUUAGAAGCUGCUCCACUUCUUUAUCACAUAGGUGAUUUCUUAUUACAAAUAACCAGCAUUUCUUGGCUCGAAUAUUGACCCUUAAGAAUUAAAAGUCUAUUGCUUAUCCUUCAUCUUUACGGGCAUCAAUGUUACAUCAUAGGAAUGGACAGGAGGAAACACCCCCCACUGUGAUUUUAUUAAGCUUUUACAAUUAGGUUGUCCCUUUGAACCUAGAUCUUGGGAUCUCCAGUCAACUAGGUUGGGUUUUCUAUGUAAUGUCUUAUUCAUUUAAGGGCUUAAGUCACAUCCAUUUUAAUGAUUUCCCAACUAACUCUCUAUUUAACCCUUAGGUUAGCGGAUCCGCAAUGUUAUCUUUUGACCUUAUAUAGUCAAUAGUGAUCACUCCAGUUGAGAGUAGUUGUCUUAUGGUAUUGUGUCUACGACGUAUAUGUUUAGACUUACCAUUGUACAUGUUACUCUGUGUCCUUCCUAUUGCUCAUUAACUGUCACAAUAUAUGCAAAUCCCUGGCACAGGUUUUGACCAUCUUGGAAUAUCAUCUAAGAAGUUGCACAACCAUUCGGCCUCUUCACCACAUUUAUAUAGAGCUAUAAACUCAAAUUCUAUCGUAGAUCUGGCUAUAACUGUUUGCUUAGAGGAUUUCCACGAUAUGGCAGCACCUCUCAAUGUGAACACAAAUCCACUAGUGGACUUUGAGUCUUUUAUAUCAGAUAUCCAAUUAGCAUCAUUGUAUCCUUCAAUAAUUGCCGGAUCUCUGGUAUAAUGUAGUCCAUAGUCACGAGUAUAUCUUAAGUACCUUAGUGCUCUUACUAUUCCUUUUCAGUGAUCAGCUCCUGGAUUACUCGUGUAUCUACUCAGUUUACUGAAUGUGUAGGCUAUGUCUGGUCUUGUACAACUCAUCAAGUACAUUAGACUUUCAAUAACUCUCAAGUAUUCUACCUGAGAGACACAUUCACCUUUGUUUUUAGAUAGAUGUUGACUUGUAUCUAUCUGUAUUCUAACCAAGCUAAUAUCAUCCUUCUUGAACUUUUUCAAAAUUUUGUCCAUAUAAUGUGACUGACUUAGAACAAGCCCAUUUGAUGUUCUUAAGAUUUUUACUUCAAGUAUAACAUCAGCUGAACCCAUUCUUUCAUAUCAAAUCUUGAAUUUAACGUAUUUUUAGUAGAUUCAAUCAUCUUAUUAUCACUACCAACAAUAAGCAUGUCAUCAAUGUAAAGACAUAAAAUGACAUAACCAUCUUUAGUGUCUUUGACGUAAACACAUUUAUCACACUCAUUGAUUUUAAAUCUACUCUCUAUCAUGACAUCAUCAAAUUUUUCAUGCCAUUGUUUGGGUGCUUAUUUCAAGCCAUAUAGUGAUUUCACCAAUUUAUGAACUUUCUUUUCCUGCCUUGUGAUGAAAACCCCUUGGGUUAUUCCAUAUAGAUUUCUUCUUCUAAAUCUCCAUUUAAAAAGGCAGUUUUAACAUCUAUUUGAUGUAUUUCAAGAUUUCGCAAAGCUACAAUCGCAAGUAUCAACCUAAUAGAUGUUAUUCUCGUCAUUGGAGAACACGUAUCGAAGUAAUCAGGGUCUUUAUUUUGUUUGUAACCUUUUAUUACUAAUCUGGCCUUGACUUUUCGAUAGUUCCAUCUGCUCUCGUUUUCUUUUUGAAAAUCCAUUUAUAAACUAGUGGUUUGCUUCCUGGAGGAAGAUUCGUUAGCUCUCAAGUAUGAUUUUGCAGUAUGGAAUCUAUUUUACUUUUAAUGGCAUCCUUCUAUUGAGGUCCUUCCGAGGAAUUCAUAGCCUCUUGAUAACUUUGAGGUUUACUUUCUAGCAUAUAGCUUAGAAAAUCAGGACCAUACGAUUUUUCUGUCAUUUCCCGUUUGCUACAUCUAACCUUAGUCUCCUCUUCUAGUUCUUCGUCAUGACUCUGUUCAGUCAUACUCUCAUAUGUUCGUUUGAAGGAGCUUGCUUCCUCUUUGGACUUGUACGGAAAUAUAUGUUCAAAGAAUGAAGCAUUUCUUGAUUCCAAUAUCGUGUUUUUUUGUAUGUCUGGGAUUUUAGAAUCAUACACAAGAAACCGACAAGCACUACUAUUGUGUGCAUAGUCAAUGAAAAUGCAAUCUACUAUUUUGGCCCGAUCCUUACCUUCUUUGGUGUUAGAAUGACCACUUUAGCAAAACACCCUCACACUCGUAAGUAUUUAUAGGAAGACUUUCUUCCUUUCCAUAACUCAUAAGGGGUCUUUUCCAUUUCUUUCGAGGAACCUUAUUUAAAAGAUAAUUUGCUGAUAACACAGCUUCUCCCCACAUGUUCUGAGGUAACCCAAAACUUACUAGCAUUGCAUUCAUCAUUUCCUUUAAAGUACGAUUUUUUUGUUCAGCAACACCGUUUUGCGGUGAAUAAGGUGCAAUGAUUUCAUGUAUGAUUCUGUGUUGUGCACAUAAUUUCGCAAAUAGUGCUUUAUACUCACCACCUCGAUCGCUUCUUAACACCUUAAUUUUCUUAUUAAGUUGAGUUUCAACUUCAUUCUUAUAGAGAAAUUUUUUUUCUAUAGCUUCAUGUUUAUUUUUAGCAAAUACACAUAAUAGUAUUUGGUGCUAUCAUCGACAAAAGUAAUGAAAUACUUGUUGUCACCUCUUCUUUGUACGAGUUUUAAAUUACAUACGUCACUGUGAAUUAAAUCAAGUGGUUCUGUGCUCUGUUCAAUUGAUUUAAACGAUGACAUUGUCAGUUUUGUCUUAACAUAGGUUUCACACUUAUGUUUUGAAUCAAUGUGGAACUCAGGUAUGUAAUUCAAGUUAACUAGUCUUCAUAAAGUAUCAUAGUUAACAUGUCCUAGUCUACCAUGUUACAAAUUGGAAGACUUAAGCAAAUAAGUAGAAGAGUUUGCUUUAUUCAUUUUUAGUUUAACAAUCAUUACAUCGAGUUUAAACAUACUAUCGGAAACAUAUCCUUUUAUGACAAACAUUCCAUUUUUUGACAAAAUAACUUUGUCUGACUCAAAUACAAUGCAAAAGCCAUGUUUAUUCAAAAGCGACCCGGACACUAGAUUCUUGCAAAUUUUCGGCACAUAUAGCACAUUGUUGAGAGUCAGCACUUUUCCCGAGGUCAUCUUCAGAACCACCUUUCCUUGUCCCUUAAUUUCAGAAAUUGCUGAAGUUCCCGUGAACAACUUCUCUCGAUUCUCAAUUGCCUCAAAUGCAACAACCAGCUCCUUAUCAGAGCACACAUGUCUCGUGGCACCGGUGUCAAUCCACCACUCCUUAGGGGUUGAACCCACCAUGCUCACUUCAAACAUGAAGGCUAAGAGAUUCAGCUCUGACACAUCUUGUGCCAUGUAGUCAACCACAUUUGCUUCUUUCUUCUUCUUUGGCAAUUUGCACUCUGAAGACUUGUGGCCCACUUUAUCACAAUUGAAGCAUUUUCCUUGAAAUUUCUUCUUAGAAAUUCCACCUUUCGGUCCUUGCUUGGUCCUUGUGCCACCGGAUGGCCCAGACUUAUUUUUUGUAGUUCUUACUACUUUGACCAUACCCCACUACAUUAGCUUUAGCAACACCAGGAUUGAACCACUUCUUUUUAGAAUUCUUGUUGUCUUCUUCAAUUAGAAGUCUAACUAUUAGUUCUUCGACGUUCAUUUCCUUUUGCGGGGGGCAAUUUUUCAAUAAUUGUAGCUACUUGAAAAGUUUCAAUCAAAAUCAUCUCUUUAGCAUGAAUUUCGUGAAAAAUCACUUGGAGUUCUUGCACUUGACUGAUAACUAUUUUGGAGUCCACCAUUUUAUAGUCUAGGAGUCUGUCGACAAUGAUCUUUUUAGCCCCUGCAUCCUCAGUUUUAUAUCUUUGGUCCAAAGACUCCCAUAGUUCCUUAGCAGUUUUCAUUGUACUAUACACAUUGUAUAGCGUGUCUGCUAAGCUGUUCAUAAUUUAGUUUUAGUACAGAAAAUCUGAGUAGUUCCAAGCAUCAAGUGCACUCAUUGCUUGAACAUUCCCUCACUCUUAUUGAGUUUUGGAGCAGUCUCAAUCUAGAAUCUCGCAAGAUUCAAAGUGGUUAGAUAAAAUAACAUUUUCUGUUGCCAUCUUUUAAAAUUGAAGCAUUGAAUUUCUUCGAUUUCUCUCCAUGAUUAACCGGAAUACUAACGGUGUGGCCAGUUGCUGGAGCCACUGUUUGACUCACAACAUGACUUGGCAAUCUAGCCACAGUCUGAGUCACAACAGAACUUGGCCCUUAAGCCACACCUGAUCCCAUAGCCUGAUUUUCAGUAGGCACAAUAUGGGUCACAUCCAUGUUGGUUGAUUCAGUUGCCAUUUUUGAAAAUCAAACCAAAAAAAUUAGUUUCCAAAAAUUAACAGUAUAAAAAACUAAUUUUUUCUUUUAGGAAUUUGUUUUAAAUUUGUUAGAAUAUAGUGGUAUUAAUGAAACUGGAUUAUCACAUACCGUAUAUAUAGUUUAAAUACCGAUUUUGAGCAUAACGUAUAUGCAAUAUAUUGUAUAUGCAGUUUACCGUAUUUGCAGGUAGCUUACCGUAUAUGCAGCUUACCGCAUUUUCAGACAGCUUACCGUAAAUGCAGCCUACUGUAUUUGUAGCUUACCGUAUAUGUUGCCUAUCGUAUAUGCUUCCUACCAUAUUUCCACUUACAUAUAGAAAUACCGUAUAUCUAAUAUACAUAUACCGAAUUACAUUUACCAACGUUAGCAAGAAAAUUCAGAUAUAUAUUUUUUUCUUUUACUAUUUUUAUUUCUAACAUAAGUAUAACAACGAAGUAAAUUGCAAAAUAUAUGAAUCAAGUAAAUUGAAAACGUGUAAAUCGCUUAAAUAAAUAAAUAACCUGUAAGAAUAAACUGCAAAGAUGCAAAUUGUAGAAGAUAAAUAAAUUUUCAACUCGAGGCUCGUGCGAGCAUCGUUUCCUUAAAACAGAUUCACUCCCUCAUCGUAAGUGUUUGAGAUUUAAUCCGAGUGUCCAUUUUUCAGGAUACGAAGUUAUAGAAGAAUCUGAGCACUGCAGAAACUAUUUUGACAAACUGAGUUUGUAUUGAACAUUAUCACCACCAAGACGACACUGAAAAAAAUGCAAUAGAUUAUGUAUGCAAACAAAACUAAUUUGACAGAAUAUUUUCGUGUGAAUGCAGUAUUCUUGUGGUUAGAAUUGCUUGAAAAUUGAGACUUAAUAUAAGAUUAAAUUUGCCUAUUAACUCUAUAGAAAUAAACACUAGAGUUACUUCAAUUUUUGGGAGUUUUGGUAGUUUUUGGAAACUCGAAGGUCAGUUGAAGAAAGCAAAAAAUUGCUAAAUGUAGAUACUCCAAACGGGCCAAUUUUUGCUCCGUUCAGUUCGACAUUUGUGUACGCAGGUUGCACCUGCACACAAGUUCAAGGUCUAAAGGCAAUUUCGGUCUGUGAUUUGCACCACCUGCGCGCAUACGUGGAGAGAGCCUCUAUGCUAUACAUGAUUACACAAUUCCAAAGUGUAAUCCUUUAUAAAGUGGUUCAUACUUUCUUCAUUUUUCUAUGUGUGACUGGUUUUAUUUUCCACGUAAAUCAUCUUCCAAUGUUCAUCUUUGAGCUCCAAUUUCUCAUUCAUCCAUUCAUUAGUUUUGAGAAAUGAAUAUAUGGUUUCGAUGCUCUCACAAAGGAGAACAAGGAUCAACUUUGAUCUUCCAAAUUUGACCAAUGGGUCCCACACAAAUUUUAUGCCAAAAUCAUCCACUAGCCCAUUUUUUCCAAAAGUUAUGAAAUCUGCUACUCAUUUAUCAGUUAGUGUAUACUAAAAGCUAGGAUAAUCACUAAAUGUGGACCUUGAUUAGAUGUGAUGGUAUUUUUAGUUUUUGUUGUUGCAUAACAGAUUGUAGAAACUUAUACGUAGGAUAUAGAAUCAUCUUAUGCUAACAGGGAAUGAAGUCUAGUUGCGAGAAACAAGUUAAUCAAGAUUAUAAAUAUUGAUAAGGAAGCAAAGAUAGUUUCUUGAUGUUGGUUGUUGUUUUGUUUUGUUUGAGCAAAGCCAAAGAAAUUGAAACAGAGAAGUUGUUGUGCUCAAGCUUCUUAUUUCGUUUUCUGUUACAGUAAGGUAAGAAAUUUAGGAUUUAAGCAAGACAUAUUUAUUUUCUACUUAUAUAAAGUGCAGUGCUUGCAAGUAUUAAAUAUACAAGGAAAAAAUGAUGACAAAGAAAAAUAGUUAGGAGUUGAAGACGGCAGUGGUAAGUUGUAUGUUGCUGAGAAGUUAGAUUAGUAUAUGCAUAUGUAAAUGUGAGAUAGUGAAAGUAACGGAAUAGAAGAAAGAGGAGCAGGACCAUUUGCCUUGGCUAUGUUCCAUUAUUUAUCGGAGGCUACUAAGGGAUUUCGAUUAUUAAUAGGUGAAUGGAAAUAAUCUAAAGGGCACUGACAAAGGAUAUGUGAAGAGUAGAAGGGAAAUUACAAGUUCAAGAGUUUGGUUGUUUACAUGUAUAUAUAUUUAUUAAAAAAAGAGAGAGAGAGAUGUUAAAUAGAUGAAAUGGAGAAGAAGCCCUUAAAUUAAUUAAAGAAAAGAGGGAGAAGGGAUAGGAAAUGGGUUCAUGUGAUAGCUGUGACUAUUUUUAUGUUUUUGGUUAUGGAAAUUGGGCACUAAUAUCAGUAUAUAUAUGGGCAGACAUAUGGUAAAUUCAAUUUCUGGAGAAAGCAUUAACACUUCAAGCCAAAAUUGAAACUAUUUCGAUAUAGCAUAAGAUGAGAAGGCAAGGUUCAAUAUUGGGGUGUAGUGAGCGAACUAAUCAAGGAAAGGAAGAUAAUUAGAAAUAAGACUAGCAUGGUAGUUAUAGAGUGCAUCAGUAUGUAACUUAAGUAAGUAGGUUAGCCUUAAUGAAAUCAUGGAAUGGAUUAAUUCAGUUACUCCUAGUUAGCCUUGCUAGCUUGCUUGAUUAGCAUUCCUAAUGAACCUUAGCCAAUUGAAUUUGGAGGACGAAAUUCUUUGAAGGGGGUGAAUUUGUAAUAUCCUAAUCCCUUUAGUCAAGUCAAAAGUCUAGUUGUAAUUGUAAUACUUUGGUCAACCUUUAUUUGUUGGUCAAAUAUUCAAGCACCAAAAAUGGAAAAAAAAUAAAAAUUAAUAAUAAAUAAAUUUGGAUUAUUAAGUUCAGGCGGUAGAUGGGUGGUGGGGACCACCUUUAAACAUUUGUAUGAAUCCAAAUUUUUAAAAGGGAACUAAUGACUUGUUUGAUAGCCUUUUAAUUCCAUGGAAUUGGAAUUCUACCAACUAUCGUCGCAUCAGCAUUUUCCUUCUAUUGAUGGAUUUUCAAUUCUCACCAAAAUGGUGAGAAUUUGAAUUCCAGCUUUUCCUUUUUUGUUUUUUAUUUUUUUGUUUUUUUGUUUUUUUGGCAAUGGAAACAAAUUCUAAGAAUUAUUAUAAAAAAAAAAUUUCCUUUAAUUGACAAUUUUCAUAUAAAACAAAGCCAAAUGAACACCAAAAGAUAGAUGAUUUUCUUAAUUUUUUUUUUUGGAUUUUGGCAAUGGAAAUAAAUUUCAUCCCCAAUACCAGUAAAGUCUAUCCCUUUAAUUGAUUAUUUUCAUGUAAUUUAAAAUCAAACUACCAAAAAACACUUUUAUUUCAACAUUUUUCACGUGAAAAAUUACACCAAUCAAACAUAAUAAUUUACAAUUCUCAGGAAAACGAUUUCUAGGCAAUUUAAUUCCAUCUUUACAAUCAAACGGAUCCUAAGAGAAAAGAAGAGGAAAUAAGAAAAAUCAGAAAAUUGAAAAUGGACUCAUUUUAUUCUUGUGCUUGAAGUUGAUUCAUGUUUUGGCCACAAUAAGAAAGCAAAUUUCAAGAAUCUGCAAUAUUUAUGAGUUUAGGUGUCUUAAUUUCUGUCAAAAAUUUAAAUGGGAGAAAGAGAUUAAAGUGAUUAAGGACUUCAAAUUAAGUGAAGAGAAAGGAGUGAAAAUGCUCUUUAUAUGUGUGUGUGUGUGUGUGAAUUGCAAAGAUUAAGAUAGAAAUUGGGAAAUUAAGUACUACCAUAUAAGGGAAGAUGUGUAUGAAUACUUUAAAAAGAGAAAAAAUCAUGGUGGGGGAAUAGAUUGUGUAAUACUCAGAAAAUUUAUUUAUCCGUGGUUGAGAAGGGACUUAUUUGGGAUAUACUCAUGUUUCAGGAAAUGACGAGAAGAUCUUGGAAUAGUUUAUCAAUCAAGUUAAUCUCCCUUACAUAGUUCUAUGAGUGGAAAAAAUUUAUAUAUUUUCAAAUAUUAAUAAGGUGCUUAUUCUAUUAUAUUACGUACGAUUAUGUGAAUUAUUUGUUCGAUUACAUGAUUAAUAAGGAAAGGUUCUUUCACUAUGAUAUAUGUGGAAUUUAAAGUUUUGGAUAUGGAUUAUUUGUGAAUUGGAAUGCGAGACCAGAUGUGAUAUUGAGGUCGACUCAAAAAGUAUCUAUGAUUAUAUAUUUCUUAUAGUUUAUUGAGAGGCCUUGACCAUGUUUUAUACUACAUUGAAGGGUCUUGGACCGUGGAUGAAGGGGUUUUGGCCAUGUACAUAUAGUUCGCUGAGAGGCUUUGAUCGUGUUCUAGAAUUGAUUAUUAGAAGUCUUGAAAUCGGCUUUCAUUCAUGGAGGGGGCCAAAGGCCCGUGGCAAAAGUUCUUAGCCCAAGGGGCGGAUUAUAGAUUUUACUCAUAGGGGUACAUUUUUGGUGAUUUUUUCCAUACAUUUGAUGUGAUGAGAUUAUAGUAUGAUUGCUAACUUAUGUUCAUAUCAUGACUUGAGAUGAUAUUUUACGAUGUUAUAUGAAUGUCUCAAUUUUUGGCUAUAAUUAUAGGGAGAAGAAGAUAUUGUUUAUGAAGAUUUGAAGAUAUUUUCUAAUAUUACUGAGAAAAGGACUUGGUCGAGAUUAGAAAAAGUUCAAUAUUCCGGAAGCUAUCAAGCUAGUAUGUUAGAAACAAUUUCAGAUUGUCGAUCAUCUACAUUGCGAUUGUAUUUCUGUUCAUAAGAAUUUGAUAGAUAUAGGACUUUGAGUUCUUUUUUCAUAAUAUCUUCCACGAGGUUCUUAGCUCUUUCAAACUUGCUCCCACCCUGCUUACUCUUAAUGGGUGGGCUCAUAUGGUUGACUCUUUCCUUUUGUGGACCAUUACAAGGUUAGUAGUAGAAUUAUUCUCUAAUAUUUUCAGGUCAAACUAUCACCCAAUAAAUGCCAAUAACAAAGCUAAUCCUUAAAAUGACUUUUAUUAUCUUUCUCUUUGCUCGCCCAAAUUCUGCCCCAAACUUGUAAUUACUUCAAAUAAGGUGCAUAACUUGAAAGAAAGUUUCCUCUCCUUUCGAGUAGCAACAUGCCUUGUUCUUACAACAAAUACUGCAAGUAAUGUUAAUUUACUCUUUGCACUCAUUAAAUUUUCUUUUGAUUUUUAUUAAUGUUUCCCCUUCUAUGAAAGGAAAAAAGUCUGCUAGGGGUUCGAGCACUUGUUGACCUUCAAACUUUUGUGACUCUAUUUCUUACUUUGAAUUCAAAACUUUGCAAAGCGGAGAGAAUGCUUCAUCCUUCUAAUUAAAACUUUUACAACAAUAGGAUAGAAACUACGAUAGGUACAUGUGCAUACUAAAAGCUUCUUUUGGUCUUUAAACCCUUCUAACUUUAAUUUUUGCUUCAUAGCGAGGAUUGAUUUUGAUGCAAUUCCAACUGAAAACUACUAGAAGAAAAGUUUUCAUGUGCUCACUUCUCCUAACGAUGUUUUCUCACUGUCGGCCAGAAGAUCAAAGGUUACGUCCUUGCAAGGGGCCUAGGAGAUCCAGAGGCAUUUCUUUGAAGAAAACAAAAACUCUUCCUCAAUUGUCAUGAAUGAUUCUACUUUUAGAAAAAUGAAGGUGUUGUGUACUAAUAAUCAUCUGGAACAUCAAGUCCACGUUGUCUUUUGGACCUUUUUUAAUAUUGUUUCUUAUGGUUCAUUUUGUGCAAGUUUAUUAAUGAAAACUUCAUUGUGAUGUGUUUGAUCAUUAAUUUGUUGUUCUUGUAAAUUGUCUAACAUCCAACAGUUGGAAGAACAACAAUAUUAGAAGAAGUUGAGGAUAAAAGAAUUUGAACUAUUACUUCUUCAAUUUCCAUCAUAAGUGGUGCUACAAUCCCACAAACUUCACUAUUCUCAAUCAAUUUCAACAAUUCUAGUACUAUGGUUAGGAUACUAAAAUCUAAAACCCUUCAAUUUUUUUUGGAUAACCAAUAAAGUUCUAUGGGUCUUUCUUGGGUUUAAUUUUUUUUUCCAUGUGGAUUACAAAUUCAUACUUCUGUCUUAUAACCCCAAACAUGCAAGUGCCUUAUAAUGAGUUACCUUCUCGUCUAGUAUUUAAAUUGAGUCUUUAGAGUUGCCUUACAAGGAACAUCUUUAUCUAUAUUCACAAUAGACUUCAAAUCAUAUAUCUUCAAAAAGAUGGGAAAAGAAAAAUUAAAUAACAUACACUUUGGAGUAUUGUCUACUUACAUCAUACCCUCUGAUCGUAUUAAAUUUUGAAAGUGUCUGGUAUCAUGAAUAAGUAAUAAAAUGAUAAGUAAAGAAUCGUUCCCAUGAAAACUAAAUCAUUCCCACUAAAACUAGAUACUUAACCUAUGAUCAAUAAAUGUUAACUUUAAUCAAAUAGCCAAAUAUGUUUGAAGAAUUAAUACUAGUUAACUAAUUAAACUAUUCUAAUGAUAAAAUUAUGAAAGCUUUGUAAAUUUAGAUAAGAUGAUUACUAAGACUUUGAAUCCCCAUUCUUAGUCCAUUUUAAUGAAAUUCAAUAUCAUGACAAUAUGUAUGUGUUCUUGUUGAUCGAUGCUCCUAAAUUAUUUUAUAAUCUCUCUCGAGUAUAAUUAAAUCAAUCCUCUCGUAUGACCUUUUCGUAUCUCUAUGACGGAUGUGAACAUGGGAAUAUUCAUUAAGAGCGUGUUUGAGUCCUUUACAUUGCCCAAAAUGUAUUUUGAAAUAAUAUAUUGAUGGAGAAUGUUUGGUUAGGAAAUAAGAAAAACUUCUGAAUUUUUGUGCAAUAUUAUUUUAUUGAAGGAUGUGUAGUUGAAAAUAAGAGAAAAAUGUAUUUUAAAUAUAAAGGGGACCAAACAAGGACUAAAAACACUAGAACAUCGAUUGGAAUCAUACAAAUCAUAGACGUAUAUCUCUUUCUCUUUUAUGAACCUCAUAAUGGUUGUUAUAAGCGCAAUCUUCCAAUUAUUUCUCUCAAUAACAAUAAAUUUCACAAAUAAUCCAAUUAGUGAUCAAAUAAUUGAAAUGCGUCAAACAUAAUAACAAUAAUUUCAGAAUAAACACAUAUUGAGCAUCCAAAUAUUGAAUUUUUAUUCAAAGCUUCAUAACAAGGGUUCAUCUAUAUCUUAGUAAAUGAAAAUCUAGCUUAACAUUACAAAAGUACAAGAAAUCAUAAUAAUAUGUAGAACGUCACCCGAUUUAUUGAUAAAUUAAGAAGAAAAAGAAGAAGAAGAAGAUAAAUCUUGAAAUUUUGAAUCUCUUCAAUGAUUUCUCUAUUGAUCUCCAAUUUCAUCUUCUCUUUUUUGCCCAAGAAUCAAAAUUGGAUCUUCAAUUGAUUGAAAAUUUUCAAUUUCCUCUUAAUUUUUACAAAAUUUUGUUGAAUUGGCCACACUUUUCUUGUAAUAAUUCAUGAAAUAUAAUGUAUGAGGGGUCCCUUUAAUGUUUGCCCAUGUUCUUGAUUUAUAGAAUGUGAAAUUAGGUCAAGAAACGCGUGUAAAUUGGGUUCCAAAUUAAAAGGUUUCAAUCAAAUAAAGAAAGUUGCCUUUGCGUUGCGCAUGGUUAUGUCUCAGUUUAGCCGUUAGUAUUUUUAUCAAAUUUUGAUAUUUGGUAUUCGAUUGAUGAGAUUUAAAUUGCUUUAGAACUCUAACACAAAGAAAUAAAAUUAUUCUAGAAGUAUCAUUUUUCCAAUUCAGACUUUUACUAUAUGAAAAAUGGGUGUCUCGAUCUAUGACUGAAAAUUUGGACUGGUGAAACUACUUUGACUAUAUUUUAAUACUUCACUUAUUUGACUUCUAAUCACAUCUAGUUGAUCCUAUGUGAUCUCCGAUCAUCUUUUUCUGGUCCGAACUAAUUACUAGAUAUUUAAAAUUAGGUCCCCAAACUUUGGAAAUCCUCAAUUUUCGCUAAUUUUCGCCUCUUUCUUCCAAUUGCACUUUCAAUCAUUGAGUUUUUACCUAACAAACAAAGUAUACAUAAGUAUUAAUUUUACCUUUAUUUCCUAACCUACAUAAGCAUUAGGCUUACCUUUAAUUUUGAACAAUGCCUUACAUUUCCAGCAGCCUUUUUGAUACUAAAAUGACACAUAGCUUUCUUAUGCAUUUGGACACAAGAUUCAUUUAUCUUUGUGGUCAAUGCUUAAUGCCCAUUUCAAACUUCUUUUUAUAUUUCUUUUAAGCUCUUUGAUGACUUUACAUGAUGAAUAGAAUUAGUUCCUUUAAUUUUAAGCCUUGUCUCCUCUUGCACAAACAUACUAUGCAAUUUAUUCACAUGCCACUUGUACUUUGAAGUAUUGUAGUUCAUUUGUAGUGGACCUUAUUCAAUAAGAAAGGAGUUGAUAAUAUAUUGUAUCAUUAAGUUGUCAUCUGAAGUCAUUCCUAUAAUCUUUAAGACUUGCUACAAUAUUAGACAUCUCAAUAACAUGCUGAUGCAUGAAUCAUCAAAUUUUAUGGUGGUUAGAGUACCCAUUAGUGUGUUAGCAAGCGACUUAUCAGGUGUUUGAGUAUGAUUUUCCACAAAUUUAUAUAGUCCUUAGUCAGUUUGAUCUUUCCUAUAACUUAUCAAAAGUCUUUUAUUUGUGAUGCUCAGUGAUGUGAGAGAUCAACAUAUUUUUCUACUUGAAAUAGAAAACAUAAGUGAAAUCAAAGAAUUGAGCCCAUUGAAUAGUUGAUUAUCUAAAGCAUGCAAAUGUAGAGAUAUACGGAUGCAUUAUUUCCUUGAGUUUUAAUUUAAGCAUUUAGAACAUAUUCAAAAGAACCGAUUUUGGGUGGCACCAUUUAUGAAGGGUUGGAAGAACAGUGAUGGCUAGUUCCUUUGACAUUGGUUCUAGGGUGAUUAAAAAUCAGCCAAAAAUAGUGUAGCGUAAUUUUGAUCGACUCUCUCAUCCCAUCAAAUCAAUGAUAUUUUGCUUUUUCUUAAAUUCUCUUCCAAUUUUACUCUCUGUAAAAUAAUUAUUUCCAACAAACGUACUUUGUUUGAUACUAACUUAUAACUAAAAUAAUUAUUUGUAAGCAAAAAAAUUUCGUUAAAAUUAAAAUAUUACUUAUAAGUAAAAUAUUACUUAUAAGAUGAAAAAUUAUUUUUGUGUAAAAAUCUUACUAAUAAGACAAAACAUUACUUAUAAAAUAUAAAAAGUUAUUUAUGAGGUAAAAAAAAUCAUUAAUGAAUAAAAAUUAUUUAAAAAUACAAAAUUAACUUAUAAUUAUAAAGUUUGUAUACAAAUAAGAAAUAGUAACAUAAAAUUUUAAGUAAAUAUUUAUGUCUAUUUAACUUUUUAAGUUAAAUAUUAAUUAUAUGUAAAAAAAAAUUGCAUAUAAGUAAAAUAUCCUUUAUUAUUAAAAAAAUUUCAUACAAGAAACCAUAUAUUCAAAAUUUCACAAAGGGACGUAUAUGUGACUUUACUCUUAAAAAAAAUUUAGAAUCAGUGAAUAAUAAAUUCUAAAGCCUGGGUUACACUAUUUUAAAAAUCACUACUAAAACUACUCAUAAUCGGUCCAUUCAUAAACGCUAAAAAAAUUGGUUCUUUAAAAAAGGCUCAUAACUAGUACGAUGGAACUACUAAGCGGCCCUUAUGAGAUUUACUUAAUCAUUGCUUAAUGGUAAAAUAUUAACCAUCAAUACCAGUUUAGCCAAUUAGAAAAGAAAUUUUGUCAAAAUAUGUAGUCCCAGUGGAAACAACAGUUAAAUAAUUUAAAUCAUCGAAAUAAACUAUAAUUGAGAUGAACAAUAAUUGGAAAAUCACAAAUUCCUUAACCAAGCUCUUUACCUAUGUAUAAGAAUUUAUUUAUUUCUUGUAAAAACAUAAUUUGCUUAUACCUUAGUUUCCAAAUCUUAGAAAUUAAUGAUUUUAACAUGAACAUUCAUCAAUUAAGAUGUAUACCUUGAUCCAUAACAAAUUAUUGAAAGAUUAAACUUGCAAAACAAACCGAAUGAAAGAUUGAAAUUGUCCACUUACUGUCAAAGUGUGCAAUUAUCCUAAUAAGUUGUCCUUGAUAUUGCUAUUUGAUUUACGAUGGUAAUAAUAAUGUAGAACAAAGCAGUAUCACACAAUAAAAGAAGAAUACAAUCAAAUAUUCGUUGAUAAUGUGAAUACUUGAAUAUUUAGAGACAAUAAUUCUAAAGAUGAAUACCAAAAUUGACUCCUGAAAGUUUAAAUACAAAAUAAAUUAUACGUAAUUUCUUAAAAGUAAGGAACGCUAAUUGCUUUUAUACCCUCUACUUAUAACAUAAGUUAUAUCAAUAAAAUAAAAAUGUAACAACUAUUUCUUAGGAUACAUGUGCCAAGAAUGCAAAGUACAGUGUAGCGCAUCCUAUAGGACUCUUUUGUAGUCCUACAUAGAGGUGACAAUGGACUGAGCCGACUCGACCUUUAGACAUCUAAGCUGGGGCUAGACCUAUGCUGACAAGAGCUGAGCCAAAUUCCGUUCGUGUCCACAAACAAUGUUUGACUCAACCCUUUGGCCCAUGAUGACAUGAGUCAAGCACUAGCCGGCUCACGAGCCACUCAUUUUUAAUAAAAUAAUACGAAAAUGAUUCAAAAAGAGAGUUGAACCCUGGUUCAUGAAUAUUUUUUGAACUCGACUUGGUCUACGGCUCAUCUCAAUAUGAGCCCGAGCAGUCCAUGGACCAAUACGAGGUGAAUUGACAAGCGGCUUGGCCCAUUUGCCACUCCAAGUCCUAGAUUUUUCUUCUACAAUUUUAAAUUUGCAGCUGAAGUCCUUAAACUAAAGAUAUUUACAUACAACCCUAGUUAACUUUAGUUAGCUUAUGUUUAGUACAAAUUCUUUAAAAUUUAUUUUAUAAAAAACUCAUUUUCAACCACAUAUAGACCUAUAACUUUUUUCUAUUUUUUGGUCACACAUUCUAAAAUAAAAUUAUUUUUUAUAGAUUUUAUUUUCAAAAAGUUUAUAUCAAUCAGACCCUUAAUAUAAUUAAAUAUGAUUGAUAUAUUAUUCAAUAACCAAUAAUAAUCCAUUAUUUCUGUAUCCCACUACAAAACACGACACAUAAAUACUUUAUCUCCAAUGGGUUUUGUCUAUAAUUCAAAUUUGAGCUUUAGUGUAUAUUUUAUAGGGGAGAGAAAAGAAGUAAACAUGAGAGACAAGAAAUAAGGAACAAGAGACACAAAUAUUAAAUCAUGGUAGUUCAUCCCGUCUACAAGAGUUCCAUAUGUUUCGCCUAGAUGUGGUGUAGCAAUAUGACUUAAGAACCUCAUCUCUGGUGGCAUUACAUCUCCAAUGGUCUUCACAUGAAUAAUGUCUUCAUCAAGCAUCGGCUUUUGUCGAACCUCGCGUAAGCUUAAGGGGUCGAUGCACUCAAUGGGUUCAUCAUACAAGGGCCAGUUAAAAAGGACCUUUGCUUUCAAUGAUCAGCUUCUGUGUCAUGAUGAUUUGGACAACUAGACUGUGGGAUUAGGCUGAUAUGUUCUACAAGGAAACCACUUUAUUAUUUUUAAAUAAUCGCCUAGAAUCAUUUGUGAUCAAGAAGGAUCUGGGAGAAUGGUCUUCAAUAGGGUAAUUCAAUUGGGAAAGGAAACAAUAUUUUAAUAGUCACAAUUCCCCAGCCAAUGGAGGCGUUACAUGGGUGAAUUAGGGUUUGCAACAUAUAAACACAAUUUAAUCUCGAAACUCACCCAUGAAUAUCCUUCCAUAGGUUAAUAACACAUUUACGUCAUUUUUUCAUUGUAGCCAAAACUCUACUUUCUUGUCUCUCCCACAUCCCAUGUCUCUAUGUUCUCCUUCUCAAUUGAAAGUUGACUUGAUCAACAGAUUAACAACGAUCACUUGUCCUUUUUUAUGGAAUGAAGAUCUUGGUACUUAAAUAUUUCUCCAAAUGUGCGGAUAAUAUAUAAGUUAGCAACGGGUGACAAGGGAUAUGUUGACAGCAAUGUCAUUCUAAAUUUUGAGAUCAAUGAAGAUAAUACGACUUUAUGAGGAAAAAAAAAAAAGAGUCCAACUUUACAUUCAAUUAGUUUUGAUCACGUUAUAAAUUGAAUUCGAGUGCACCUAACAACAUAAGUGAUCAAUUUAAAAUAAUUAAUGUGACCAAUGACUCAACAAUUUAAGUGAUCAGUUAAUAGUAAUAAAUGUGACCAAUGAACAUUUAAUUUGAUUUUAUAAAAAAUAAUAUGAUCAACAAUUUUUUAUAUCAAAAUCACUAGUAGUUACAUGUUUUAUUAAUAGUAAAACAAAAAGAGUACAACUUAGAAGGGGGCUGGACUUAACCUCUAGCAAGUGAUGAUCAAAGCGAAUGAGACUUAUUGCAACCAAUGCAAGAAUUAUAUUAAAAAUAUAUUGAAUAGAACUUAGUCAAAUCUAGAAAUAUCUCCGCCUUUCAUGUGUUUUCAUGCGGCUCGUGAUAUAAUUGUGAGUCAUCAACAUAGUCAACCCACUAGAAGGUGACUUCUGAUUGUAACCAAAAGGGAAAGCCCCAAUUUCCAAAAAAUCAUCACGUAGAUAGCCAUAGGCAUCUCUUGCAUAAUUAGCAGAGCGGUGACAGAACUGUUGAACAUUAUAGUUAAAAUCAUGUGUUCAUCCAAAAAAUAUGGAUCAUCCUCAACAAUAACAUUGCAAUCGCCAAGCCCCAUGUCGUCAAUAUUACUUUGAAUGUUUUCUCAUAUUUUAUCUGUACUGUUAAGUUCUUGAACCUAAUUCACCGAUGAGGAGUUAGCUUGCUCUUAUGAUGUUGGGAGUCCUAAAAAUAACAUGCACUAAAUCCUCCACAGCUUCCCUCAAUUUUGGACCUACAUGGACCCAGUGAUUUUGAAGUGAUCGGUAAGUCCCUACUUAACAAAAGAGUCGUUGAAAAUGCCAAACACGCACUUAUCUUUAUUUAUGCAUGAGUCCAGUGAUUUUUCAUCCAUUUGCAAGUUAGUCCCUGUAUUUUCUACAUUUUUCAAUUUGGUCCCUAAACUUUUCAGAAUCUGCAAAUCAUUCCCUACAUUUUUGGAAUUGUAGCUAUAGUCGCAGCCUCUGAUGCUCAAACUCUUGGAAAUAGUAGGAGUACCCUUAUCGAACAUGACACAACAUGGUUAUAUGUAUAAAAUAUGUAUUAGCUCCUCCAACUUUCAAUAGGACGCUUCGCCAUUUUUACUUCUUUCUUCUUCUUCUUCUUCUUCUUUUUUUUUUUUUUUUCCUUUUCCUUUUCUUUCCAAUUUUUGUUCUCUGUAAACUUAGUGCCACCUUUGAGAGGGUGAAAAAGGGCGAUAGCGCUAUGUUUUCUCUUCUUCUUCUUCUUCUUUCUUUUUUCUUUCCAUUUUCUUCUUUUUAUCCUUUUUUCCCUCUCUAUAUUGGGGGUUUAAGGUUUUGUUGGUAUAAAAUGAAAAUGGGUUUCAUAUAGUGCUGCUUAGUACUCCGCUAAGUCUAAAUUACAAUCAAGUCCCUCAAUUUUAUUUUAUAUAACAUUUAGUAAUUAACUUCCAAUAAUUAAAAACUAAACCCCAAAAUUUAAUUUUAUUUGUGUUAAUCCCUUAUUGAAUACUUAUUUCCUUCUUUAUGAAUAAUUAAUUUUGGUUUAUUCAAAAUGACAUUUUUGAUUAGUAAAAAAAUUGAAUCUUGAAAGAUUUACCCAUGUACCCGUAUUUGAAAUUUGGACUCUUUUUAGAAAUGUCUCCAUAUCCUACAUUUUAAAAAAUAAAAGAUCCGACAGUUAGAUACGUACCCGUACCCGAUAUCUGUACUCGAGUCUGAGCAUCACAGGUCGCAGCAAUUUGCCCAUCUACCCACGAAUUUAUAUUGAUCCCUUGAGUUUCUGCAUAAUUCAUUUCAAUCCCUUAGGCCCACUUAAUAAUAAGAUAGGCUUCGUAGUUAUAAGCUCAGGGCCUAAAAAAGAAACAUGGCCCUACAGAUCAUGUUCCAAUGUAGCCCAAUCAAAUUUAUCUUGUCUAUUAGGCCCAAGUUUUCCAUCAGUAACAACAGUGGCCCUUCUCUCAAUUUACCUUCAAUUAGACUCAUUGGGCCAACUAUCCACAAUGAAUUGCUCCAUAAUCUGUUGGUUAGCACUUGACCCAGCAUGAUUAGGCCCAAUUAAAUCCACAUUGUAAUGCGGGAAAAAUUUAUAUUUCAGGUAUAUUCUUACACCAUUUCAAAAAUCUGGUAAGAAGUUUGAAAAUUCAAAAUUCAGGUUUGUAUUUAAUUAAUUAAAAAUAUUUAUUAAAUAAAUAUAUUAAAGUCACGAUUAAUUAAUUAAUGGUCAUAGAUUUAUUUACUGGUCAUAUGUCAUCAAAUUAAUUAAUUUCAAAUUUAUUUAUGGUCACAUAUAAAUUUUUUUUAUAGGUUACAAAUAAUUUCGAGGUCACGGAUCAAAAUUUUUAGAGGUCAUGGAUUUUUUUUAGACACGGAUUAUCAAAUUUCAAGGUUACAGACCAAAUCGUUGAGAUCACAGAUUGUCAAAUUUUAAGGUCACAUGCUAAAUCGUUGGUCACAUAUACCAAAUACUCCAUUGCCGAACCCAAUCCACCACCAACGAUUAGUCACAGAGCAACCAAAUGGUCACCACCAACAAUGUCGCCACCACUAGAUCCAACAUAUUGCCAACAAAAAUCACCACAACUACCACAAUCAGAUUUAUACACACAGAACUCACACAAAUCAGCACAAAUACACCAUAGAUCUACCACCUGCGCCAACGACCAUCGUCACCACUGUAGCCACAACAAUAAUCCUAAAACCACCAAACACAUAAAAUCAUUGCAGCCUCGAUCUGUGCCAUCAUCAUGUCGCUACAGCCAUCAUGCACAGCAUCGCGUUGAGAUCUUCGUUCCCUCCACAGAACCGCACACCUCCACUACCACCGCAAUCGCAAAACUAGAACACCAUCAUAGCGCAUCGCUCCACCUUCCCCGAUGGUGUCACUGCAAGGCGCCGAUCAACCAGCUAGAAUAGAGAGGGUGUUGGUAAGGAAAGGGAUAAAGAUGGAAUGGAAAGAGGGAGGUAGAAGGGAGAGAGAUCUAGGGUUUGCUAUAUGAGAGUUGAAAUCGGCUUCUAUUGUGUUUUAAUUUAAUAUUUAAAUAUAUAAUAACUAAAUUGAAACCUGAGAUUUACAUAAACAACUUUGGAACCUGACUCUUGCAUUGGGAUCUACAAAUACCUGAGAUUUUGUAAUUUCCUCUUGUAAUGCCCUAAGAGCCUUAGGUUCAUUUAAAGAAGUUGGCCCAAACUACCAUUUUCUUGUAACAUUUCAGUUAAAUGAUUGAUGUAGACUAUAGUAGUGGGUCCUAAAAACUUCUGACCCAUUUGAGAUGACCUACUUAUGUAAUUUGUCUAAAUAACAUUUUAUUUAGAGCAAAUAUGCUUCUAUUUGGCCCACAUUAAAUUCUAUUAUAUUGUAUUCUAUUUUCUCUCUCUUAUUUUUAACCAUACAAUUUUUCAUAAAAUAAUAUUACACGUAAACAGAAAACUUUUCUUUCUUUUUCAACCACUCAUUUCUCAAAAAAAAAAAAAAAAAAAAAAAAAAACACUAUCCACUCAUUUUUAUUUCCAUAAAAUGGGGGCCAAACGUGGGAUAUAUAAACUUUCCAUGUUGUUGUGUAAAUUUUCUUAUUUUACUCGAAAAAUUUAAAAAAACUUAUUAAGAGGUGUAGCAUAAUCCCUUGUACUCAGUAUUAUUUGUAUACUCGAAAGAUUUGAGAUUUUACCCAUCAGAAAAUUAAUUAGUCCGAAGAUAGGUUACAUGUCUUCUUCCUAAAUUUGUAUUUUAUUUGAACUUUCAGUAAAUAAAUACUUUUACUUUGUUGUGGUGGGAAAUUUGAAAACACUUCAAUUAGGAACUUGUUUUUUCUUAUUUAUUUAUUUAUUUAUUAUUAUUUUUUUGGGUAAAUUUUUUUUGUCUACAAAAUGUGUAGCACAUUGUCGGCCCUCCAAGUAGUUGAGAAUAAUUUCUCAGGAAUGCACCAGUUUUGUAGAAACAAAGAAGAUUAAAAGAGAGAGAGAGAGAGAGAGUAAAAUAAUAAUGUACCUUAAUCAUAGAGUUAUACAAUAUUGUUCAUCUAUAAAUACUGCAUGCCCUUCUUGAUGAUCAUAGCAUAUUUACAAUUGACUUCCUCGCUAGAGAAAAUGACAGAAUUAGAGUCAACUAAGCUGCUUUAACUUAUUUGUGUUGUUAUUAUUAUUUAUUUUUAUUUUAAUUUUUAUUUUUUGUGUUCGUUGUCUCAAGUUUCCUUAUCUUCUUGAGCUCUAUUAUUCAAUUGCUAGUUCAACUAGCAUCAUCUAUUAUUCAAAAGCUUUGAUGUAGCUUUUCUUGACUGUUAGUGUAUGUAUGUACAAUGUCUAUUUUUAUUUAUAUAAAGAAUUAUGCUGCUGAAAUUCUUGAGCCCGUUGAUGAUCUGCAAUUGAAUGUGAGACCCAGCCUAAUGAUUGGAAUAUUUUAAUUGAAGGUUCCAUAUUUAACAAAGUCAUGUUUUUUGGAAAUACAAUUUUAACACAAACGCAUCCUACACUGGAUUUCUUACACCUGGCACAACUGUGACUGUUGGAUUGGUCUCUUGGAUGCGCCCCAUAUAAAUAGGGUUAGGAGGUUUUUGUCUAACCCUUAUCUCUUUUGACUGCCGCUUUUCUUCUUCGUUUUCUUCAUCUUCUAGAUGAUUUUCUUUGUGAUUUCUGAGUGAAAUAUUGUAAUAGAACAAUAGAAGUGAUGAGAUUCAUCUCUUAGUGAGAUUAGUGUAUGAUUUUCUGAGGGUCUGAUUGAAAAACGGCAGAACACUUUCAUCUUUUGUAACUUGUUUUUGCCCAUUUAGGGAGCGGUGAUAGUGGAUUUGAGCGUAAUCUGUAUGUAUGGAUGCUCAAUGGGGAUGUAGGCGUUAGUUGGUCGCCGAACCUUGGGGCCUUUCGGCCAAAAAUCCCUUCGUGUUCUUUUAUUUUCUAUUAAUUUGUAUUUAUUAUUUUUACUGUAAAAUACUCAAGUCACAAAAGAAUUUGUAAUACUAGGAAUUACAGUGGUAUCAGAGAUACUAUCAAAAUCCUUUUUCAAAAUAUUAUUGUUCGAAUCUUUUCUGUGACUUGGUUGUACUAAAAAUUGCCAAAACUGAUAGAUCUAAUUUUAUUGUACAGGAAACAAUCUUCGAUUUGAAUCUUGAGUAGAUCAUCGGUAUCAGUUGGUACUUUCAGCAUAAGCUGCAGAUCUGGUGAAAUCUAUACCUAGCCCCAACUUUAAUACUUGUCGAAUCUUGAUUAGGAAUUAAGUUUAAGGAUUUUUCGAACCCCCUUUAAUUUACCUUUGUCUAGGGUUUCAUGAGAGAACCCCUAAAAUCUGAGGAAAUUAAGGAACAUUAAAGAAAAUCCAUUAGGGGUUUAUUACUUUGUGUUCUGCAAUUUUUGUUAUUGUCCUUGCAUAACCUAAUUCUUGUGUAUAGGGUUGACAAUACUAAUCAUCUAUCUGCAAUUGAUAUUAUUCAAUUGACUUUUGUGUCAGUACUCACGUCUGUAUAAUUUUGCAAGAAAGUGCUUUAUUUGUUACUGUAAGGAUUAAUUUGUCAAUUGUUAAGUUUACUGAGUGUGAACUAUUCUUUAUGUUAUAUACCUCUGUUGUGUUCUGCAUAUAGUGUGAUCUGUUUAGCUGAGAUUAGAUCUUGUCUGAAUCAUCUUGAACCUUACUAUGACAUACUUGCACAAUAUGUCCACUAAAAUUGAUAUUCAACAUUGGGAUGGCAAAGAAGAUUUUACUCUCUGGAGCCAGAAGAUGAAAGGUCUAUUAAUGCAAUUGAAAUGUGUUAAAGCAAUUGAUGAAUCUUGACCAGAAACUUUAUCAAAAGUUAGGAAAAUUGAGCAAGAUGAAUUAGCAUGGAGUAUCAUAUUUCUUCACCUAUCUGAUUUUGUGAUUAGAAAGAUAGGAACCACCACUACUAUCAGUAAAUUAUGGACAGCCUUAGAAAAACAAUAUGUUUCUAAGUCUCUACCAAAUAAGUGUUUUCUUUGAAAACAAAAUUUCAACCAUAAAUUUGAUCCUACUGCAGAUCUAGAAGAAAAUAUGGAUAUAUUUAAUAAGAUUAUACAAAAUUUCAAUUGUGGGGAAAAGAUUUCAGAUGACCAGAAAGUAGUUGGUCUACUAAAUGCUCUGGGUGAUAAGUAUAAAGACAUAAAGAAUGCCUUAGAAUAUGGUAGGAGUGAUCUAACUGUUGAAAUCAUUCAGACUCACUCAAGAAUAAAGAUCUAGAACUUAAAUUUGAACAUAAAGUUGCCUUACAUGUUGAAAAAUCCAUGUCCAAUCCAAAACUCCCUACAAAAGGCUUAAAUAACUUGAGUCAAGCUAAUUACAAUAGAGAUAAAAAUUUCUCUAAAAAGAAAUGGGGGAAUAAUAAAGGAAAGGAUAAAAAGGUAUACAAGGGAAAGGCUAAUAAUAGGAAAUGCUAUUAUUGCGGUAAAACUGUCAUUUGAUAAAAAAAAAAAAUUGUUUCAAGAGUGCUAAGGAUCUAGGAAAUGGCCCUAAGCAUGAUAAUGGCACUUCAGCUAUUGCUGUUUCCUGUAAAAGGGAAGAGAAUGCUGAUAUUAGGGUAGCUUAUAUGCUCUCAUUAGAAAAAUCAGAACAUGAUUGAGUUCUAGAUUCAAGAUGCUCCUUUCACAUGAGCCCUAAUAUUAACUAGUUUACUGAUUUCACAAGCCUUAGUGGUGGGUGUGUAAAACUGGGAAUAAUGAUUCCUGUCAUGUAAAAAGGAAUUGGAAAUAUUGUUUUAAAAUUGAAAAAUUGUCAACUCCUAAGGCUAAACCAUACUAGGUAUGUUCCAGCACUUAGAAGGAAUCUUAUAUCACUGGGGGUAUUAGAUGAUGAAGGGUAUCAAAUUGAAAUUAAUGAUGGUUUUACCAAAAUAAAUAGAAAUCAGUUACUUAUAUUCAAAUCACCCAAAAUUAAUGGUAUCUAUACCCUAAACCAUGAUUUUGUCAUUUAGAAUACUGCUGUGAAUUUGGUCACACAACUAGAUAAUUAUGAAUUGUGGCACAAAAGACUAGGUCAUCUAAGUGAGAAAGACCUAAAGAUACUUUCAAAGGCUGAUGUUGUUAGGAAUGACAAUGUUCAGAAGUUAACCUUAUGUGAACAUUGUAUUAUGGGAAAACAUAGGAUGCCCUUUAAUCAUGGUAUACAUAAGUCCCAAAAUAUACUUGAAUACAUUCAUAGUGAUUUAUGGGGGCCUGCACCUUUGUCCACUGCAUCUGGAUAUAGAUAUUAUCUCCUUAUUGUUGAUGACUGCUCUAAGCGUUAGUUGGUUGCCGAACCUCGGGGCCUUUCAGGCAAAAAUUACUUAGUGUUCCUUUAUUUUCUAUUCAUUUAUAUUUUUUAUUUUUACUGUAAAAUACUCGAGUCACAAAAGUGUUCGUAAUACUAGGAAUUACAAUUUAUUUAUUUAUUUAUUUUUAAUACAAAAACUGUUUGCCACAUGUUGCAGUAUUAAUUUUGGAUUACAUAUCUCCAAAUUAUCUUGCGUUCAGACUAGUAUUAGAACCUUGAAAUAACAACAACAACAACAACAACAACAACAACAAUAAUAAUAUCCAACAGUCUUGUUUCCCUUGUGCUUCAUUUUAAUGGAAAAAUUUGAUUAUUAUUUCAUUCAUCAACCAUACAUACAUUCAUCCAUUCAUGAAUAAAUCCUAUCAUUCAAAUACACGCAUAGAACAACUCUGGGAAUCGCUUAACUAAAAAAUCAUACAAUAAAUCAAUAAUUAGGAUUAAGACACAAGAAAACUUUAGACCUACACUUUAAUACCACUUUUUGAGCUGAUCACUAGAUUUAGGAAAAACAAAGAAAAAAAAUGAAAAUAAGUUUAAUGGACCAGGUCUUCACUAGAAUCUAUGUGUUGCAUUUCUAAUUAAUUGCCACAGAAGUGUUUCGAAGUUAAACCUAUUCCAAGCAAUUAAUUUCUUUAUCUUCUUGCUUGAGGGUGAUUGAUUUGAAAGCUUCCUUCUCAAUCCCAAAAACUAGUUUAAGAGGUGAUGCUUUCCUUUACAUUUAUAAACUCACCAGCCCGUUUCACAAUCGAUGUGGGAUAACUUCAACAAUCUUUCCCUCACACAUCGGGUCAUACUGGAGAUCAAACACGUCUAUCUCUCGCACAAAUUCACAUCUUCUAUGACUGUUGGGCUUGAGUCGUGUUGAUAACCUGAGCUCUAAUAUCAGUGUUGGGUGAUAUUGAGCUUCUCAACCCUAAAAGUUAAUUCAAGAAGUGACGUUUUCCCUCACACUAAUAAACAGACCAUCAGUUCCUUUCACAAUCAAUGUGAGACAACCCCAACAAGUAAUUGUUCCUUCCUUAAUCCACAAGCUUCUAACCCUUGGAAUCUUCUCCAAAACCUUGUUGCACUUGAUUUGUGGCACCAAUAAUCAAGAUUUCCAAUUACCAAAUUCCUAAUCCUCAAGAAUUCACAAGAAGCUAUUACAUAUAUCAAGAACUCUCUUAAGUAAUGGAAGUUGCAUUGUAUGUUUGUGUUCUUUUUUCACGUCCAGUUAGAUCUAUAUAUAAAACUAAAUAGCCUUGUUCAUUGUUCCAACACGAUUGGGAUUCCAAUUAUAAAGAAACUUGAUAACCAAGUUAUAUUCAUAAAAAAAUUCCUUUUAGGACUUGGUCAAAUUUUAAUUCGUCAAGCUCGUCGUUGCUUUUGAUCAAUGAAUGACGCGAGUUAAAGUCUGACCCAAUCAACUAUGCAACCUGUUAAUUAAAUUAUUACCAUAAUUAACUCCAAGUUUUUAUUUGAAGCUAUCAAAGGCACCUGAUCGGACAUAUAUAAUUCAAGCUUCCAAUAGUUUGGUCCCAAUAACUCCAAUCCAUAUUGUCCGGUCCCAUUAUGAAUCUAUACUUAUUCCACCUAAGGCCCACAAUUGCACUCUUGAAUUACAUAGAUUUGCAUAAGCAAUAUUAUUUCAAGUCUCCAUAGUUACAACCUUAUGACUUGCUAUCUAUAUGUUCGACGGACAUUUAAGAAGUGGUGCAGGAUCAAAAUGAACUUUUUCUCUUUUAAUUAUUAUCUCACUUAAGCUAUCAUUUUCUUCAACGGUUUCUUUGCGAACAGAUCGUGGGAUUAUUCGGGCAUCCACAAAUGGUGAGUUCAGAUCAAACAACCCAUAAGAGAAUACUUAAGUUGGUUCAUUUGCAUAUUUGAAUAGGGGCAGGUAUCAAAAAAGAAUAUCCAUUCCUUUGUUUUCAGCUCCAAAUUUAUUGAGAUGUUUGACUAUAUAUAGAUCUUACUCAUUGGCACAUCAAAUAUAAAAGUUCACAAAUAGAGAACACUACCUCUGUUUCGAAUUCUGUUAAUCUAUAAAAUAGUUAUUUAGAGUUCAAUUUUUCGCACGAUCAUUCGGUAGACUUAAAAUCUAUCAAGAGGUCCUAUCUAAUGCACUUCAAGAUAUACUCAAUGGGCCAAUGUUAUGAAUCCUGAUAUCGUCUCGCCACGAUCAAGACAAAUCGUGAAUUCCAUGUAGCCGAUCCUAUGACCAUACUAGAACAAAGUAUUAAUCUUUGCUCAUUCGCCAACAGUGAAUAUUCCAAGAUGUGGAAUUCGAGUAACAUAUGGGUUUAUGAUUCGGGGUUUUAACAGCAUUGAUGUGCAUGGGUUGGCUAUCCAUUGCAGGACUAUUAAGAGAGAGAAGAAAGCAUAAAAAAUUCAACUCAAAAUCAAAUUCUGGAGUUCAUUAUUCGUCAUAUUAUGUGAGAGGAUCCAGGAUUAAUUAGUCGGGUACCUUUUUGGCAUAAACCAUAUAUCUUUGAGAGAUCGCAUUUCUUAGGGUUGGUAGUAAUGGAAUGCUUGCAAGUUUUUUUUUAGAAGAUUUUCUCAAGUCCUUACCGACAAAAUUAAUAUUAGGAUUGACGUGUUUGUUCCUUUCGAUUGUUCCCAUUAUGGAACCCUUUGGUUCAGCAUUGUAUUUGGUUCUUCAUAUGAAGUUGUCUUGGGUUACCGUUCCUAUCAUCGUCCUUACAAUUAUUCAAAUAGUUAUUUUCUCCAUCUUGUAGUUUCCUCUCUUGAUUGAGAUGACAAAUCGUCUUAUGGCUUUGUGAUAUUCAAUAAACCUAAGAAGAAAGUCUGCCAUUGCUAUGUUCCGCUCAUGUUUGAUAUGGUGGAAUAGAAAGUAUAUGACACUAUUGCAGAAGAAAAAGAAAUUAAAAUCUUAUCAAUCAUACUAUAAAGUAUUAUUGAAUACAACGUCAUAUUGUUCUCUUCCUUCAUUUUGGUUUCUGUCAUUUUAAAUGUUUAUGAUAGAUUCCUGGCAUUUUUUCAUAUGAAUUCCAUUGAUGAAAUCCGUUUCUCCAUUGUUGAGGCAUUUAAUUAGACGAUAUGUGCCUGUUAAUCCAAGGAAUAGAGGUUUUCUUUGUACUUGUUUGUACCUUUUAUUUUUUUAUUUUUUUUGUUAAUGUUGGAUUUUGAGACCCAAUAAAUCCGGGUGAUGAUAUUAAAACGAUGUUAGGAAAUUUAUAUUGGCGCCUUAGCAAUUGGUUCGACCUGAAAACGACUUCGGCCAUUUGAAGAAACUUAAUUAAGAUUGCUCGUGGCCCAACACUUUAGUUGGCCCAUGUGAGUGUUAGCCCAAUUGGUGGUGACAUGAGAGUUAGCCCAUUUUGUGGUAAGUUGAGACUUUGGUUGUGUGGCCCAUUUACAUGUCUUUGGCCCAAAUUCGAAGGUAGCCUAAUCGAAGGCUUUAUAUCCAUCCUCUCCAGCCGUGUGUUUUGUGGGUUAAUUUGGCAUAGUGGAAAGAAAACGUGAGGCAGCCGUCUUGAGGGGGGGAAAAUAGGAGUUCAACCAUUACUUCUUCUAUUCUCUUUCGCCUUUGUUGGUGCAAGUUGUUCACCAUGCGAGCAUGGGUGUGUGCAAUAGAGGCAAGAGAAAUAGGUAGCCGUUAUGGGAGACUUUGUAUUCAACAAUUGCUACCCUUUUCUUCUUCAUCCCUUUGUAAUAUUGCUACAACCACCACUGUAUCUCCACCUCUUACUAUGACUAAGUUGCUUCGGACAUAGAACUUUGGAGAUGCCAAUAUAAUUAUAAUGAAAGUACCAAAAUGCUCGUUAACUUACAAAACGAGGAUAGUAGGUGCAAUUUUCUUCGUUUAAAAGUUCAUGUUGCAUGCGUCAUUAAAUUAGUUGAUAGCGUGACCGUUAGAUAGAGCUAAGAGAAAUCUUCUAAGAAAUGAGGCAAUAUCACCAUUUCACCAAUUUUGCAUCAUGUUGACCUCGAAAUAAGAUUAAUAAUUUUUUUUUUUCACUAUCUAGAAUUUUCUCCUCCUGGUUUUAUGAUCAAGCAAGAGCAAGAAAAGACAAUGCUAUUUAAAAGGAGAAUAUUUUGAUAUUGCAUUCCUUUCUUUGUCGCCAAUUAUGUUAUUUAUAGAUUUCUAAUGAGGUCUUAGAGGUAAUUAAGUGCCUUUCACUAAUAACGUGGCAAUCAUUCACUGGUUGAUUUCUAACCGAAUUUGCUAACUUUUCACAUUUUAUUCACGAGUCUCUAUAUUUCUCAUUCAUUGGCUCUGAAAUCAUACUUUAUAUUUUUACUCAUGUGUGCUUUGAUAAUGGUUAUUGUUGUUGUGGAAUAACUAAUGAAACUAGUUAAAGAACAUUUGCUCACUUAUGUUAGCUUGAGUUCGCAUGUGAUUUGGUUUGCUUUGAAAAUGUUUGCGGGCAGAAAUAUAGGUUCUCCGCUAAUCCUUUGUAAAUUUUAAUUACAACAAAUAUCUUCAAAGUUAGAAUCUAAUCAUUUAUAUUAAGUUUAAGACUUUAUUUAAUUUCUACGACAAAUAUUUAAUUAUUUUAGAAUUUAUUUCGGUAUUAUGAGCCCUUAAAAAUAUUUGCGACAAACGAGCCUACAACAUGGCUUGUUUUGUGUGGUUUAACUGAUUCCGAGUGAAAUAAGGUUGGAUGAUUAACAAAUGAUCCUCGAAGUUCAGGCUUAACUAUUUUUGUUAAGUGCUGAACUUGUGAACUUAAGGCAAGGAUUUUAAUACUAAAAAUACCUAAGGAUAUUCCACUCACCAAUAGCAGUUGAUGUAUGGCAUGAUGAAGGGACGUGUAAUGAUUACUACGGUUCUUUACAUAUAUCAAUGGGGAUGUUGCAUACUUCAAGGUACAUAGGCUGUUAGGGGUGAACACGGUUCGAUUUGGACAAUUUGAAAAGUUUCAAACCAAACCAUUUAAAGCGGUUUGGAAUUUUUUCAAACCAAACCAAAUCACUUCAAUUUCUAAACCAAACCGAUCCAAACCAUUUUUUUCGGUUCGGUUUGAUUUAAAACCAUGGUUUAACAAUGAAAAAUUUUUAUAUCAAAUAAGUUAAAUCGUUUAGUCUAAAAUUUCACAUUAAAACAUAACUUGUAUUGUUAAAAAAAUUACAAAUCAAAAUUAUAUAAUUAUAAUCAUAAUAAUGCAACAACAUGAUAAAAAUAUUUUAAACUCUUAACCAAUACUAAUGACAUCCAUUUACAAUUGUAAUACAUAAUUUAUUCUUUUGAAUUCAUUGAUUAUAGUUAAAUGAUAUAACUAAUAAAAGAAAAUGAAUAAAAAAUAAAAUACAAUAAUACCUAGCUACUGUGACUUUUUGUGAAUCAUUCAAUACUUCUACUCUAUCCAAAUAUUAGGAAUUAAUUUAAGGAAGCCUGAUAAUUAUUAGAACAAAACAACACAACUACCAAUAAAAACAUAGAGCACAGUUCUUUACAUAUAUCAAUGGGUACGUAGGCUGUGCUCAUUUAAUUCACGUGUUGCUAACACAUGAUUCGAUUUGAAUUAUUUUUGGAUCAUACUAUAUGUAGAAAUUUUUUUUACAAACUCCCUUACUACUUACAAUGAGGGUGUGGAUCAUAAGUCGACAUUGUUUAAAUUCACGUGGGGUCUGCUAAUUUUGUGAGAGUGAGUACACCAUUUUGUCAACAAGACUUUAUACAAAUAUUAUUAUUCAUUAUUUUUAGGCCCCUUUUUUAUAUCCAAUGCUAAUAUCUUUCAUCAGAAAAUAUAAAUACAACACCUCUAUUAUUUGUUUCUAGAAGUAAGUAGCGUAGUCAGAUGCAAAAAUAGCAUAUAUUAACGUAGAUUGUUUUCAGAGGUUGGAUGAUGUUGUAUGAUGUUUUAAUGAAUGAAGUUUUUCAAAAAAAAUAAUUUGCUUUUCUUUAACUUUGUUGUUAUAUGGUGUUUAAAUGAAUUAUUUACAUAAAUGUAAUAUUAGAAGGUAAUAUGGAUUUCAAAUAGUAUUUAAAAAAAAAGAUAAAUUUUAAUAAGAAUAGAUCUAGAGUGGGAUAGAUAUAUAAAAAGAAUUGGUAAAAAAAUUAGCGGCUCCCUUGACUGCCCAACAGGAAACUUAACACUUUCCAUUUGCUAAUAUGGUAUUAAAAAUUUCAUUUAUAAAAUGGAGAAUUGGGAAAGUUUCAGUUACAGUAUUUUAUGUGUUUGUUUUUACAUUUUUAAGUAUACUUAGCCCUUGGCCCUGUUUUAUCAAAAACUCAUUUUUAAUUGCAUAUUCUUCAAUAAAAUAAUUCCAUACGUAAAUCAAUUUUUUUUUUAGCCGCACAUUCUCCAGAUAACGCUAUUUCCACCAAAAUGGGGGCUCAAAUAAGUGCUUAUUUGAUUCUUUUUAUUUUUAAAAUAUAUAUUUCUCUCUCUUCUCUUCAACAACAUAUUUUUGAAUAAAAUAAUAUUACACAGAAAUCCAAAAUUUUUCCUUAUUUUUUAAUUACACAUUCUCCAUCAAUCUACUGUUCUAAAAUAUAUUCUUUAGAAAUAAUGGAGCUCAAACAGUAGGACAGAUUUUUUUUAGUAUUUAAUGAAAUGUUUUAUUUUUAAUGGUACAUAUAUGGUUUUUCCCCAUUUAUCUUGUCUAUUAAACCAAGUUUACCAUCACUAACAACAGCGGUCCUUUUCUCAAUGGCCAAAUAUCCACCUUCAAUUAGACUCAUUAGGCCAACCAUCCCCAAGAAAUUGCUCCAUAAUCUGUUGCUAAGAACUCGGCACAGCAUGAUUAGGCCCAAUUAAAUCAACAUUAAAAUGCCCAAGUAACUUAGGUUCACUUAGAGAAGUAACGUAUUUUUGUCAAAUAUUUUUUUUUGUUUAUUUACAUUUUUAUUAUUUUAAUUAUUAAUAGCAAUUCAACCCAAACUACUAUUAUCUUGUGAAAUUUGAGCUAAAUGGCUUCUGUAGAUGACCCGUUUAAAGAUGACCCACUUAUGUAAACAUUUUAUUAUGGCUUUAUUUUGUGAGUAUUAAAAUUAAAUUUUUAGUAAUUUUUAUAAAAGUUGAUAAAAUGUACAGUUGAAAAGUUGUGAGUCAUAUAAAAUAUGUGAUUAAAAUGAAUUGUUGACUUCCACUUAAAUUAAAAUCUGAAUUUUAAUUUCUAUCAAACAUUGGCUAUAUAAACUUUCCAUGCUAUUGUGCAAAUUUUCUUAUUUCACUCGAACACUUUUAAAAUGUAUUUUGAAGUGUAGCAUAAUCCCUUAUACUUUGAUUAUUAUUUGCAUAUCUAAAAGAUUUGAGAUUUUACCCUUUUAGAAAAAAUUAAUUUGUCCAAAGAUAGGUAACAUGUUUUCCUUCAUAAUUUGUAUUUUAUUUUUAUUUUUAGUAAAUAAAUACUUUUACUUUGUUGUGGUUAAUUUAGUUAAAAGCACUAUUCUAAAAGGCUAGGAGCCGCUAAUGUGCAAUGCACGGUCGAAAUGCCAAAUCAAGUGGCUUGGAGCUUCAUUUAGCUGUCAACAGCCAUCGUUGACCUCUAAGGUACGGUUAUGCUCAUCUAGGCGGCAUAAUUAUAUAUUUUAUUUAAAUUAUUAUUAUUAUUUUUAUUUUUUUCCCAGUUCUUCUAAAUUAAAACUUAAAUGUUGAUUCUUCACUUCGUUGGUUCUAAAUCUAAAAUAGUCGCUUGAAAUCUUGAACAAAAGAAAUCUCUCAAAAAUUCCUAUUUAUUCACUAUUUAAUAUUUACAAUUGAAACUUAUCUUUUUGUUGAAAACUUUGAAAAAAUGUAUAAAUUUAUUUUAAAUGUUUGGCAGGUAUUAAUUUUAAUUAUUAAAGGAUUUUCAAUUGAUUAAAAAUUAAAAUAAAAAGAUGUCUUUUUACGCUUAUGCCUUGCCUAAGCUUGCCGAGCCCAUAGUUUGGCCUCCACGUAUCGUCACGCAUUAUGUUUUUUAGAACAUUGGUUAAAAGAACAAAAAAGGAAUCAGAAAACAUUUCAAUUAGGAACUUUUUUUUAAAAAAAAAUUUUUUGGUAAAUUUUGUUUGUCGGCACAAUGUGCAUACAUUAUUGGCUCCAAGAAUAAUUGCUUAGGAAUACACCAGAGUUCUGUGGACAGCAAAGAAGAAAAAAAAAGAGAGAAGACAAAAAGUAAAAGCCAAAAAAAAGAAAAAGAAAAAGUAAUGUACCUUACUUUAGCACAGGGUAAUAAUAUAUUAUGCAUCUAUAAAGACAGCUUGCCAUUUAUUUAUGGUCAUAGCAUAUUUACGAGCGUCCUUCCACGAGAAAGAAGAUGACAAAAUUAAAGUCAAGUAAGAUGAUUUUAAUUUACUUUGCAUUAUUUGCUGAGUUUGUGGUUAGUUCUCAAGUUUCCUUUUCAUUUGGAACUCUAUUAUUAAAUUGUUAGUUCAACUAGCAUUCUCGAUAUUAUGCUUUGAAUGAGCUCGUGAAGUAACCAAAAACGUGUUACUUUUUGUGAUCCUUUUAAAAUGCUCGGCAAUUCAACUUUCGUGUGCAGUUUGAAAACACUAUUUAUCACCGAUGUCACGAAAUUUUUUUGAUUUAAGUUAUCGUAAGUACACAGUUCGUUAAUAAGUAGUGAAAUGGAUUUUGAGUCGAGUAUCUUACUCACAGAAAUUGUACUAAUUUAAAUUUAAAUUAUCUUCGGCUUAUUUGAAACAAUGAAACUUAUAAUUUUUCUAUACUCAAAAUGUAAUCACUUAAAUUAUGUAUCAAUGCAGAAUCUAAACUAAUUAAAAUCAAUGCAGAGUUAUAAUUAAAUUAAAUACUAUUCAAUUAUGAAGAUCAAUAUUUCUAAUUUUCUUAACAAUCUCUCUCGAGUAAAAUUAAACAUAUUCUUACAUGUGAUCUGACUAUAUUUCUAUGACAGAUGCAAAUAUACAAAAAUGCAUUAAGGAUUUGGGAUUUAUGAAUACUUAAUGAUCAUAUAGAGUAUAGCAAUAUAUUUCUAUUAUCCUAUCGAACUCUACAACAAUUGACAUUGUGUUUAACUUAUUUUCAAUCUUUCAAAAGUAAAACAAGUCACAAAACUCAUACAAUUAUUGUGCAUAUAAUUGUAGAAAAAAAUAAAUACAUGUCAAUAAUUCAAUAAUUGAGAACAUAUUUUGAAUGUCAAAAAUAAAUAAGGUUAAAAAAUCAAAGGUUUUUUAUAUAAGUUUGAUCAUGAUCAUAGCACAAAAAUCAUAUAAUUAUUCAUAAUAUCAGACUUAAACAAAUAAAAGUGAAACAAUAUCACCAAUAAAUUGAUGGAACGUAAUUAAUUUUCCAAAUUGAGAUUGUCGUGUUUUUCCUAAUAUUUGGCCGAAUUUCUCUUGUGCGUUUUUCUAUCUUCUGCCUCUCUCAGCACGUGUCCCUCUCAUUCUUUUUUUUUCUUUUCUAUUUUUUCAUUUCCCAAUAUUUGGGCCUUUUAAUUCUGUUAAUUCCAAUUUUUUUUCUUUUUUCCCCCCAUUAGGAGUCCAUAUGCCAUUGCCAUUCUCUUCUCUCUCCAAUUCUGCCCUUAGCCUUAAAAUAAAAAAGGAAGUCCAAUUGUGAGUCUAGCCUGUUUAGGUUUUCCAAAUAUAAAUUCUUCCUAAAGUGUCGUUCAUGCGACCUCGAUGAACUAGCGCAAUCAGCAACUGAUGUGAUUGAAAGGGCCAAGGUCAGCGUGACUGCAACAGUAGUGAGAACCGGAGACUGCUCUGUGUAAAGAGCUGUAGCUGGCGAGCUCGACUGCACCAAAGGCAAGGUUGGGGAGGCAAGCUUUUAAAGGACAGCUCAGGGCGGUACCUCUUCAGAGGUUGGACAUCCUUCCCUGUCUUCUCUGAAGCUAAGCUCACCACCGAUGGAACCUCUCUCUUGUUCCCUUUAAAGCAGUUGCUACCUUAGUUGGCUUAUAUCCCAGCAUUUCUGGAUUAUGAGCUGAAAAACACAAAUAAAUACAACAUUUAUCAUUUUUAUAAAAAAUAACCAGCUCUCCCAUAAAAAGUAACUUAAUCCUUACUUGAACUAGCUGGGAUGGAAGUCAAUGUUCCAACUGUGGACGGACUUAGGACUCUUGUUUGGAUUAAACACACUCGAAAGAGGUUGGAAUUCGAGAUCACGUACUUACAGGAACUCUGUCUCUUCAGCAAGGCCCUUAUCUCCUCAGCUCAUCUCUGAGUGUCUUUUUUCAAAGUUGCCUUCUUGUAAUCUGCAAAACAAGGCAAAGUUUAAUAUUACUUCACCAGUUACUUUAACCAUAGCAUCAAAAUAUAGUUACUUACAUAAAGAAUGGUAGAGUGUGGGGACCAUCCUCCCUAUUCACUUCGACAGGGUGAAACUACCACUCCCCUGACACAUAAAAGAAUUUCUCCUUCCACUUCUCGAUGGAGGAGGGAGUGUCCAGCACUAAGGAAUCACCCAUCCUUAGCCUAACACUGGUAUGCCAACAGUCGAAGUUCUUCCCAUCCUUCUUGAAUGUGAAAAGGGAAUUAAACUGCUUUGCACUCAGCUCGGGAUUUCCUAACCUAUUACAUAAGAUUAAGGGGACGAUUAAAGUUCACCACCUGUUGGGGCAUAGCUAAGUGGAAGCUAUACCCCAAAAGGAUAGGAACUUACGAAUGACUCUAGAAAUGGGCAGUCUAAGCUCGGUAUGUAAAAUGGUAGAAUUUAGAGAACACAUCUCCCUGGGGAAGCGUUAGUGCGGUCAAAAGGUUUAGGGAUUAUCAUUAUUAUCAAGCUCGAAAUGUCAUACCUAGCUUGCCAGCUCGAUAACAAAUCACCCGUUACAACCGACUUAUAAGGGUUCGCCUCCCACUCCUCAGGGUUAUUCCUCUCACUACCCCCGUAGGAGCCGACCUCCUCUCCACUCGAACCAUCACGAUCUGAUUCCAUAAUCACAAAGCGCUCUAGAUCUACUGGGUUAACUAUUGAAAUAGGAAUAGGGGUUAAGAUUUCCUGGCAACUAGACGAAGAACUAGAAAUGGGAGGGACCGACUCUUCUUUCUGGUUUCUCCAAGAAUAUACCCUAGACUUGUCGGAGCUUAUGAAAAGGCUGAAGAGAAAAGAAAGGAAGAGAAGAAGCAAAGGAAUACCUAGGAAUUGUGCUGGUUUCCCAGAAGUGUACCUUAGACUCGUUGGAGCUCAUGAAAAGGCUGAAGAGAAGAAGCAAAGGAAUACUUAGGAAUUGAGAACAGACGACCUCACUCAAAAGAAAGAAAGACGCAAUAAAAAAUUUUCUUGCUACUUUGGAGAGAAUGAUUGCAUAGAGUAAAUGGUGAAAUGAAAGGUAGAAAAGGAUUUAAAAUGAAGGAAAACCAAAAGACUCCACCUUGACCAUUGGAUGAAGAAAAUGAGGGAAAAUGGACGGAUCCGAUUCACCCAGUCAAAACUACGUCGUUUUGACAAAACUUUCCAAAGAUUUCAUGAAAGGUGCGGUGCAGCUCAGCCCCAAUAGAAGCAUGACACCUAGUAUUGCAAUAAUGACACUUCUAGGAAAAGUACCAGCUGAGUCUAAAGGCCAGUCGUCUUCCAAAGUAAUAUUGACUUGUGGGGUAUCUGUUGACCACCGACCUACAAUCUCACAUUUAAUGUUCGCAAGACCCAUCUCAUACAUAAACCAGGUAGACUACAUAAGUUCAGCUCAGUCCACUAUCACCAUAAUCCCAAAAGACAUAAUAAUUGAAGAUUCUUUACUCUUCUCCUAUCACCCAAUCAAUCACACACACUUGCUAGAGAUGACAUCAGCACUGCCCAAACCUACCAAUUAACCACCUUGGCUCCCUUAUCCCUUGCAGGCCAUCAUCACCUAAAGAAAACAUUGACAUGAUGACAAACUGACCUCAUCAACCAAUCAAGGUAGAGUGCGGCGACGCAUUGUUCGAGCUCAGUACAAGUUGCUGAUUUGAUUGACAUGACAUAAUUUCGGCUAAGGGCCCCUAUAAAUAGUGGGAAAUGGUUCCCUUUUAAGGCAAGCUAAGCCUUCCACACCUACACAUUGUACAAUUUUACCUUUCAUUAUCAAUACAAAGUGUCAUUUUUCUUAAAGUUGGCUCAAGAAUAGUCCAUAAAAUUUUUGACGUCAACAAAGUCCAAACCCAAUUAAAUUUGAGUUCCAAUCAAAGUGUAUGUCAAAAUUCAUUUUGAUAACAAUUUUCAAUUGGUUCUUGCUAUAUUAAAUUGUAAUUUGCACCAUUGUCCAACAUUAUUUUAGAAUGUGCAUUCUGACCCUCUAGUCCAAUUAAUUGCACAAUCAAUUCAUUUUUUAGUUCAAUUCAAGCCUUUCAAUUUCUAACAUGGAGGGCCCGUUUGAUUCCCCUUUUUCUAAGAAUGAGAAUGAAAAAUAUAGCAGUUACGGGACCCACACAAGAGAUAGAUAGUCAAAUAUAGUAGCUUGAUGUGAUGGAUAAUGGUAAUAUUUUUCAUUUUUAUGGCUAAAGAGUGGGACCAAAUGGGGGCGUAGAAUUAGUAUCCAAACUUCCGUUCAAUGGCCAAUUUAUCCUUUUUCUCUUUCCAAUUGCUUCAAAAUGAGCCUGUAACUAAACAUAGAAGUAAAUUAAUCCAAGUUAAGUAAAAUUCAAUAGUUUCAUGACAUAAAAACUUAGUAGUAUGGUCCGAAUAAGUGCACGAAAAGCACUUAUCAACCUUAUGAGGAACUAGCCCAUCUAAAAUCUUAUCAUGUUAUAAGAAACAUGAAAUUGCACUAUUGGUUCUCAAUUAGUAGAAAACGAGCAUGUUAGUUAUCAACCUCUUUAUAACAUUUGCACAAAAAGUUUUCAAAGAUGAAAAUCGUUCAAAUCUCUAUUAAAUUAUCAUGCAAUCUUGGGUAGCUAUCCAAAAAAUUUAACACUUGGAGUGUGUUUGAUUGACAUGGAAAAUAUCACCUAGAAAAGAAAAUAUUUUCCUUGUUUUAGGAAAAUAAAAACCACCUCCACCCAAGGAAAAUAUUUUUCAUGGAAAAAAAUAGGAAGCAAAUACCCCAAUUAUGAAUUUGGAUGGAAAACUGAAAUUUUCCAUGGAAAAUAAAUGUAAUCAAACACACCAUUAGACAUUCUUCCACAAGAAUAAUGUGGUGGCGCCAAACUUUCCUUUUAUUUAAUGAACUUUGUAUUCGACACAAUCUCCUCACAUACAGGUCGGUGUCAUUGUUUGCAGGUUCGGUAAAGUACAUUGAUUAUGAGCCCUUAUACAAGGCAAUUGAAGAAGGGAAGUGGCAUUCUAUAGUAGAUUUCAUUCGAUGAAAUCCAGAGACCAUUAGGGCAAGAGUUUGUUUUGGACACAAACACACAACUCUAUACAUUGCAACUUUGUUUUGGACAGACUGAAGUUACAGAAAAUCUUGAAAGCCUUGUCCCGUGCUGAGAUGUGUGGUGCGACGAAACUAGCCAAGAAAAUGAUAUAUAAGAACAAAAAUUUAGUUAAAAUAGCGAAGUAGAUUAUGAAAUGAGCAACUUCCUAUGAUUAUGGCUGCAUUGCAUGGAAAAAAGGACAUGGUUCGUUAUUUAUAUAGAGUGACGCCGAAAGAUGAGCUGAGUCCUGAAAAGAGUGAAAAUGGAGUCACACUGCCUUAUUAAUGCUGAAAUUUAUGGUAUGUGGACGUAUAAUUUGUGGAGUCUAAUCAUAUUGUGUAAAAUCUAUCAAUUACAAAUAAAUAUAAUGUUCACGCACAUGUAGAAUAAUUUGUAGGCAGUCAUUUUGUUUCACGUUAGUGAAGACUCAGUUCUCACACUGAGCGUGAAAAUCUCUGUUUGGAUACAAUUUAUAAUAUGGUUAAUAAAUUUGUUAAAGUCAAAUAUUAUUUUCGAACAAACAUUUAUAAUUACUAUUUAUUAUAAUCAAAAAAUUUAGUAGAUCCCGCUAGUAUUCCACUUUACAAAUUGAUUUAUAAAUUUGUCAAACGGAGGCUAUAUAUUUUCUGAUUUUAUUUUAGUAAAGUUGCAGUCGCAAUUGAGAUUAUGGCUCAAUCCCCAUGACAUGAUACCUAAUUCUGGCUGUUUGCUUACUGUAGAUAUUGCUUUUAUGCUAUUGAAAAGUAUCCAAAGUCGUGUGUUACCCCAGAUCAUGUUGACAAUUUGCCUCUCUGAAUAUUGGCUCAGAAACCUUCUGCAUUUCCCAGUGGGACUAAACUGGCAUUUUGGGAAAGACGGAUCUAUUAUAGUAAGUACAAAAAUGCUCUCCUAGUCAUUUCAUUCACAAACAAUGUACCAUGAGAACACAUCUAGAUAAAUUUUAGUUUCUUUUUCAUGCCGUCUCGUACAACAUUACCAACUUGCUAUAAAUGUACAUGUUGAACGUGAUCGUUUUGAAAAGUAAUCACUGUCUGUACUUUUUACACUAGGUGUAAGAGUACAUUCACCUUGGGACGGUCAUGACAUAGAGCAUGUAGAAAUGCAAACCUCUAGUAUUAUUGUUUGUGAAUCAAGCGAUGAAGAUAUAAUGGAAACGAUGGAACAUGGAUUUGGUAUAAAUUAAGCCAUGAUGACUCCUGGACCAUCCCUCUAUCAGCUCAGCCAGUCCAUCCUGGACCUAAGUCUCUUUUUAAAGACAUGUGGACCCAUGGGCCUUCAAAGUUGAGCCCAGCCAACUGUAGAGGUGGGCUGAUCAUGUCAUGGCCUGUGAUGGGACUGGCUGUGCUUUCAUGCGUUAGCUGGCUCUAAGCUUUGAUAACCCAGUUUAACACCUCUAAGUAAAUUCAUGUCGGGCAACUCUAGAGUUGGUGCACAAAUUCGGUUGGGAGAUAUUGCAAUUCCUUGUUAUGUAUAAUCUUCCUACAUAUAUAAUUUCCCACUACGCAUUUUAAUUAUAUAUAAUUUCUGUUUUGAUAAGGUCAGAGACGUUUAAUAUGGUGGAAUAAAUAGCAUUUGACACUAUUGAGGAAGAAAAAAAAAUCUUAUCAGUCAUUCUUAGCAGUAAUAUUGAAUAUGGUGUCCCAAAUGUGCUCUUAGUUCAGUUUUGUUUCUGUCAUUUAAAUGUUGGCGUGUCCAUGGUGUUUUUUUCCAUAUAAAUUCAACUGGGUGAAAUGUUUUCCUUUUAGCCCCAUGUCAUUGAUGAAUUAUAUUUCUCCAGUAUUGUAUUAGACCAUAUGUGCCUGUUCUGCUGGAAUAAAUCAAAUUUGAUCCUCACAUUUUCUAGAAUAAUUCCAUUAUUUGAGGAAUAAUCUUGAAUUUUUAGCAUGUAUAAAUAGAACCACAUGAUGCAAUAUUUUUUAACUCAAAAUAAGUAGUGAAUUUCAGUUUAUAUAUCUCUGUGUUAUCUUGCAUUCAAACUGACAUUAGAGCUUUGAAAAAAGAAAAAAAACUUAUAGAUAUUUAAUGGAAAAAAAAAUUAUGUACACCAAGCAUAACGUGUCCAAUAAUCUGGUUUCCCCUAUGCCUCAUUUCAAUGGAAAAAAUUUGAUAAUUACUUCAUUCAUCAACCAUAUAGACAUUUAUUCAUCCACAAAUAAAUCCAAUUAUUCAAAUUUAUGCAUAGAACAACCCUCGGAAACACUCAACUAUAAAAUCAUGCAAUAAAUCAAGAAUUAGAAUUUCAGAAAAUAAACAAUUCUAGACCUACACUCUGAUAUCUCUUUUUGGGGUUAGGGAACACCCAAAAAAAAAACACCUAUUUAUUGUAUUUCUAACUAAUCACCACAGAAGUGUCUACGACUAUUUCAAGCAAUAAAUUUGUUUAUCUUCUUGCUUGAUGUUGAUUGAUUCACAAACUUCCAAACUAGAUCCCAUCCAAUAAUUGUUCUUUCCUUGAUCUACAAGCUUCAUACCCACUUAGGUAAUGGAAAUUGUAUUUUAUUCAAAUUAUAAUGGAAACUUGAUAACCAAGUUAUAUUCAUAACAAAAUUCAUUUUAGGAGUUGGCCAAACCCAAAUUUUAACUUGUCAAGAUCGUGUGAAAUUUUAACCUUCAAUUAGACUCAUUGGGCCAACUAUCAACCAAUAAAAAGAGGGAAAAAUUCAUAUGUCACGUGUAUUAUUUACACCAUUUCAAAACCCAGGUUGAAAAUUCAAAAUUCAGGUAUGAAUUUAAUUAAUUUUAAUAUUUAUUAAAUAAAUAUAAUAAAGUCACAGUUUAACAAUUAUUGGUCACAAAUUUAUUUAUUGGCCACAUAUCAUCAAAUUAAUUGGUCACAAAAUUUUUCGAGGUCACAAAUCAAAAUUUUUUCAGGUCACAGAUUAUUUUUCAGUCACAGAUUAUCAAAUUUUAAGGUUACAAACCAAAUUUUAAGGUCAUGGACCAUCGCCAACAAAAAAAAAAAAAAUCGGCAAUCAACCCGAACCACCCCACCUUGAUCUCGAUCCACCACUACCUCUAUCAAAUCUCCAACCACCAACCACCACCUCGAUCAUUGCUAGAAACCACCAAGACCGUCACCACCAAUCACACAACACCCCCAACCCACAACCUCACCAACAUAACCACGUCUCCUAACACAACCACUAUCAGAAACUUCAAACAAUACACCAACGGUACCUCCCAACCUCAACAUCACCACCUAAAUCAUGACACCACCAACACCACUAUACUCACGAUGCCCCACAAACCAGAUUCGAAGCCACCAACCCACCACAUCACAUUUGAACCACUGCAAAUUGAUCAACACACCACUACACACCAGCAUGCCACCACCACCGUAUCCUCACCCACCAUCACCGCAACCAGCCACACCACUAUCUCACAGCAUCGAUUUAAGAUUGAAUGUCGCUGCAGCGACUAAGAUCUGAGCGUGAGCAUAGUUUGCUGCAGCAGCGCUCAUAUCCAAGCAUCGCCACAACAUAUCGUCAGGUAAAUAUGGUAGACUAACUGGAGAUUGAUGGAACCGACGACGGAUGAUACACAACGGGGAUGAAGAUGAAUCGAAAUGGGUGGAGAGAAAAUAAAUGGGUACAGGGAAAGAGGGCUGUGAGAGAGAGAGAGACGAGGAUAUGAAUUUGUUUAGGGUUUCUUUGGGUGGGGUGUGUAUAAAUAUAUAAUACCUGAUUUCUGAUUAAAAAAACUUUCAACCUAAUUUCUGUAUUGUCAUUUUUAAAUACCUAGAUUUUUGUAAUUUCCACAUAAAAAGAUCCAUAUUUUGCUGCUUAGCACUUGGGCCACCACUACUAGGUCCAAUUAAAGUAGGCCAAACUACUAUUAUCUUGUGAAAUUUAAGCUAAAUGGCUACUGUAUACUAUGGUAGACCGUGGGCCGUAUAAGCAUCUAACCCAUUUAAAGAUGACCCACUUAUGUAAUUUUCUCUAAAAAAAAUGUUUCCUAUCUAUGAAAAAAACAUUUUAUUUGAGUAAAUUACACAAACUCUCUAGGCUGCUCUGUUGUAUAAAUUUUCCUAUUUAACUAGAACACCUCACAAAAAAUAUUAAAAGGUGUAGCAUAAUCCAUUAUAGUUUGAAUAUUAUUUGUGUAUUUAAAAGAUGAGAGAUUUUACCCAUCAGAAAACAAUAUCCCGAAGUUAGGAUAAAUGUUUUCCUCCUAAAUUGGUAUUUUAUUUUUAUUUCAGUAAAUAAAUACUUUUACUUUGUCAUGGUGAAUUUAACCAAAAGGAAAAAAAUGGAAAAACUGAAAACAUUUCAAUUAGGAACAAAUUUUUUUCUUUUUCCUUUUUUUUUGGGUAAAUUUUGUUUGUCUGCACAAUGUGAGGCACAUUGUUGGCCCUCCAAGAAGUUGAGAAUAAUUUCUUUGGAAUACACCAGUUUUGUGGACAACAAAGAAGGUUAAAAAAAGGAAAGAAGACAAAAAGUAAAAGUAAAUAAGAAAAUAAAAAAAUGUACCUUACUUAAGCAUAGAGUAAUUCUAUAAUAUGCAUCUAUAAAGACUGAUUGCCCUUCUUGAUGAUCAUAGCAUACUUACAAGUGUUAUCCCAGUGAGAGAAGAUGACAAAAUUAAAGUCAAGUCAGAUGAUUUUAAUUUACUUUGCAUGAUUUGUUGUGUUUAUAGUCCCCCCCCCCNNNNNNNNNNNNNNNNNNNNNACCCCCCCCCCCCCCCUCAAGUUUCCUUUUCAUCUUGAGCUCUAUUAUUGAAUUGCUAGUUCAAUUAACAUUCUCGAUAUUGUGCUUUGAAUAAACUCGUGAAGUAAUCAAGAAUAUACUACUUUUUCUGGUCCCUUUACAAUGCCGGGCACUUCAACUUUCUCGAACAAUUUGAAAGCACUGUUUGUCACCCAACUUAUAGCACUGUUUCAUUUAGUCAUCAAUUCUUUUUUAAGUUUACCACUGAACUUUCAUUUUGAUUGACAAGUAGAUAGAAGGCAUAAUCUAGCGGGUCUAGGAAUUGUGCCAGAGAAGCUAACUGAGGAUAACUUUAAAAGAAGUUGAGAAUAAAUUCUUUUUGAAUAAACCAGUUCUGUGGACAACAAUGUGAAACACAGUGUUGGCCUUCCAAGAAGUUGAGAAUAAUUUCUUUUGGAAUACACCAGCUCUGUGGACAGCAAAGAAGAAUAAUACACCAGUUCUGUGGACAACAUUGAGUGAAGUACAUUGUUCGCCCCCAAAAAGUUAAGAAUAAUUACUUCGGAAUACACCAGUUCCGUGGACAUCAAAGAAGAAUAAUACACUAGUUCUAUGGACAACAUUGAGUGAAGCACAUUGUUAGCCCUCCAAGAAGUUAAGAAUAAAUUCUUUGGAAUACACCUAUUCUAUGGACAGCAAAGAAGAAUAAUACACCAGUUUUGUGGACAACAAUGUGAAGCACAUUGUUGGCCCUCCAAGAAGUUAAGAAUAAUUUCCUUGGAAUACACCAAUUCUAUGGACAACAAAGAAUAAUAAUACUCCAGUUCUAUGGACAACAAUGUGAAACACAUUGUUGGCCCUCCAAGAAGUUGAGAGUAAUUUCUGUUGGAAUACACCAGUUCUGUGGACAGCAAAGAAGAGUAAAAAAAAGGAAAAAAGAUAAAAACUAAAAGUAAAUAAAUAAAAAAUGUACCUUACUUAAGCAUAGAGUAAUUCUAUAUUAUGCAUCUAUAAAGAUUGAUUGCCCUUCUUGAUGAUCAUGGCAUACUUACAAGUGUUAUCCCAGUGAGAGAAGAUGACAAAAUUAAAGUCAAUUAAGAUGAUUUUAAUUUACUUUGCAUGAUUUGGUGUGUUUAUAGUGUUUUUUCUCAAUUUUCCGUUUCAUCUCGAGCUCUAUUAUUGAAUUUCUAGUUCAUUUAACAUUCUCAAUAUUGUGGUUUGAAUAAAACUCGCGAAGUAAUCAAGAAUAUAUUACUUUUUGUGGUCCAUUUACAAUGUCGGGCACUUCAACUUUCUCGAACAAUUUGAAAGCACUGCUUGUCACCCAACUUACAUCACUGUUUCAUUUAGUCAUCAAUUUUUUUUAAGUUUAUCACUGAACUUUCAUUUUGAUUGGCGAAUGGAUAGAAGGCAAUCUAGCGAGUCUGGGAAUUGUGUCGGAGAAGCUAACUGAGGAUAACUUUAUAAGAAGUUGAGAAUAAUUUCUUUUGGAAUACACCAGUUCUGUGGACAACAAUGUGAAGCACAUUGUUGGACCUUCAAGAAGUUGAGAAUAAUUUCUUUUGGAAUACAAUAGUUCUGUGGAUAGCAAAGAAGAAUAGUACACCAGUUCAGUGGACAACAUUGAGUGAAGCACAUUAUUGGCCCUCCAAAAAGUUAAGAAUAAUUUCUUUAGAAGCACAUUGUUGGCCCUCCAAGAAGUUAAGAUUAAUUUCUUUGAAAUAUAACAGUUUGGUGGACAGUAAAGAUGAAUAAUAUACUAGUUCUGUGGACAACAAUGUGAAGCACAUUGUUGGCCUCCCAAAAAGUUGAGAGUAAUUUCUUUUGCAAUACACCUGGACAACAAAGAAGAAUAAAGAAAAGGAAAGAAGACAAAAAGUAAAAGUAAAUAAAUAAAAAAUGUACCUUAAGCAUAGAGUGAAUUACGUCUAUAAAGAUUGAUUGCCCUUCUUGAUGAUCAUAUCAUACUUCCAAGUGUUAUCCUAGUGAGAGAAGAUGCCAAAAUUAAAGUCAAGUCAGAUUAUUUUAAUUUACUUUGCAUGAUUUGUUGUGUUUAGAGUUUUUUUCCCCUCAAGUUUCCUUUUCGUCUUGAGCUCUAUUAUUGAAUUGCUAGUUCAAUUAACAUUCUCGAUAUUGUGCUUUGAAUAAACUCGUGAAGUAAUCAAGAAUAUAUUACUUUUUGUGGUCCCUUUACAAUGUCGGGCACUUCAAAUUUCUCCAACAAUUUGAAAGCACUGUUUGUCACCUAACUUACAGCACUGUUUCAUUUAGUCAUCAAUUCUUUUUUAAGUUUGUCACUGAACUUUCAUUUUGAUUGACGAACAGAUAGAAGGCAUAAUCUAGUGGACUCGAAAAUUGUGCUGGAGAAGCUAACUGAGGAUAACUUUAUAAGAAGUUUAGAAUAAAUUCUUUUUCAAAUAAACUAGUUCUGUAGACAACAAUGUGAAGCACAGUGUUGGCCUUCCAAGAAGUUGAGAAUAAUUUCUUUUGGAAUACACCAUUUCUGUGGACAACAUUGACUGAAGCACAUUGUUCGCCCCCAAAAAUUUAAGAAUAAUUACUUUGGAAUACACCAGUUCUAUUGACAACAAAGAAGAAUAAUACACUAGUUCUAUGGACAACAUUGAGUGAAGCACAUUGUUAGCCCUCCAAGAAGUUAAGAAUAAAUUCUUUGGAAUACACUAGUUCUGUGAACAGUAAAGAAGAAUAAUACACCAGUUCUGUGGACAACAAUGUGAAGCACAUUGUUGGCCCUCCAAGAAGUUAAGAAUAAUUUCCUUGGAAUACACCAAUUCUAUGGACAGCAAAGAAGAAUAAUACUCCAGUUCUGUGGACAACAAUGUGAAGCACAUUGUUGGCCCUCCAAAAAGUUGAGAGUAAUUUCUGUUGGAAUACACCAGUUCUGCGGACAGCAACGAAGAGUAAAAAAAAGGAAAAAAGAUAAAAACUAAAAGUAAAUAAAUAAAAAAUGUACCUUACUUAAGCAUAGAGUAAUUCUAUAUUAUGCAUCUAUAAAGAUUGAUUGCUCUUCUUGAUGGUCAUAGCAUACUUACAAGUGUUAUCCCAAUGAGAGAAGAUGACAAAAUUAAAGUCAAGUAAGAUGAUUUUAAUUUACUUUGCAUGAUUUGGUGUGUUUAUAGUGUUUUUUUUCUCAAUUUUCCUUUUCAUCUCGAGCCCUAUUAUUGAAUUUCUAGUUCAUUUAACAUUCUCGAUAUUGUGAUUUGAAUAAAACUCAUGAAGUAAUCAAGAAUAUAUUACCUUUUGUGGUCCAUUUACAAUGCCGGGCACUUCAACUUUCUCAAAUAAUUUGAAAGCACUGCUUGUCAUCCAACUUACAUCACUGUUUCAUUUAGUCAUCAAUUCUUUUUUAAGUUUAUCACUGAACUUUCAUUUUGAUUGGCGAACAGAUAGAAGGAAAAAUCUAGCGGGUCUGGGAAUUGUGUCAGAGAAGCUAACUGAGGAUAACUUUAUAAGCUGGAAAAAUUGCUUGACAAAUUAUUUAGUUGGGAAUGGGCUUUGGGGUGCUGUCUCUGCUCAGGAGAUUGAACCAGAUAAGACAAAUAAACAAGAGCAUGAAAAAUGGAAGAAAAAGAAUGCUUUGGCUUUGCAUGCAAUUCAACUUUCAUGUGGACAAGCAAUAUAUUCGAAGUUUAAAAAUGCCGACAUUAAUGCUAACUACGUAUGGACUCAGUUGGCAGAACAAGGAGAUCAUGACAAAGAAAGUCGAGUCGAAGAUAAUGGUAAUUUCUCAAUCUUUGUGAUGAACUAGGCCGUCUAAAAUUUUAUUGUGUUAUAAGAAAUGUGAAAUUGCACUAUAGGUUCUCAAUCAUUAAAAAAUGAGCAAAGAACAAUGUGGUGGUGCCAAUCUUCUCUCUUAUUUAGUGAAAUCUGCAUUUGACACAACUCCGUCACAUUUAGGCCGACUUCAUUGUUUGCAGGGUUGAGCGAGUACCUUGAAUAUGGGCCCUUAUACGAGGCAAUUGAAAAAGGUAAUUGGCAUGAUAUAGAAGGUUUCUUUCAGGAAAAGACACUACCAUUUACUGAAAGUGUUUCAUCACACAAAGAGACAGCUCUACACAUGGCAACUUUAUCUGGACAAACUGAAAUUGUGAAAAAACUUGUAAAAUUGAUGGGCCCAAAAGAGUUAGAACUGAAAAAUGAACAUGGAGCUACAACCUUAUCUUUUGCUGCAAUAUGUGGUGCGACAGAACUGGCUAAGGAAAUGGUAAGCAAGAACGAAGAAUUAGUUACAAUAGAAACUGCAGGCCAAGAAUAUGGACAACUUCCUGUGAUGGUGGCUGCAUUGUAUAGACAGAAGGGCAUGGUUCAUUAUUUAUACAAUAAGAUGGCAAAAGAUGUGCUGAGUCCUGAAAAGGGUGCAAAUGGAGUCACACUACUUAAUUACCUUAUUAGUGCUGAUAUUUAUGGUAAGUGAAUGCAUAAUGUGGAGUCUAAUCAUGCUCUAUGAGGAUAAAGCCCCUUGGGAUAUUGCCAUGGAAUUGUGCCACGGGUAAGAUGGCAUAUUAAGAUUGGUAAUGUUAAAAUAGUUUUUUGUCUAAUUGCUAAUCAGAGUUUGCUUAGUGUGAAUUUAAAAUUCCAUGGCAAUGUAGCAUGAUCGGCUCUCUAUUAAUUUCGUCAAUUGUAGAUAAACGUAAUAGUAAUGCGUAUACAUCGGAUUUUCAAUUUUGUUGGUGGUAAUUUUGUUUCACAACGUGCUUCUCCAAUUGAGCAUGAAACACUGAAAAUUUCUGUUUGGAUAUAACUUAUAAUAUGCUUAAUAAACCUAGUUAAAGUUAAGCAUUAAUUUGAAUCACACAUUCGUAAUUCCUAUUCAUUACUUUCAAAAAUUUAGUGGGUCCCAGUACUAUUCCUCUUUAUAAAUUGAUUUAUAACUUUGUCAAAUGGAGGCUAUAUGUUUUUUUAUUUUGUUUUAGUAAAAGUUGCCAUCGUAAUUGAGAUUUGGGCUUAAUUCUCUAGAGAUGUAUACCUAAUUCUGGCUAUUUUGUUACUGUAGAUGUUGCUUUGUUGCUAUUGGAAAAGUAUCCACAGCUGGGUGUUAUCCCAGAUGUUAAUGACAAUUACGCUCUCAAAUUAUUGGCUCAAAGGCCUUCAGCAUUUCCUAGUGGGACUGAACUUUCAUUUUGGAAAAAAUUGAUCUAUUACUGUAAGUAUGUAAUUGGUCACUUGUUAAUUUCAUUCACAAACAAUGUACCAUAAGGGUACAUUUAGAUAAAGUUUAGGGGCUGUUUGAUAGCCCUUUUUUUUUUUUUAGGGAAAAUAGAAAACUACUUCUAACUUCCACUUUUGACUUGUUUGAUUGACAAAAUUUUUCAAGGAAUUCAUUUUCCACCUUUGGCCACCACGUUAGCAUUUUCCAUCUUUUUCUUGAAUUCGAAUUCUCACCACAUUGGUGAGAAUUCGUUUUCUGGGUUACUGUAGCAAUUUUUUAAUUUUCAUUUAUUUAUUUAUUUAUUAUUAUUAUUAUUAUUAUUAUUAUUAUUAUUAUUAUUAUUAUUAUUAUUAUUUUCGUUUACAAUGGAAACAAAUUUUAAGAAUUAUUGUAAAAAAAUUUAUCCCUUUAUUUGACAAUUUUCAUGUAAAACAAAGACAAACGAACACCAAAAAAAUAGAUGAUUUUCCCAUUAUUUAUUUAUUUUUUGGCAAUGGAAACAAAUUUUAUCCCCAAUACCAGUAAAUUCUAUCCAUUUAAUUGACAAUUUUCAUGUAAAACAAAGUAAGACAAACAUCAAAAAACACUUUUAUUUUAACAUUUUUCAUGUGGAAAAUUAUAUCAAUCUGACACAAUAAUUUACAAUUCACAGGAAAACAAUUUCUAGACAAUUUAAUUCCCUGAAAUUUAUUUUCUUUCCACCCAAAUUCCAUCUUUGCAAUCGAACAGAUCCUUAGUUUCUUAUUCGUACUGUCUACUACAAUAUACAAAUGUGCCAUAAACUCACUUGUUGAAUAUGAUCGUUUUGAAAAGUAUUCCUUGUCUGAACUUUUUACACAAGGUGUAAGAGUACAUGAAGAGCAUGUAGAAAUGCAAACAUCAAGUACUAGUCAUGAUUACAACAUUCAAAUUCCUGAAUCAAACGACGAAGAUUUGGCAGGAAUGAUGGCACAUGGUGGCCUAACUUUAACUACUCGAGGUACAUCAGAUUAUGUCACACUCCCCCUUUUUUCAGGUUUUCUUCACACAUCCUAAAUUUAGUUUAGAGGUAUAAAUUAGGCGAGUAUGACUCCUGAACCUUCACUAGCUUGGAUCAGCCAGUGCAUCCCAUGCCUAAGCCUUUUUAAAUUUAUUUUGAACAUGUGGACCUAUGUGUUAACGGUAGAUUUGGGCUGACUGCACCAUGUCCUAGUCCGACUGUGCUUUCAUAUGUUAAGUGGCCCUAGGCUUUGAUAACACACUACAUUUUGACACCUCUAAAUAAAUUCUUGUUGUGCAGCUCUAGAGUUGGUGCGCAAAUUGGGUUGGGUGAUAUUGUGGUCCAUUGGUAUGUAUUAUCUUCCUAUAUAUAUAGUUUCUACUACACAUGUGUAUGUGUACUGAAAAUCAAUUACACAUGAAACGUUAUUUAAUAUUAUUUUUAUUAAUUUUCAGUUCCAGGGAUCCGUUACAUAUACCGAAGGAAGUCAAUCCAUGUCCAAGUUAGGAAAUUCCUCAGGAUCGUGCUUAAAAAAAUGUUACAAUUGAGCAAACCGGAGCUCGAAAAAAUGGACUUGGAUAAAAUAAUAAAUGAUGCCAUAAAGAAUGGAAUUUUUGAAUUGAUAGAUGAAAUGAUUAAAUGUGCACCAGAAAUUAUAUGGAGAAAAGAUAAAAAAGGGAGAACAAUUUUUUCGAAUGCAAUUAUAUCGCGUCAAGAGAAGAUUUUUGGCCUCAUAUUUACUUUAGAAAAAGAGAAGUGUUUAAUGGGAAUGAGGUAUGAUAUUUUUGGCAACAAUUAUUUACAUCUUGCUGCAAAAUUGUCUCCUCCUUCUCGACUUGAUAUUGUAACUGGAGCAGCACUACAAAUGCAAAGGGAACUGCAAUGGUUUGAGGUAACGUAUUUUGCUCGGUUACGUGAGUGAGUGUGUGUGUGUGAAUGCAUGUGUAUGUAUGCUGUCAUGAUUGUUAUUCGAGCCAUUUCUUCUGCAAACUUAAGCUGAUGAAAGAUAUCAUAAAUUUAUUUAUUUGAAUUUUAUAUUAAAUGUGUUCCCUCUCUAUAACACCUGCACAGUUCUCAUAAAUAGGUGACAAUUAUCAAAGACAUAAUUCACAUAAAUAAAUUUGUCUUUUUUCUGAAAGUUUAAACUUUAGACGAGAUGAUUCAAUAUGAUAUUAUUGUGAAAAUAAUUAAAGACAUAAUUCAAGUCUUGUGACCAUCUAUUUAUGAAAAAUUGUGCACUUGAUUUCGUCCCUAAAAUUCAUAAUAUUUUGUUUACUCUAAUGCUGCACAUUCAUCUAACUUAUCUGAAAUUGAAUCUUCAUUCUAUGUUAUUUCUUCCAAUAUGCAGGAAGUUGGGAGCAUGGUACAACCCAAACUCAAAGAGGAACUAAACAACCACAACAAAACACCGAAAAUUUUAUUCACUGAAGAGCACGAGAAGUUAGCCAAAAAAGCCGAGGACUGGAUGAAAAAUACAGCAGGGUCAAGCAUGAUAGUGGCAACUCUAAUUGCUGCUGUAAUGUUCACAACAGCUUUCACAGUACCAGGUGGUAAUAAAAAUGAGACAGGAAUGCCAACAAUGCUGGAAACUCAAAGGAUUCCAUUCUUGAUUUUCAUGAUUUCGAAUGCUCUGUCGAUGUUCAGUUCAAGUACAUCACUGUUGAUUUUCUUGGGAAUUCUUACAGCGUGUUAUGCAGAAGAUGAUUUUCUCAAGUCCUUACCGACAAAAUUAAUAUCAGGACCGACGAGUUUGUUCCUUUCGAUUGUUACCAUGAUGGCAUCCUUUGGUUCUGCAUUGUAUUUGAUUCUUCAUGAGAAUUUGUCUUGGGUCACCGUUCCUAUCAUCGUCCUUACAACGAUUCCAAUAGUUCUUUUCUCCAUCUUGCAGUUUCCUCUCUUGAUUGAGAUGACCCAACGUACUUAUGGAGCCGGGAUAUUUGAUGAAUAUACGAAGAAAUCCCGUUUUGCUAAGUUCAGAGCAUGUUUGAUAAGGAGGAAUCCAUUGAGGAAGAAAAGACAUUAAAAAUUUUAUAGGUCUUACUAUAGAGUACUAUUGAAUAAGGUGUCCCAAAUGUGCUGUUAGCUCAUUUUGGUUUCUGUCAUUUUGAGUAAUGAUGUAUCCAUAGUGUUUUUUCUUCUGAAUAAUUUGUCAUUUUGGUUUCUGUCAUUAUUGGAUCUAAUUAAGUGUCUCGUAGAAUUCCGUUGUUUGAAGAGUCAUCUUGAAUUCUUAGUAUGUACAAAUAGAAGCACAUGUAGCAAUAUUUUGUAAUGCAAAUACGAAGUGAACUUUAGAUUAUAUAUCUCCAAAUUAUCUUGCCUUCAAACUGGUAUUAAAGCCUUGAAAAAGAAAAAAAAUAACGUCCAUCAAUCUUGUUUCUCUUGUGCCUCAUUUUAAUGGAGAAAAAAUUGAUUAAUAUUUCAUUCAUCAACCAUCCAUAAAUUUAUUUAUCCAUAAAUAAAUCCAAUCAUUCAAAUAAAUGCAUAAAACAACCCUAGGAAUCGCUCAACUAUAAAAUCAUGCAAUAAAUCAAGAAUUAGAAUUACAACACACGAUUCUAGACCUAUACUCUAUUACCACUUUUUGAAAACUGGUCCGUUAGGAUUAGAAAAAAAAUAAUUCAAAAUAAGUUUAAUAGACCAGAUCUUUACUAGAUUACUAUGUGUUGCAUUUCUAAUUAAUUGCCACAUUAGUGUUUGGAUGAUACACCUAUUCUGAGCAAUUAAUUUCUUUAUCUUCUGUAUUGAGGUUGAUUGAUUUGCAAGCUUUAAAAUUAGAUCCCAUCGAAUACUUACUCCUUCCUUGAUCUACAAACUUCUAACACUGAGAUCUUAUCUCUGCUCUUCUCCACAACCUGGUUGCACCUGAUUUAUGGGACCAAUUAUCGAAUUCCUAAUCCUCAAGAACUCACAAGAAAAUAUUAUGAUAUCAAGAACUCUCUCAAGUAAUGGAAUUCGUAUUGAAUAUGUACGUUCUUUCACGGUCCAUUAGAUUUAUUUAUGUAGAACUAAAUAGCCUUGUUCAUUUAUCCAACACGAUUAGGAUUCAAAUUAUAAAGGAACCACGUUAUAUAAACAAUAAAAUUCCUUUUAGGACUUGUACAAUCCCGAAUUUUGACUCAUCAAGAUCGUGUUCUCUUUUGAUCAAUGCCUGACUUUAGUAAAGUUUGACCUAUUCAACUAUGCAAUCUGUCAAUUCAAUUUUUACUAUAAUUAAAUCAAAAUUUUUAUCUGAAGCUAUCAAAGGCACCUAAUUGGACCUAUAUAAUUCAAGCUUCAGAUUGUUUGGGCCCAUUAACUCGGAAGAAAGAUCAGAAAAUAGAGAAAAAUUGCGAAAUUCCAAGUUCUUGCAGUUCCCUCUCUUGAUUGAGAUGACAUAUCGGACUUAUGGAUUCGGGAUAUUCAAUAAACCUAAGAAGAAAUCCUAUUUUGCUAAGUUCCGAGCAUGUUUGGCUUGGUGGAAUAAAUAGUGUUUGCCACUAUCGAGGAAGAAAAUAAAUUAAAGUCUUAUCGAUCAUACUAUAUAGUACUAUUGAAUAUGGUGUCCCAAAUGUGCUCUUAGUUUAUUUUGGUUUCCGUUGUCGUAAUUGUUGAUGUAUCCAUGGUGUUAUUUCAUAUGAAUUCCACUAGCUGAAAUAUUUUCCUUUUAUCCACAUGCCAAUGAUGAACUCUAUUUCACCAUUGUUGUGGCAUUAAAUUAGACUAUUUGUGCCUAUUCUGUUUGAAUAAACUAGUUUGAACCUCACAUAUUCAAUAAUGAUUCAUGUAUUGGAUCUAGUCAGUGUCUCAUAGAAUUCUAUAGUUUGAGGAGUCAUCUUGAAUUCUUAGUAUGUAUAAAUAGACCCCUAUGUUGCAGUGUUUUUUAAGGCAAAAUAAGAAGUGAAUUUUAGAUUAUAUAUCUCCAAAUUAUAUUGCCUUCAAACUGGUAUUAGAGCCUUCAAAUAAUAAUAAUAAUAAUAAUAAUAAUAAUAAUAAUAAUAAUAAUAAUAAUAAUAAUAAUCUUGUAUUCCUUGUGCUUCAUUUUAAUGGAAAAUUUUGAUUAUUAUUUCAUUCAUCAACCAUACAUACAUUCAUCCAUCCAUGAAUAAAUCCAAUCAUUCAAAUACACACAUAGAACAACUCUAGGAAUCGCUCAACUAUAAAAUCAUGCAAUAAAUCAAUAAAUAGAAUUACAAUACAAGACAAUUUUAGACCUACACUUUAAUACCACUUUUUGAACUGGUCACUAGGUUUAGGAAAAACAAAGAAAAAAAUGAAAAUAAGUCUAAUGGACCAAAUCUUCACUAGAAUACUGUUGUUGCAUUUCUAAUUAAUUGCCACAGAAGUGUUUCGAAGUUAAACCUAUUCAAAGCAAUCAAUUUCUUUAUCUUCUUGCAUGAGUAUUGAUUUGCAAGCUUCCUUCUUAAUCCCAAAAGCUAGCUUAAGAGGUGAUGCUUUUUUUUACACUUAUAAACUAACCACCAGCUCUUUUCAAUUAAAAACAACAAAGAAUUUGUAAAACCAGCAAUGAUAUAUGAGAUGAAAUGGAAGGACCAACUUAAUUCUUUUGUGUAUUACAAUGGCUUUAUAUAGUAGAGCUUAGUAUACAAAAAUAUGGAAUACACUAAAGUUAUGGAAUUUACAAUUGUUAUGAUUGACAGAAUUGUGGAGAGGUCAAUGGGAUGCUGAGAUCACGUUGGAGGUGAUUGUGGAAUCCAUACUGAUAUGGAAUGAGUAGUCUUGCAUGGAGGAGAUCAAGGAGUAUUGUGAUUGCUGCGAUUGCUUGGUUUAACACCCCCCCUCCCCGUAAAGUGAUGGGGAUGAUCAUCACCAUCAGUUUGGACCGAAGUACACCAAAACGAGCGGUUGUUUUCCCCCUUUGUGAAGAUAUCAACAAUCUGAUCUUGGGUGGAAAUAUGUUACACCUGAAUGUCUUUAUUGAGGACCUUUUCUCGAAUGAAGUGGUAGUCAAUUUCCACAUGUUUCGUGCGGGCAUGGAAAAUGGGAUUAGAGGCCAAGGCGAUAGUGCCAAUGUUAUCACACCAUAGUGUAGGAGUGUAUGGUGGGAAGACACCAAGUUCCUUAAGGAGCAUUCUUAUCCAAUAGAGUUCGGCUGUGGCGAUGGCCAUGCUUCUAUAUUCGGCUUCAUUGUUACUCUUGGAGACAAUUGGUUGUUUCUUGGCAGACCAUGAUAUCAAAUUUUGACCCUAGAAAACUGCAUAUCCAGUAGUGCUGCGAUGAUCAUCAGGAUUACCGGCCCAAUCUGAGUCACAAAAAGCUUGAAGAAUAAUAGAUCCUUGAGUGAAUAGUAGAUCGGUAUCAAUACUACACUUUAGAUACCGAAGCACUCUUUUGACAACAGGCUAAUGAUGUUCAUGUGGGGAAUGCAUAAAUUGACAAAUUGAUUUACGACAUAUGCAAUAUCCGGUCUAGAGAAAGUACAAUAUUGAAGUGCCCUGCCCACUCUUCUAUACUCUGUUGGAUCAGACAAUAAAGAACCUUCUAUAGAAGAUAACAUCGGACUAGAUGUAGUAGGGACCCAAGGGGCUUUGCAUCAGUCAUCUUGGUGCUGUGUAGUAAAUUUAUUUUGUACUGGGCUCGAUGAAGAUAUAGGCCUUGAGAAUCUCUUGAUGCUUGAACACCUAAAACGAAACUCAAAUCUCCAAGAUCUUUAACCAUGAAGUUAGUUGAUAGAGAUUGAAUAAAAGUGUUAAUGGCAUGUGAGCUUGAUCUAGUAACUAUAAUGUCAUCAACAUAUAUCAACACAAAUAGUUUCGCAAUCUCAGUAGUAUAGACAAAAAGUGAGUAGUCAGCGGCUGAUUCAACAAAGCCAUACUCAAGUAGGUGUUGGGACAGUCAUCUAAACCAAGCUCUCGAAGCUUGUUUAAGGCCAUAAAGUGACUUAUGAAGCUUGCAAACAUAAUCAGGACGAGUCUCAUCGAAAAACCUCGUGGUUGUUCCAUAAAUAUCUCUUCAUCAAGAUAGCCAUGCAGAAAAGCAUUUGAAAUGUCUAAUUGUUGAAUAGGCCAAUUAAAUGAAACAGCCAAAGCUAACACAAUGCAAAUAGAAGUAGGUUUUACCAUAGGAGAAAAAGUGUCUGUGUAUUCGACACCACACUGUUGAUCAAAGCCUUUUGUGACCAAACGGGCUUUAAAUCGUUCAAUGCUUUCAUUAGACAAUCUCUUGAUUUUAUAGACCCAUUUGUUGCAUACAACAUGUUUAACGUGUGGGCGAGGAUAAAGUGACCAAGUCCCAUUCACCAUUAGUGCAUCAAAUUCCCAUCCCAUUGCUUCACGCCAUGCUGGAGAGGCAACUGCUUGUGUGUAAUUGGAUGGUUCAGUGUCAGUGAUAAUAGAGGAGAGUACCUGCAAGGGAUACUUGGUCGUAUAAAACAUUGUAAAAUCAGGAAAGGCCUUAGGUUUUGAGUUUCCAGUCAUUGAGUGGGUUGUUGCCCGAUUGGGGUAUGGGACAGGGAUAGGGAAUUCAUGUGAGGUAAUUUGUUCUAUAGGCUGGGUUUCAAGUUUUUCUGAAUUUGGAGUUUCAAGGUCUUGGGUUUCAAAUUGUAGUGGAGAAAUGGGAUUCGGGAAAAGGGCUUGUGACUGAGUGAGGGUCUCAUGGGUACGUGAUGCUAUUGGGUCGAUGGCAAGAGUUGAUGGAAUAGGAAUAUUUGAAAUUGAAAGAGGUGAAGGAGAAAGUAUACCAGGCAAGCUCGAGCUUGACGGCGUAGGAGAAGUUUGGACUUGACCAUUUGCAGGAAAAUGUUUUUCAUCAAAAAUUACAUUUCGUGACACAUAAACAUGUCCUGUAGCUAGGUCAAGAUAGUGGCAACCUCUUUGUUGACUAGCAUAUCCUAUGAAAACACAUACUUUGCUUCUAAAGGACAAUUUAUGAGGCUCAUAUGGUCUUAAUAAAAGGAAACAUGCUGAUCCAAAUAUGCGAAGGUGAGAGUAUCGGGGAACGGUUUUAUGGAGCAUGUAAAAAGGUGUUAAAUUAUUUAAAACUUUUGUUGGAAGUCUAUUUAUUAAAUAUACUGAUGUCAAGAAUGCAUCUGGCCAAUAUGUAUGGGAAAGGUGCGACCGAGCUAAUUGGGUGAGACCCGUUUCAACAAUGUGGCGAUGUUUUCUUUCGGCUAUACCAUUUUGUUGAGAUGUGUGAGGACACGUUAAGCGAUGAAAAAAAAUUUUCUUGCAAAUUUUUUUUAAAUUGGGUAGAGAGAUAUUCACCCCCGUUAUCUGUUUGAAAUUGUUGAAUUUUAUAAGAAAAUAUAUUUUCCAAAAGUGCUUUGAAUUGUUUGAAAAUUCUGAAAACCUCAUUUUUAUAAAUUAAUGGGUAGAGCCAAGUGUAGCGAGAAUAGUCAUCAACAAAAAUACCAUAAUAUUUGGAACCACCAACUAAAUACACAGGAGAUGUCCAUACAUCAAAAUGAAUAAGAGAUAAAGGACGUGAAGACUGACAACUAGCCUCACUAAAGGGUAAUUGUUUAGCUUUCCCUAGGGGACAUGCUGAACAGAACCCUAAUUUAUUAGAUGAAAUAGAAUUUACUUAGACUGAGACAAUUGAUUUAAAAUAACUUGGGACGGGUGACCUAAACAAUCAUGCCAGACGUCUAAUAUAGUAGAGACACCAACUUUAGCAGGAAAGCAUGAAAUUUUUGAUAAACAAGAUUUAGUGUCUACAAUUGGGUAGAGUCCAUUCUUAACUUGCCCGUGAAGUAGGAGCCGCCCCGUCUUGUUCUUCUUCACACAAAAAUCAGAUCCAGUCAAUACAAAAUAGCUAUUAUUAUCAAGGCAAAAGCGAUUAAUAGAAAUUAAAUUGGAAGUGGCAUUCGGACAAUGAACUUGGUUAAGCGAAAAAUUGGAAUUGUUUGUUUUAAGAGACAUAGUACCUGUAUUUUAAUCACUAGACCUAAUCCAUUGCCAACAGUAAUGGUGUCCUUUCCAAAGUAGGGUUGCGAUGAAGCGAGAUUUGUCGUAGUAUUAGUGAUAUGGGCAUUGGCUCCACUGUCGCGUACCACAUCUAUUGGGCAAAUGCAGAAUUGCCUUUGGCAGCUAUAGCAGCUAGUUCGGAAGGUGGGUGUCGGCCUUGAUAAGAAAAAUCAAACCGGUGAUAGCAAUCUAGGGCCAUAGGCCCCUUUUUCCACAUAUUUGACAUAUGGGCUUGUUUUCAAGUGUAGGGGGCUGAUUAGGCUCAGCAUUCAGAGAGCCCACAUGAGUUGGGUGAGUGGUAUAUGAAGGUAAAUGGGCCUGAGUGGAGAAACCUGGGGACUUGGUUGGUUUCUUAACAAAGGACGAUCCCUUGCUUUGAUUAGCAACAAAGGCAAAGGUCUCUGUUGAAGGAAUGGGUUGAUGAGCCUCCAUGAGAGUUUCAAAGCUGAGAUGUUUCGCUUGGAAAUCCUCCAGGGUGAAGUCCUUUUCAUGGGUGGCGGAAUUGAAGGCGGUGAUGAAUGGAGCAAAGAGGGGUUUGAGACCAGUCAAGAGGUAUGUGAUGAGGUCCUACUCAUCGAUGGGUUUGCCGACAGCUGACAAUUGAUCUAACAACAACCUUGUUUCUUCAAUGUACACCAAACAGGUGUAGUUGCCUUGGAAAAUUGUUUGAAUUUGGCGCUUAAGGUGGACAAUUCGAGAGCGAGAGGUAGAGGAGAAACGGGUUUGGAGGGAGUCCCAAAUUUACUUUGAGGUCUUCAGAUUUAGGACGGUGGAUACUAAUUUCUCAGAGAGUGACGCAUAGAGCCAAUAGAGAAUGGCUGUGUCUGAUUUGGACCAAGUGUCAUAAGCCGGGUUAGCGACAUUGUUAGGGAGUAUCUUGGGAGGAGUGGCGAUGGAGCCGUCCACCAUGCCAAGUUUAUCAUGGCUUUUUAAGAAAGCCAAAAACUGAAUUCUCCAGGUAAGGUAGUUGGGUCCUUCGAGUUUGGGAAAUUGUGGUAUAUUAGUGUUUGAAGUGGCCAUUAGAAAUUAGGAAUUAUGGUGCGGAAGCUAUUUUGGUAGGAUCGAAAUAGGUGUGAGCCUUGAUGCUCUGAUACCAAGUUAAAAGCAACAAAGAAUUUGUAAAACUAGUAGUGAGAUAUGAGAUGAAACGGAAGGACCAACUUAAUUCUUCUGUGUAUUACAAUGGCUUUAUAUAGUAGAGCUUAGUAUAUAAAAAUAUGGAAUACACUAAAGCUAUAGAAUAUACAAUUGUUAUGAUUGAUAGAAUUGUGGAGAGAUCAAUGGGAUGCUGAGAUGACGUUGGAGGUGAUUGUGGAAUCCGUAUUGAUAUGGAAGGAGUAGUCUUGCAUGGAGAAGAUUGAGGAAUAUUGUGAUUGUUGUGAUUGCUUGGUUUAACACUUUCACAAUCGAUGUGGGAUAAUCUCAAUAAUCUCUCCCUCAUACAUUGAGCCUUGUGGUAGACUAAACCCCUAUCCACCUCACACAUCCGGCCUGUGAGAGACCAAACACGUCUAUCUCUCACACAAACCCGCAUCUCUUAUGACUAUUGGACAUGAGACUUGUAGAAAAGCUGAGCUUUGAUACCAGUGUUGGGUGGUAUUAGGCAUUCUCAACCCCAAAAAUUAAUUCAAGAAGUGAGGCUUAAUUUCCUAUACACUUAUAAAUUGACCACCAACCCCUUCCAAAAUCGAUAUGGGACAACCUCGACAAGUUAUUGUUCCUUCCUUGAUCCACAAGGUUCUAACCCUUGGAAUCUUCUGCAAAACCUCAUUGCACUUGAUUUCUGGUCAUUUUUCACGUCUAGUUAUAUAUAUAUAUAUAUAUAUAUAUAUAGACACACACACACAAACAUAACUAAAUAGCCUUGUUCAUUGUUCCAACACGAUUGGGAUUCCAAUUAUAAAGAAAACUUGAUAACCAAGUUAUAUUCAUAAUAAAAUUCCUUUUAGGACUUGGUCAAAUUUUAAUUCGUAAAGCUCAUCGUUGCUUUUGAUCAAUGACUGACGUGAGUUAAAGUUUGACCCAAUCAACUAUGCGACCUGUUAAUUCCAUUAUUACCAUAAUUAACUCCAAGUUUUUAUUUGAAGCUAUCAAAGGCACCUAAUCAGACAUAUAGAAUUCAAGCUUCCAAUAGUUUGGUCCUAAUAACUCCAAUCCAUAUUGUCCGGUCCAAUUACGAAUCUACACUUAUUCCGCCUAAGGCCCACAAUUGCACUCUCGAAUUAUAUAGAUUUGCAUAAGCAAUAUUAUCUCAAGUCUCCAUAGUUAUAUCCUUUUGACUUGCUAUCAAUAUGUUCGACGGACAUUUAAGAAUUGGUGCAGGAUCAAAAUGAACUUUUUCUCUUUUAAUUACUAUUUCACUUAAGCUAUCAUUUUCUUCAACGGUUUCUUUGCGAGCACAUCGUGGGAUUAUUCGGGUAUCUGCAAAUGGUGUGUUCAGAUUAAACAACCCACAAGAAAAUACUUAAGUUGGUUCAUUAGCAUAUUUGAAUAGGGGCGGUAUCAAAAAGUAAUAUCUGUUCAUUUGUUUUCAGCUCCAAAUUUAUUGAGAUGUUUGACCAUAGAUCUUACUCAUUGGCACAUCAAAUAUAAAAGUUCACAAAUAGCAAACACUACCUCUGUUUCGAAUUCUGUUAAUCUAUAAAAUAGUUAUUUACAGUUCAAUUUUUUGCACGAUCAUUCAAAAGACUUAAAAUCUAUCAAGAUGUCCUAUCUAAUGUUAUGAAUCCUGAUAUCGUCUCGCCACGAUCAAGACAAAUCGUGAAUUCCAAGUAGCCGAUCCUAUGACCUUACUAGACCAAAGUAUUAAUCUUUGCUCCUCCGUCUAGGAUAAUUAAUUCCCAAUCAGAAUACAAAUUGUGCAUGGCUAUACUUUUUAACACAAGUACCCUAUUUCUAUAUCAUCCAUCAAUGGAAGACACUCAGUUAAAUGUUCAAUAAAUGCAUCAAUUUGUUUAAGACACAAACAAAUAAUAAAUAAAUAUUUAACAUUCAGAAUUUUCGACUAUUACCGUAAAAUUCUAAUAUAUUUUGGGUACCUAUCCCAACAAUAAAUAUUCCAAGAUGUGGAAUUCGAGUAACAUAUGGGUUUAUGAUUCGUGGUUUUAACAGCAUUGAUGUGAAUGGGUUGGCUUUUCGUUGCAGGGCUAUUAAGAGAGAGAAGAAAGCAUAAAAAAUUCAACUCAAAAUCAAAUUCUGGAGUUCAUUAUUCGUCGUAUUAUGUGAAAGGAUCCAGGAUUAAUUAGUCCGGCCGGUGCCUUUUCGGCAUACACCGUAUAUCUUAGAGAGAUCGCAUUUCUUCGGGUUGGUAGUGAUGGAAUGCUUGCAAGUUCUUUUUUUAAAGAGGGUUUUGACAAUACAUGGAACCGAAAAAAACUAAAAAUGGAAGGUCAACAAAAAGUUUUUAUUUAUUUUUUAUUUUAUUAUUAUUAUUUUUUUUUAAAGGAGGAAAACAAAGGGAUGGUGAACCUUGCCUUUAAAUUUGCAUAUUUAUGUACAAUACAUUACAUUAAAAGACCAGUUCGAGUACGUUAUUGUUGAUGUUCUUGGGAAUUCUGAUGUUACAUAGAAGAAGAUUUUCUCAAGUCCUUGCCAACGAAAUUAAUAUUAGGAUCGACGUGUCUGUUCCUUUCGAUUGUUCCCAUGAUGGAAUCCUUUGGAAUCCUUUGAAGAGGCAAAGGCGACGAUCAAAUAAAAGAAAAAUCAAUGUGGUGAAGAAGUCUAUAAAAGCAUGGUAUACACGACAAGACAAAGAGCCAUAUUGUAGAUAAUAGACUUAUAACUUUUUAAUCUAAUAUGUAAAGGUAAUAUGCUUCAAUAGUUUGGCAAUAUAUUGUAAAAAGGCUCAAGUAUCGGCUUUAUACGCAAAAAAUUAUUAUUUUACCAAAAUAAUUGCAAAAUAUUUUUCAAGAUAACGGAUUCGAUCUUAUACAAUAAAAUGAUAAUUAUCUUGAAAAAUCAUAUAUAAAUUUCUCUCAAAGUAUUAUCUUUAUCAAAAGAUCGGAGAAAUUAAUUUCUGCCGUAGCGGACGUCCAGUAGAAAAAUGGUAAAAAUGUUUAACCGUUCUGACUUCUGAAAUAACAACAGCUAGUGAAACGUCCGGUAGGACAUUUUGGGUACAUAUCCCUACGUAAAUAUUCCAAGAUGUUGAAUUCGAGUAACAUAUGGGUUUAUGAUUCGGGGUUUUAACAGCAUUGAUGUGCAUGGGUUGGCUUUCCAUUGCAGGACUAUUAAAAGAGAGAAGAAAGCAUAAAAAUUCAACUCAAAAUCAAAUUUUGGAGUUCAUUAUUCGUCAUAUUAUGUGAGAGGAUCCAGGAUUAAUUAGUCGGGUACCUUUUAGGCAUAAACCAUAUAUCUUUGAGAGAUCGCAUUUCUUUGGGUUGGUAGUAAUGGAAUGCUUACAAGUUCUUUUUUUUAAAGAGGACUUUGACAAUACACGGAACCCAAAAAACUAAAAAUGGAAGGUCAAAAAACAAUUAUUUAUUUAUUUAUUUAUAUUUUUUUUUAAUGAGAAAAACAAAGAGAUGGUGAACCUUGCCUUUAAAUUUGCAUAUUUAUGUACAAUACAUUACCUUAAAAGACCAAUUCGAGUACGUUGUUGUGUUGAUGUUCUAGGGAAUUCUUACUGCACAUUAUAUAGAAGAAGAUUUUCUCAAGUCCUUACCGACGAAAUUAAUAUUAGGAUUGAUGUGUUUGUUCCUUUCGACUGUUCCCAUUAUUAGAUCCUUUGGUUCUGCAUUGUAUUUGGUUCUUUAUAUUAAGUUGUCUUGGGUUACCGUUCCUAUCAUCGUCCUUACAAUUAUUCAAAUAGUUAUUUUCUCCAUCUUGUAGUUUCCUCUCUUGAUUGAGAUGACAAAUCGGUCUUGCGGCUUUGGGAUAUUCAAUAAACCUAAGAAGAAAGUCUGCCAUUGCUAUGUUCCGCUCACGUUUGAUAUGGUGGAAUAGAUAGUAUUUGACGCUAUUGCAGAAGAAAAAGAAAUUAAAAUCUUAUCAAUCAUACUAUAAAGUACAAUUGAAUAAAACAUCCUAUUGUGCUCUUCUUUCAUUUUGGUUUCUGUCAUUUUAAAUGUUUAAGAUAUAUUCCUCUUGUUUUUUCAUAGAGAGCUGCUGGACUACCAAACCCCUUUCUCAUAGGGGUCUUACAGACCCUCACACAAAAGCAGGUGGUGUCGGUAUUUUUGCAAUUUUUUAUUACAAGUGGGUCUGACCUACGGCCCACAUCAUUGUGAGGAGCCUGUACAAGGCUUGUGAGCAUCAGCCUGGUAGAGCAGCAUUCUUCUUUUUCAUAUGAAUUCCAUUGAUUAACUCUGUUUCUCCAUUGUUGUGGCAUUUAAUUAGACGAUAUGUGCCUAUUCACCCAAGGAAUAGAGGUUUUCUUUGUAAUUGUUUGUACUUUUCUUUUUUUGUUUUUGUUAUUGUUGGAUUUUGAUAUCCAAUGAAUUCGAGUGAUGAUAUUAAAAUGAUAUACCUUAGCAUUGGCUCGAUCAGAAAACAACCUGGGUCAUUCGAAGCAACUUACUUAAUUAAGAUUGCUCGUGGCCCAAGACUUUAGUUGGCCCAUGUGAGUGUUAGCCCAAUUGGUGGUGACAUCAGAGUGAGCCCAUUUAGCAUUUGGAUGGUUGGCCCAUUUUGUGGUGAUUGAGACUUUGGUUGUUAGCCCAUUUACAUGUUUGGAGGAUAACCUAAUUGAAGGCAUUAUAUCCAUCCUAUGCAGCCGGGUGUUUUGUAGGUUAAUUCGGCGUAGUGGAGAGAAAACAUGAGGCAGCCGUCUGGAGGGGGAAAUUGGAGUUCAACCAUUACUUCUUCUAUUUUCUUCCUCCUUUGUUGGUGCAAGUUGUUCACCAUGUGAGGGUGGGUGUGUGCAAUAGAGGCAAGAGAAAUAGGUAGCAGUUAUGGGAGAUUUUGUGUUCAACCAUUGCUACCCUUUUCUUCUCCAUCCCUUUGUGAUAUUGCUACAACCACCAUUGUAUCUCCACCUCUAACUAAGCCUAAGUUGUUUCGGACAUAGAACUUUGGAGAUGCCAAUAAAAUUGUAAUAAAAGUACCAAAUUGCUCGUUAGCUUAUAAAACGAGGAUAGUAGGUGCAAUUUUCCUCUUUUAAAAGUUCAUGUUGCAUGUGUCAUUAAAUUAGUUGAUAGCGUGAACGUUAGAUAGAGCUAAGAGAUAUCUUCUAAGAAAUGAGGCAAUAACACCAUUUCACCAUUUGUGGUUCAUGUUGACCUCGAAAUGAGAUUAAUAAUUAUUAAGCAAUUUUGUUGUCAAACGAUCUCCCCGGGCGAUGAUGUAACCUCGGUUGUUUAUUAUCAAUCGGCCUCAGCCAAAUGACUGAUUAGUACAUCGACACAAUUAUCGAGACAACACAAUCCACUUUAUUAUGGACCGUUCGAAGCAACCUAUUUUUAUAGUGUUGCUCACGGUUCUCGCUCCAUUCCUUGGAAGGCUAUAUUAUUAUUGUUGAAGCCCACUUAAUUGAGUCGAGUCUCGUUUGUUGGUCCACCACUUAACCCUAACCUAACUUACCUAUCUGGACAUUUUACUUGGCAUAUAAUCCCUCUCUUGUCUCGGCCUCCAUAGAGUGCAAUUUUCCCUUUCUCUUUGUGAGUCUCUCUCUCGGCCUCUCCUUUCUCCCUCACUGUGACCUUAGUGGUUAACCUUUUUUGGGCACAUUAUUGUGUUUCUCCUUCUCCAAUUGGUAGAAACCGGAAUGGGGACGACAAGUGGUGGUGUUGGAGUUGUCUCAACGGUGUUAGUAUUGAUGUUGUGGUAAACUGAGCCCGAUUUUGCACGUGGUGGCGGUGGAAAUCAACCCUACAUCUGGUAUCAGAGCAGUAACAGCUUUUCCCAGCCUGAAAAUCAGCAAAAAUCGGCGACAGUCGCGGGUUUGGACGAAAAAAUCGUGGCUGCAACCCUCAUUUCCGGCCAAUCCAGUCACUUUCCGGCGAAACCGAUCCCAUAUUCCGGACCAGCAGGCUGAGGUGCCCCUUCGUAGUGGUGGCGGCGGCACAUGGCGGCAAUUCCGGGCGAACUUCCUUCGGGCAGUUUGCUCAUUUUAAUCCCCUGAACGCACUGACACUGUUUAUUUUUUGUUUCAGGUUAUACAGAAAAAGUUGGACAAUUUUGCCCCCGGUGGAUCGACGGUUGAAUCUGCAUAUAUCUACUGAAUUACUUUAGGCCAAGAUUGCGGCCCUAAAGCAGUAGAUUCGCAUCUCUCUCGAUUAUACGGACUCGGACACGUCCGCUCUGGUAAAUUAGCUUAACCCGUUAAUUUUUCAACAUUAGCGCGUCACCAUGUGGGGUGACAAUAGGUUGGGGGUUGUCAUUGCUUGGCAAUCAUUGCUUGUGCUAGAAUUAGGGUUACGUGCUCUUAAUUGAUCUUUUUUGAUUGAGUAUUUGUUUUUGGUUUAAAAUCAGUCUUGUAAUUCUUAGUGAUCAAAUUAUUAUGGGACUAGUUAUCUGCUAGACGUAUUUUUUGCUGCAUUGUUAUUUUCACUGAUUACUUAUUCCGUUAGAAAUAUCGUGACUUUACCCUUUCGAACAUUCCCUUGAUCUAAGACCGCGAGUCUUACGAAACCCUGGGAAUCUAGAACGGUGUAUAUUGUCUGUGACCCCUAGGACUACUUUGUGUGGUUUGAUUGUGGUUUGUGCAUUUUUGACUAUUGUGUGAAGAUGACAACUCACAGUUUUGAUUUGGGAAUUUUUAACGGAAAGGGUGACUUUGCUAUUUGGCAACAAAAAAUGAAGGGUAUUUUAGUCCAACAAAAGGUUUCAAAAGUCAUUGAAGACAAUUUUUCAACUGAUUUUUCACAAGAACAAAGAGAAGAAGCCGAUGAGAUUGCUUAUACCUCAAUUAUCUUACACUUGUCUGACGCUGUUUUAAGAAAGGUGGGUAAAUUAAAAAAUACUAAAGAAUUUUGGAAGAAAUUAGAAGACUUGUAUUUGCUUAAGUCUACAUCUAAUAAACUUUACCUGCUUGAUUGUUUUUUCAGUUUCAAAAUGGAUCCCUCAAAGGAUCUUGAUGACAAUCUAGAUGUGUUUAACAAAUUGGUGCAAGACAUAGUUAAUUGUGAUGAGACUGUGUCCGAAACUUAUAAGGCUAUAAUUUUGCUCAAUGCAAUCCCUGAUUCCUAUAAGGAAGUUAAGAACGCCAUUAAGUAUGGUAGAGACACGUUAACACCUGAAAUUGUCAUAGAUUCCCUUAGAAGUAAAGAAAUGAAAAUUAGGGCUGAAAAACAUGAUAAGAGGAAUGGUGAGGUACAUAUGAUGCGAGGUAGAACUCAAUUUAGGCAAAAUAGUCAUGAGGGAUAUCAAACUAGUGGCGACUCAAGUGGUAAUGGAUGGAAAAAAGAAGAGCAAAGGUAGGUCUAGAUCAAAAUCUAGGACUAAGGCGAGAAAAUGCUAUGGUUGUGGAAACACAGGGCAUUUUAUAAAAAAUUGUCAUAAGGAGAAGGGUAAGCUAAAAGCUACGGAGAGAGAUGAGGUAAAUGUGUUAGCAUCUACUUCCGAUAUAAAUGGUGGUGAGGUCUAUAUGAUUACAAGUCCAGCUGCAUACACUGCUGAAUUAAAUCUAACUGCUAAUUCCCGCAUCCAUGAGUGGAUACUUGAUUCUAAUGCAUCUUUUCAUGUGACGUCUGAAAAGAACUGAUUUUAUAAGUUGCAUGAAUCUAACGUUGGGCAUGUUGUGCUGUGUGAUAACUUUGCCUCUACUAUUGCUGGAAUUGGGGACAUAAACGUAAAAUUUGACAUGGGUUUUGUGUAUACGUUAAAAGAUGUUAGAUAUAUUCUUGAAUUGUCUAGGAAUUUGGUUUCAGUAGGGAGACUUGAGAAUGAUGAUUUUACUGGUAAAAUUGGAAAUGGUAUGCUAAAAAUGAUCAAGGGUGCUUUAGUUUCCAUUAAGGGAAUUAAGAAAAACGAUAUAUACAUUACUACUAGGGAAGUGAUUAGAGAUGUGAAUUCCUCUAUCUCCUCUGCCAAGAUUGAUCACACACACGGCACAAUAGACUUGCUCACGUAGGAGUCAAGGGACUUAAGCUACUUGAUGAAAAUGGUGCUUUUGGUAAUGACUGUGUUAGAUUUGCCAUUUUGUGAUCAUUGUGUGCUUGGUAAGCAUUACAAAACUUCUUUCUCCACGAGUGUUAAUAGAGCUAAAGGCAUGCUCAAAUAUGUGCACUCUGAUCUUUGGGGUCCUGCCAGUAACCCCACAUCGGGUGGUAAUAGGUAUUUCCUGUCUAUUAUUGAUGACUACACUAGGAAGGUGUGGGUCUAUCUUUUGAAGGAUAAAUCUGAGACCUUCAAUAGUUUUAAUAAUUGGAAGAGACAAGUGGAAAACCAAACUGGCAAGAAAAUCAAAUUUUUAAGGACAGAUAAUGGCCUAGAAUUCUGCAAUAAAGAAUUUGAUAGUAUAUGUAAAGAAAACGGCAUAACUAGACAUAAGACCGUUCCCUACACCCCUCAGCAAAAUGGGGUAGCAGAAAGGAUGAAUAGAACCAUACUUGAUAAAGUACGUUGCAUGAUGAUCAGUUCGGGUAUUCCCAAGUCAUUUUAGGGUGAGGCUGUUAUGACAGCUUGCUAUUUGAUUAAUCUUAUACCUUCUGCUGCAUUGAAUGGUGACACUCCACAUGAGAGAUGGUCGGGUAAACUGAGUGAUUACUCAAUACUUAGAACUUUUGGCUGUGCAGCUUUUUCUCAUCAAACUAAGGGUAAGCUGGAACCUAGAGCUAGGAAGUGUGUUUUCUUAGGAUACCCCGAGGGUGUUAAGGGUUAUAGGUUAUGGAAUAGAAGCCAAAAAGGAGUUAAAAUUAUCAUAAGUAGAGAUGUCACAUUUAACGAAAAUGAGAUGCUGUGUAUUAAAGGAAAAACUGAACCUAAGAGUGAAGUAGAAUCAGGUGAAGAGAGAGACCAGUUUAAGGUGGAGUUAGGAAAACUCAGUCCACCUACCCCUAUUGUUUCAAAUGAGGUGGAGACUCAAACUCAGGAACCCGAAGUGGAGAAUAGUAACGAAAUAGUGACAGAAGAACACUAUGAGGAAGAAAAUCCUUUAGCUAACUAUAACUUAGUUAGGGAUAGAGAGAGGAGACAAACGAGAGAAUCUAGAAGGUUUGGUUUUGAAUCUGAAUUAGCUUUUGCCCAGGCUAGUUAUGAAGAACUAGCUGAUAAAGAGCCAAAGACUUUUGAAAAAGCAAUAGGCAGUGAUCAAUCUAAUGAAUGGCUUAAGGCAAUGAAAGAAGAGAUGAGUUCUCUAUAAAAGAAUCAUACUUGGAAGCUAGUACCUAGACCUAAGAAUAAAUCAAUUGUUGAUUGCAAAUGGGUUUUUAAGGUUAAGGAAGGAACUAGUAGCUUGAAACCCCUAAGGUUUAAAACUAGGUUAGUGGCUAAAGGCUAUACCCAGAAGGAGGGCGUUGAAUAUAAUGAAAUUUUCUCACCAGUUGUUAAGUUCACCACUAUUAGGGUCAUGCUCACAUUAGUUGCACAAUUUGACUGGAAACUUGAACAACUUGACAUAAAAACUGCUUUCUUACAUGGUGAGCUUGAUAAACAAAUUUUCAUGAAUCAACCUAAAGGUUUUAAGGAUAAGUCAAAACCUGAUUAUGUGUAUUUUCUGAGAAGAUCCUUGUAUGGGUUAAAACAAUCUCCUAGACAGUGGUACAAGAGGUUUGAUUCCUUUGUACUCACUAUAGGGUUUCAAAGAAGUAAAUUUGAUCACUGCCUGUAUCUUUAACACAAUGAGACUGAUGAUAAUUAUCUGUUUUUGUUGCUCUAUGUGGACGACAUGCUUUUGAUUGGAUCAUCCUCUAAGUGGAUAAAUAACAUAAAAACAAAAAUAAGUGGUGAAUUUGACAUGAAAGACCUAGGUAAGGCUAAGAGAAUCUUAGGUAUUGAAAUUGAAAGAGAUAGGUCAAAUUCUGUUUUGUUUUUGCAUUAGUCUCCAUACAUAUCCAAAGUAUUGAAGAAAUUCAAUAUGAGUGAAUACAAACCUGUUACGUUGCCCCUUGCUAAUCAUUUUGUUUUAUCUAAGAAACAAUCUCCUUGCAAUGAGCGUGAAGCUGAAUACACGAGUAAAGUGCCUUACUCAAAUGUGAUUGGUUCCAUAAUGUAUUUGAUGGUUUGCACUAGACCUGAUUUAGGUUUUGCUAUUAGUACUCUUAGUAGAUAUAUGGCUAAUCCGGGACUUGAACAUUGGGAAGCGCUAAAGUGGUUGUUAAAGUACUUGAAUGGUACUAGUAAUGUAGGCUUAAAGUUUAGAGCAAAUAAUGAAGGUACAAAAUUAAAGGGUUUUGUAGAUGCUGACUAUGCGGGAGAUAGGGAUGGUAGGAAAUCUACUUCAUCUUAUGUGUUUACCUUAUCUAAUUCAUGUGUAAGUUGGAAAUCACAGUUACAACAUAUUGUUGCACUAUCCACUACAGAAUCAGAAUAUAUUGCUACCACUAAAGCUAUUAAAGAAGCUCUAUGGCUUAGAGGUCUACUUCAUGAACUGUGUGUUCUAAAUGACUAUGUGGUAGUGUAUUCUAAUAGUCAGUCAUCUAUACAUUUAUGCAAAAACCCUGUGUUUCACGAGCACACUAAACACAUUGAUGUUAGACUCCACUAUAUUAGAGAUAUAGUAUCUCAAGAGGUGGUAAGACUUGAGAAAGUCCAUACCCACUACAACCCAUCUGAUAUGGGGACGAAGGUACUGCCACUAGUAAAGUUUAGGAGUUGCAAAGAACUUCUAAACAUUGGUACAGGUAAAUGAUUUCCAAUUUUAUUUUUUUUCUAUUAGAGGUGUCACUAAUGGGAGACAAUUUUCUUUGCAGGUCCUUUGACACCAAGGUGGAGGUUGUUAGGCAAUUUUGUUGUCAAACGACCUCCCCGGGCGAUGAUGUUACCUCGGUUGUUUAUUAUCAAUCAGCCUUGACCAAAUGAUUGAUUACUACAUCGACAUAAUUAUUGAGAGAACACAUUCCACUUUAUUAUGGAAUGUUCGAAGCAACCUAUUUUUAUAGUGUUGCUCACGGUUCUCGCUCCAUCCCUUGGAAGGUUAUAUUAUUAUUGUUGAAGCCCACUUAAUUGAGUCGAGCCUAGUUUGUUGGUCCACCACUUAACCCUAACCUAACUUACCUAUUUGGACAUUUUACUUGGCAUAUAAUCCCUCUCUUGUCUCGGCCUCCAUAGAGUGCAAUUUUCCCUUUCUCUUUGUGAGUCUCUCUCUCGGCCUCUCCUUUCUCCCUCAAUGUGACCUUAGUGGUUAACCUUUUGUGGGCACAUUAUUGUGUUUCUCUUCUCCAAUUGGUAGCAACUGGAGUGGGGGCGGCAAGUGGUGGUGUUGGAGUUGUCUCAACGGUGUUAGUGUCGAUGUUGUGGUAAACUGAGCCCGGUUUUGCACGUGGCGGCGGUGGAAAUCAACCCUACAAUAAUUUUUUUUCACUAUCUAGAAUUUUCUCCUUCUGGUUUUAUGAUCAAGCGAGAGCAAGAAAUGAAAAUGAGAUUAAUAAUUUUUUCUCACCUAUCUAGAAUUUUCUCCUCCUGGUUUUAUGAUCAAGCAAGAGCAAGAAAAGAAAAUGCUAUUUAAAAGGAGAAUAUUUUGAUAUUGCAUUCCUUUCUUUGUCGCCAAUUAUGUUAUUUAUAGAUUUCUAAUGAGGUCUUAGAGUUAAUUAAGUCACUUUCACUAAUGACGUGGCAAUCAUUCAUUAGUUGACUUCUAACUAAAUUUGCUAGCUUUUCACAUUUUAUUCACGAGUCUGUAUAUUUCUCAUUCAUUGGCUCUGAAACCAUACUUUAUAUUUUUACUCAUGUGUUUUGGUAAUGGUUAUUGUCGUGGAAUAUAUAAUGAAACUAGUUAAAGAAUAUUUGCUCACUUAUGUUAUCUUGAGUUUGCAUGUGAUUUGGUUUGCCUUGAAAACGUUUGCAGGUAGAAAUAUAGGUUCUCCGCUAAUCCUUUGUAAAUUUUAAUUACAACAAAUAUCUUCAAAGUUAGAAUCUAAUGAUUUAUAUUAAGUUUUAGACUUUAUUUAAUUUCUACGACAAAUAUUUAAUUAUUUUAGAAUUUAUUUUGAUAUUAUGAGCCUUUAAAAAUUAUUGUGACAAACAAGCCUACAACAUGGCUUGUUUUGUGAGGUUUAAUUGAUUCCGAGUGAAAUAAGGUCAAAUGAUUAACAAAUGAUCCUCGAAGUUCAAGCUUAGGUAUUUUUGUUAAGUGCUAAGCUUGUGAACUUAAGGCAGGGAUUUUAAUACUAAAAAUACCUAAGGAUAUCCCACUCACCAAUGGCAGUUGAUGUAUGGCAUGAUGAAGGGAUGUGUAAUGAUUACUACAGUUCUUUACAAAUAUCAAUGGGGAUGUUGCAUACUUCAAGGUACGUAGGCUGUUAGGGGUGAACACGGUUCGAUUUGGACGGUUUGAAAAGUUUCAAACCAAAUCAUUUAAAGCGGUUUGGAAUUUCCAAACCAAACCAAACCACUUCAAUUUCUAAACCAAAUCAAUCCAAACCAUUUUUUUUUUGGUUCGGUUCGAUUUAAAACCACAGUUUAACAAUGAAAAAAUUUAUAUCAAAUAAGUUAAAUCGUAAAUAUUAGUCUAAAAUUUCACAUUAAAACAUAAGUUGUAUUAUUAAAAAAAUUACAAAUCAAAAUGAUAUAAUUAUAAUCAUUAUAAUGCAACAACAUGAUAUAAAUAUUUUAAACUCUUAAUCAAUACUAAUGGCAUCCAUUUACAAUUGUAAUACACAAUUCAUUCUUUUCAUAAAUAUAAAAAAUAUAGCAUAUGAAUUCAUUGAUUAUAAUUAAAUGAUAUAAAAUAACUAAUACAAGAAAAUGAAUAAAAAAUAAAAUACAAUAAGACCUAGUUACUGUGACUUUUUGUGAAUCAUUCAAUGCUUCUACUCCAUCCAAAUAUUAGGAAUUACUUUAAGGAAGCCCGAUAAUUAUUAGAACAAAACAACAUAACUACCAAUAAAAACAUAGAAAAAGAUUACCAAAAAAAAAAUUAGGAUAAUCUGACUUGAAUUUAGGCAAAAUUUAAGAAAAUUAUUAGUAGAAGGAAAUGAAAUGUGCAAGUUUGAAUUAAAAUCUAGAUUUAAUUGUCGGUUCAAUUAUAAUGGAGAAUCCAUAAAUAGGGUUUAGUAGCAAUUGUUCAACACUUCACCCAAUUUAAUGAUUUUAUACUCAUAACUGCCGACUAAUGUGCAUAUGGAUAUAAUUUAAUUAAUUAAUUAAGAUGUAAAAUUGUCGAAUUGAGUUCAAUUGAAUUAUGACUAAUAUAGAUAUAUCUUUUUAACUGAAAUGUGUUAAAUUUUAAUUGUUUUAAAUAAAAUUUAAACUAAUUUAUUUUCAGAUUUUUUUGAUAAUCAAUUUUGUGGUUUGAAACGAUUUGCAAAUAUUGAAACCUAAACCAAACCACUUAAAAAUGGUUUGGUUUGGUUCAAAACCUAAACGUUGAUGGAUUCACGUGGAACUAAACCAACAAUUUCAAAAAAAAAAAUGAUUUUGGUUCGAUUUUGCAGUUUUAUUGUCCAACCCUAGGCUGUACUCAUUUAAUUCACGUGUUACUGAAACAUGAUUAGAUUUGUCCCUUUGAAUUAUUUCUAGGCACCUUUUUUUUUUAAUCCAAUGGCUUGUUCCCUCGAAGAUUAAGAUCAAACUUGACAUGAUCCAAUGCUAUUAUCUUUCAUCAGAAAAUAUAAAUAUAACACCUCUAUUAUUUGUUACGAGUACUUAUUCUUUAAAAACUUCUAUUUUCUUUUUUUCAUUCGUUGCUAUCACGUUGCAGAUGAUAUGGUGAUUCUGGUGAUUAUUAUUUGCUCCUUAAAAAUCCUUCGAAUCCUUUUUACGUACAUAUUUUGUGCUUUUGCUUCUUCUCGUAUACUAUUUUUCCUCUAUUCGUCAUUUAGUGUAACCCGGUAAACUUUUAUCUAAAAUUUUUUAGGAAAUUGAUUCUGUAGAAUGUCUUUCCAAAAUAGAUCCUAAGUGUCAAAGCUACUUGCUCUAUAUUUAGGGAUGAUGGAGUAGACUGGCAGGGCCGGACCUGAGGCGAAAUUCAGAUUUUGGGCCCAUAAAUCAUAGCAAGCAAUUAAUUUUUUCAUUUAUAAGAGAUUUAAGGAACUAAAUUUGUCAACAUAAAAUCAAAAAAAUGAAAUAUUUAAAAUAUGUAUAUUAUAAUCAAAUAACAAUAUGAAAAUGUUCUAAAAGAUCACUUAAAUACAACUCGUCUUGCAGUUUUCGAGGCAAAAAUAUCGAUCAAUUUUGUAUAGUCGAGUUGUUCAACCAUUUCUUUUUCAGUUGAUAACAUGGCUAAACCAUUCAAUCUUUGCUGUGACAUAGUUGAUCGGAUAUAAGUCUUGAUCAAUUUCAACUUGGAAAAACUUCAUUAUUUAUACAGAGUGACGCCGAAAGAUGAGCUAAGUCCUGAAAAGAGUGAAAAUGCAGUCACACUACCUUAUUCAUGCUGAAAUUUAUGGUAUGUGGACGUAUAAUUUGUGGAGUCUAAUCAUAUUGUGUAAAAUCUAUCAAUUACAGAUAAAUAUAAUGUUCAUGCACAUGUAGAAUAAUUUGUAGGUAGUAAUUUUGCUUCACGUUAGUGAAGACUCAAUUCUCACACUAAGCGUGAAGCGCUGGAAAUCUCUGUUUGGAUACAAUUUAUAAUAUGGUUAAUAAAUUUGCUAAAGUCAAAUAUUAUUUUCAAACACACAUUUAUAAUUAUCAAUAAAUUUAGUGGAUCCCGCUAGUAUUCCUCUUUACAAAUUGAUUUAUAAAUUUGUCAAACGGAGGCUAUAUAUUUUCUGAUUUUAUUUUAGUAAAAGUUGGAGUCGCAAUUGAGAUUAGGGUUUAAUCCCCAUGACAUGGAUACCUAAUUCCGACUGUUUUGCUUACUGCAGAUGUUGCUUCUAUGCUAUUGAAAAGUAUCCAAAGUCGUGUGUUACCCCAGAUCAUGUUGGCAAUUUUGCUCUCUGAAUAUUGGUUCAGAAACCUUCUGCAUUUCCUAGUGGGACUAAACUGGCAUUUUGGGAAAGUACAUAAAUGCUCUCAUAUUCAUUUCAUUCACAAACAAUAUACCAUGACAACACAUCUAGAUAAAUUUUAGUUUCUUUUUCAUGCUGUCUAGUACAACAUUACAAACUUGCUAUAAAUGUACAUGUUGAACGCGAUCAUUUCGAAAAGUAUUCCCCGUCGUACUUUUUACACAUGGUGUAAGAGUACAUUCACCUUGGGAAAGUCAUGACAAAGAGCACGUAGAAAUGCAAAUCUCAAGUAUUAUUGUUUGUAAAUCAAGCGAUGAAGAUAUAACGGAAACGAUGGAACAUGGAUGCCUAACUAUAACUAAUCGAGGUAUAUCUAAUUGCACCACAUUCCUCCCCUUCUUGUUCAGGUCUUAUUUACACACUCUAAAUUUUAUUUAGUGGUAUAAUCUUCCUACAUAUAUAAUUUCCGUUACACACUUUAAUUAUAUAUAAUUUCUAUUUUGCUAAGUUUAGAGCGUGUUUGAUAUGGUGGAAUAAAUAGCAUUUGACACUUGAGGAAGAAAAAAAAAUCUUAUCAGUCAUACUUAGCAGUAAUAUUGAAUAUGGUGUCCCAAAUGUGCUCUUAGUUCAGUUUUGUAUCUAUCAUUUUAAAUGUUGAAGUGUCCAUUGUGUUUUUUUUCCAUAUAAAUUCAACUGGGUGAAAUGUUUUCCUUUUAGCCACAUGUCAUUGAGGAAUUCUAUUUGAUCGAGGUAUAUCUAAUUGCACCAUAUUCCUCCCCUUCUUGUUCAGGUCUUAUUUACACACUCUAAAUUUCAUUUAGUGGUAUAAAUUAGGCCAUGACGACUCCUGGACCAUCCCUCGCUCGGCUCAGCCAGUCCAACCUGGACCUAAGUCUCUUUUUAAAUACACAUGGGCCCAUGGACCUUCAAAGUUGAGCCAAGCCAACUGUAGAUGUGGGCUGAUCAUGCCAUGGCCUGUGAUGGGACUGGCUGUACUUUCAUGCAUUAGUUGGCUCUAAGCUUUGAUAACCCAGUUUGACACCUCUAAGGAAAUCCUUGGUAUGUAUAAUCUUCCUACAUAUAUAAUUUCCGCUACACACUUUAAUUAUAUAUAAUUUCUGUUUUGCUAAGUUUAGAGCGUGUUUGAUAUGGUGGAAUAAAUAGCAUUUGACACUUGAGGAAGAAAAAAAAAAUCUUAUCAGUCAUACUUAGCAGUAAUAUUGAAUAUGGUGUCCCAAAUGUGCUCUUAGUUCAGUUUUGUAUCUAUCAUUUUAAAUGUUGACGUGUCCAUUGUGUUUUUUUUCCAUAUAAAUUCAACUGGGUGAAAUGUUUUCCUUUUAGCCACAUGUCAUUGAGGAAUUCUAUUUCUCCAGUAUUGUAUUAGACCAUAUGUGCCUGUUUUGUUGGAACAAAUCAAAAUUGACCCUCACAUUUUCUAGAAUAAUUCCAUUAUUUGAGGAAUAAUCUUGAAUUUUUAGUAUGUAUAAAUAGAACCACAUGAUGUAAUAUUUUGUAACGCAAAAUAAGAAGUGAAUUUCAGUUUAUAUAUCUCCAUAUUAUCUUGCAUUCAAACUGAUGUUAAAGCUUUGAAAAAAGAAAAAAAAACAUAUAAACAUUUAAUGAAAAAAAAUUAUAUACACCAAACACAACCUGUCCAAUAAUUUGGUUUCCCCUUUGCCUCAUUUAAUGGAAAAAAUUUGAUAAUUACUUCAUGCAUCAACCAUAUAGACAUUUAUUUAUCCAUAAAUAAAUCAAUUAUAAAUGCAUAGAACAACCCUCAAAAUCACUCAACUAUAAAAUCAAGCAAUAAAUCAAGAAUUAGAAUUACAGAAAAUAAACAAUUCUAGACCUACACUCUAGUACCUCUAAUUAGAACCGGUCCACUAGGGUUAGGAAACACAAAAAAUAAAAAUAAUAAAAUAAUAAUAAUAAUAAUAAAAUAAUUAAAAAAAUCUAUUUAUUGCAUUUCUAAUUAAUCGCCACAGAAGUGUCUAGAAGUUACGACUAUUUCAAGCAAUUAAUUUGUUUAUCUUCUUGCUUGACGUUGAUUGAUUCGCGAACUUCCAAAUUAGAUCUCAUCCAAUAAUUGUUCUUUCCUUGAUCUACAAGCUUCAUACCCUCUUAGGUAAUGGAAAUUGUAUUUUAUUCAAAUUAUAAUUGAAACUUGUUAUAUUCAUAACAAAAUUUUAACUCGUCAAUAAAAAGAUUGUGUGAAAUUUCUUCUUUCAAUUAGACUCACUAGGCCAACUAUCCCCCAAUAAAAAGAUCCAGAUUUUGCUGCUUAACACUUGGGCCACCACGACUAGGCCCAAUUAAAGUAGGCCAACUAUUAUCUUGUGAAACUUAAGCUAAAUGGCUACUGUAGACUAUGGUAGACCGUGGGCCGUAUAAGCAUCUAACCCAUUUAAAGAUGACCCACUUAUGUAAUUUGCUCUAAAUAAAAUGUUUCCUAUGUAUGAAAAAAACAUUUUAUUUGAGUAAAUUACACAAACUCUCUAGGCUGCUCUGUUGUAUAAAUUUUCCUAUUUUACUAGAACACCUCACAAAAUAUAAUAAAAAGUGUAGCAUAAUCCGUUAUAUUUUGAAUAUUAUUUGUUUAUUUAAAAGAUGAGAGAUUUUACCCAUCAGAAAAACAAUAUCCCAAAGUUAGGAUAAAUGUUUUCCUCCUAAAUUGGUAUUUUAUUUUUAUUUCAGUAAAUAAAUACUUUUACUUUGUCAUGGCUAAUUUAACUAAAGGACAAAAAAUGGAAAAACUGAAAACAUUUCAAUUAGGAACUAAUUUUUUUUCUUUUUCCUUUUUUGGGUAAAUUUUGUUUGUCUGCACAAUGUAAAGCACAUUGUUAGCCAUACAAGAAGUUGAGAAUAAUUUCUUUGAAAUACUCCAGUUCUGUGAACAGCAAAGAAGAUUAAAAAAAGGAAAGAAGACAAAAAGUAAAACUAAAUAAAUAAAUAAAAAAUGUACCUUACUUAAGCAUAGAGUAAUUCUAUAUUAUGCAUCUAUAAAGACUGAAUGCCCUUCUUGAUGAUCAUAGCAUACUUAAAAGUGUUAUCCCAGUGAGAGAAGAUGACAUAAUUAGAGUCAAGUAAGAUGAUUUUAAUUUACUUUGCUUGAUUUGUUGUGUUUAUAGUUUUUUUUUUCUCAAGUUUCCUUUUUUUAAUGAGCUCUAUUAUUGAAUUGCCAGUUCAAUUAACAUUAUCGAUAUUGUGCUUUGAAUAAACUCGUGAAGUAAUCAAGAAUAUAUUACUUUUUGAGGUCCCUUUACAAUGCCGAGCAAUUCAACUUUCUUGAACAAUUUGAAAGCACUGUUUGUCACCCAACAUACAACACUGUUUCAUUUAGUCAUCAAUUCUUUUAAAGUUUAUCACUAAACUUUCAUUUUGAUUGGCGAACAGAUAGAUGACAUAAUCUAGCGGGUCUAGAAUUGUGCCGGAGAAGCUAACUGAGGGUAACUUUAUAAGAAGUUGAGAAUAAUUUCUUUAGGAAUACACUAGUUCUGUGGACAACUGUGAAGCACAUUGUUGGCCCCCCAAGAAGUUGAGAAUAAUUUCUUUUGGAAUACACCAGUUCUGUGGACAGCAAAGAUGAAUAAUACACCAUUCUGUGGACAACAUUGAGUGAAGCACAUUGUUGGCCCUCCAAGAAGUUAAGAAUAAUUUCUUUCGAAUACACCAGUUAUGUGGACAACAAAGAAGAAUAAUACACCAGUUCUGUGGAUAACAAUGUGAAGCACAUUGUUGGCCCUCCAAAAAGUUAAGAAUAAUUUCUUUGGAAUACACCAGUUCCUCCAAGAAGUUGAGAGUAAUUUCUUUUGGAAUACACCGAUUCUGUGGACAGCAGAUAAAUAAAAAAUGUACCUUACUUAAGCAUAGAGUGAAUUACAUCUAUAAAGACUGAUUGCCCUUCUUGAUGAUCAUAGCAUACUUACAAGUGUUAUCGCAGUGAGAGAAGAUAACAAAAUUAAAGUCAAGUAAGAUGAUUUUAAUUUACUUUGCAUGAUUUGGUUGAGCUCUAUUAUUAAAUUUCUAGUUCCAUUAACAUUCUCAAUAUUGUGCUUUGAAUAAACUCGUGAAGUAAUCAAGAAUAUAUUACUUUAUGUGGUCUCUUUACAAUGCUGGGCACUUCAACUUUCUUGAACAAUUUGAAAGCACUGUUUGUUACCCAACUUACAGCACUGUUUCACCUAGUCAUCAAUUCUUUUUAAAGUUUAUCACUGAACUUUCAUUUUAAUUGGCGAACAGAUAGAAGUCAUAAUCUAGCGGGUCUGGAAUUGUGCCGAAGAAGCUAAUUGAGGAUAACUUUAUAAGAAAUUGAGAAUAAUUUCUUUUGGAAUACAUCAGUUUUGUGGACAAUAAUGUGAAGCACAUUGUUGGCCCUUCAAGAAGUCGAGAAUAAUUUCUUUUGGAAUACACUAGUUCUGUGGACAGUAAAGAAGAAUAAUACACCAAUUCUGUGGACAACAUUGAGUGUAGCACAUUGUUGUCCCUCCAAGAAGCUAAGAAUAAUUUCUUUCGAAUACACCAAUUAUGUAGACAGCAAAAAAGAAUAAUACACCAGUUCUGUGGACAACUAUGUGAAGCACAUUGUUGGCCGUCCAAGAAGUUAAGAAUAAUUUUUUUGGAAUACACCAGUUCUGUGGACAACAAUGUGAAGCACAUUGUUGGCCCUCCAAGAGGUUGAAAGUAAUUUCUUUUGGAAUACACCAAUUCUGUGUUGAGUCUCAAAGGUGAUGCAAGAUUGAGAUUUAAUGACAAUAAUGAAAUAUUCAAGAUCGUACCAUGAAAACAAGAUUAAAGUAAAGUACAAAAAAGAAACUAAGCAGAGGAACGAUGAAUUUUAUUUUAUCCGACAAUAUGGAGAGAAUAAUACAAGACAGUAAUAAUGCUUCAUCUUAAACUGACAAAGGAGUCUCUAAUUUAUAGGCCACGUCCAUAAACCUAAUGGAAUCCUAAAAGGUAAGAAAAUAUACUAGAAUCAGGUUAAACCGCGUAAAAGGAAAAAAUCUUGGAUGUAAUUUGAUUUCUUUCCAAAUUCAAGCCAAACGUGAUCUUCCAAAAUUUCAACCUAAUUUUGAGGCAUUAAACCUAACAUUCUGUGGACAACAAAGAAGAAUAAAGAAAAGGAAAGAAGAUAAAAAGUAAAAGUAAAUAAAUAAAAAAUGUACCUUACUUAAGCAUAGAGUGAAUUACAUCUAUAAAGAGUAAGCCCUUCUUGAUGAUCAUAGCAUACUUACAAGUGUUAUCCCAGAGAGAGAAGAUGACAAAAUUAAAGUCAAGUAAGAUGAUUUUAAUUUACUUUGCAUGAUUUGGUGUGUUUAUAGUUUUUUUUUCUCAAUUUUCCUUUUCAUCUCAAGCUCCAUUAUUGAAUAUCUAGUUCAAUUAACAUUUUUGAUAUUGUGCUUCGAAUAAACUCGUAAAGUAAUCAAGAAUAUAUUACUUUUUGUGGUCCCUUUACAAUGCCAGACACUUCAACUUUAUCGAACAAUUUGAAAGCAUAGUUUGUCACCUAACUUACAGCACUGUUUCAUUUAGUCAUCAAUUCUUUUUUAAGUUUAUCACUGAACUUUCAUUUUGAUUGGCGUACAGAUCAAAGGCAUAAUCUAGCGGGUCUGGGAAUUGUGCCAGAGAAGCUAACUGAGGAUAACUUUAUAAGCUGGAAAAAUUGCUUGCCAAAUUAUUUGGUUGGGAAUGGGCUUUGGGGUGUUGUCUCUGCUCAGGAGAUUGAACCAGAUAAGACAAAUAUACAAGAGCAUGAAAAAUGGAAGAAAAAGAAUGCUUUGGCUUUGCAUGCAAUUCAACUUUCAUGUGGACAAGCAAUAUAUUCGAAGUUUAUAAAUGCCGACAUUAAUGCUGACUACGUAUGGACUCAGUUGGUAGAAAAAGGAGAUCACGACAAAGAAAGUCGAGUCGACGAUAAUGGUAAUUCCUCAAUCUUUGUGAUGAACUAGGUCAUCUAAAAUUUUAUCGUGUUAUAAGAAAUGUGAAAUUGCACUAUAGGUUCUCAAUCAUUAAAAAUGAGCAAAGAACAAUGUGGUGGAGCCAAUCUUCCCUCUUAUUUAGUAAACUCUGUAGUUUACACAACUCCCUCACAUUCAGGCUGACUUCAUUGUUUGUAGGGUUGAGUGAGUACCUUGAAUACGAGCCCCUAUACAAGGCAAUUAAAAAAGGUAAUUGGCAUGCUAUAGAAGGUUUCUUUCAGGAGAAGACACUGCCAUUUACUGAAAGUAUUUCAUCACACAAAGAGACAGCUCUGCACAUGGCAACUUUAUCUAGACAGACUGAAAUUGCGAAAAAACUUAUAAAUUUGAUGGGCCCAAAAGAGUUAGAACUGAAAAAUGAACAUGGAGCUACGGCCUUAUCUUUUGCUGCAAUCUGUGGUGCAACAGAACUGGCCGAGGAUAUGGUAAGCAGGAACAAAGAAUUAGUUACAAUAGAAACUACAGGCCAAGAAUAUGGGCAACUGCCUGUGAUUGUGGCUGCAUUGUAUAGACAGAAGGACAUGGUUCAUUAUUUAUACAAUAAGACGCCAAAAGAUGUGUUGAGUCCCGAAAAGGGUGCAAAUGGAGUCACACUACUUAGUUACCUUAUUACUGCUGAAAUUUAUGGUAAGUGAAUGCAUAAUGUGGAGUCUAAUCAUGCUCUAUGAGGAUAAAGCCCCUUGUACGAUGGAUAUUGACAUGGAAUUGUGCCAGGAGUGAGAUGGCAUAAUGAUUGGCAAUGUUAAAAUUAUUUUUUGUCUAACUGCCAAUCACAAUUUGCCUAGUGUGAAUUUAAAAUUCCACGGCAGCGUAGCAUGAUCGGCUCUUUGUUAAUUUCGUCAAUUGCAGAUAAACGUAAUAGUAAUGCGUAUACAAGGAUUUUCAAUUUUAUUGGUGGUAAUUUUGUUUCACAACGUGCUUCUCCAAUUGAGCGUGAAACACUAAAAAUUUUUGUUUGGAUACAACUUAUAAUAUGCUUAAUAAACCUAGUUAAAGUCAAGCAUUAAUUUGAAUCACACAUUCAUAAUUCCUAUUCAUUAGUAUAAAAAAUUUAGUGGGUCCCAGUACUAUUCCUCUUUAUAAAUUGAUUUAUAAAUUUGUCAAAUGGAGGCUAUAUGUUUUCUAAUUUUGUUUUAGUAAAAGUUGCAAUCGCAAUUGAGAUUUGGGCUUAAUUCUCUAGACACGUAUACCUAAUUCUUGCUAUUUUCUUACUGU
RNAcentral lists this long non-coding RNA (93812 nucleotides) under Olea europaea (common olive). RNAcentral describes it as "long non-coding RNA (OEUR_LNC008811)". Lineage: Eukaryota; Viridiplantae; Streptophyta; Magnoliopsida; Lamiales; Oleaceae. The record is from RNAcentral.